Molecule: long non-coding RNA, 100849 nt
Filed under: Triticum aestivum (bread wheat)
Lineage: Eukaryota; Viridiplantae; Streptophyta; Magnoliopsida; Poales; Poaceae
Description: long non-coding RNA (TAES_LNC026970)
Source: RNAcentral
AUUUUUUUAUUUUUUUUGUUUGGGCCUUUCUCAUGUUUUUAUGGCCUCUUUUUUUCAGAGUCUCAUCUCGACUAGUGGGGGAAGCAUAGACUCCAUCAUCCUUUCCUGACAUGGGACAAUGCUCUAAUAAUGAAGAUCAUCACACUUUUAUUUACUUACAACUCAAGAAUUACAACUCAAUACUUAGAAAAAAAUAUGACUCUAUGUGAAUGCCUCCGGCGGUGUACCGGGAUGUGGAAUGACUCAAGAGUGACAUGUAUGAAAGAAUUAUGAAUGGUGGCUUUGCCAAAAAUAGAAUGUCAACUACAUGAUCAUGCAAAGCAAUAUGACAAUGAUGAAGCGUGUCAUAAUAAAUGGAACGGUGGAAAGUUGCAUGGAAAUAUAUCUCGGAAUGGCUAUGGAAAUGCCAUAAUAGGUAGGUAUGAUGGCUGUUUUGAGGAAGGUAUAUGGUGGGUGCAUGGUACCUGCGAAAGUUGCGCGGUACUAGAGAUGCUAGCAACGGUGGAAGGGUGAGAGUGUGUAUAAUCCAUGGACUCAACAUUAGUCAUAAAUAACUCACUUACUUAUUGUAGAAAUCUAUUAUUUAUCGAAACGAAGUACUACAUGCAUGCUCCUAGGAGCAUAGAUUGGUAGGAAAAUACCAUCGCUUGUCCCGACCGCCACUCAUAAGGAAGACAAUCAAAAAAUAAAUCAUGCUCCAACUUCAUCACAUAACGGUUCACCAUACAUGCAUGCUACGGGAAUCACAAACUUUAACACAAGUAUCUCUCACAUUCACUACUACUCCACUAGCAUGACUCUAAUAUCACCAUCUUCAUAUCUCAAAACAAUCAUAAAGAAUCAAACUUCUCAUAGUAUUCAGUGCACUUUAUAUGGAAGUUUUUAUUAUAUUCCUCUUGGAUGCUCAUCAUAUUAGGACUAAAUUUAUAACCAAAGCAAAUUACCAUGUUAUUUUAAAAGACUCUCAAAAUAAUAUAAGUGAAGCAUGAGAGUUCAACAAUUUCUAUAAAAUAAAGCCAUCGCCGUGCUCUAAAAAUAUAAAAGUGAAGUACUAGAGCAAUAUUGUCUAGCUCAAAAGAUAUAAGUGAAGCACAUAGAGUAUUCUAAUAAAUCACGAUUCACGCGUGUCUCUCCCAAAACGUGUGUACAGCAAGGAUGAUUGUGGUAAACUAAAAACAAAUCAUACAAGAUGCUCCAGGAAAAACACAUAUCAUGUUGUGAAUAAAAAUAUAGCCUCAAGUAAAGUUACCGAUAGACGAAGACGAAAGAGGGGAUGCCUUCCGGGGCAUCCCCAAGCUUAGGCUUUUGGUUGUCCUUGAAUAUUACCUUGGGGUGCCUUGGGAAUCCCCAAUCUUAGGCUCUUGCCACUCCUUAUUCCAUAUUCCAUCAAAUCCUUACCCAAAACUUGAAAACUUCACAACACAAAACUCAACAGAAAAUCUCAUGAGCUCCGUUAGUAUAAGAAAAUAAACCAUCACUUUAAGGUACUGUUGCAAACUCAUUAUUUAUUUACAUUGGUGUAAUAUCUACUGUAUUCCAACUUUUCCAUGGUUCANNNNNNNNNNNNNNNNNNNNNNNNNNNNNNNNNNNNNNNNNNNNNNNNNNNNNNNNNNNNNNNNNNNNNNNNNNNNNNNNNNNNNNNNNNNNNNNNNNNNNNNNNNNNNNNNNNNNNNNNNNNNNNNNNNNNNNNNNNNNNNNNNNNNNNNNNNNNNNNNNNNNNNNNNNNNNNNNNNNNNNNNNNNNNNNNNNNNNNNNNNNNNNAAAAUAAGCAAAGAACACGCAAAAAAUAGAAUCUGUCAAAAAUAGAACAGUCUGUAGUAAUCUGUAACUCUCGAAUACUUAUGUAACUCCAAAAAUCCUGAUAAAUUAGGAAAUGAAGGAAAUAUGACCUAGAGGCAAUAAUAAAGUUAUUAUUUAUUUCCUUAAUUCAUGAUAAAUGUUUAUUAUUCAUGCUAGAAUUGUAUUAACCGGAAACUUAUUACAUGUGUGAAUAGUAUGCCUCUACUUGACUAGCUCAUUAAUCAAAGAUGGUUAUGUUUCCUAACCAUAGACAUGUGUUGUCAUUUGAUGAACAGGAUCACAUCAUUAGGAGAAUGAUGUGAUGGGCAUGACCCAUCCGUUAGCUUAGCAUUAUGAUCGUGAUAGUUUCAUUGCUACUACUUUCUUCAUGACUUAUACAAGUUCCUCAAACUAUGAGAUUAUGCAACUCCCGAAUACCGUAGGAACACUUUGUGUGAUACAAAACGUCCCAACGUAAUAGGGUGAUUAUAAAGGUGCUCUACAUGUGUCUCUGAAGGUGUUUGUUGGGUUGGCAUAUAUCAAGAUUACGAUUCGUCACUCCGUGUUUUGGAGAGGUAUCUCUAGGCCCUCUCGGUAAUACUCAUCACUAUAAGCCUUACAAGCAUUGUAACUAAUGAGUUAGUUGCAGGAUGAAGUAUUACAGAACGAGUAAAGGGACUUGCAGGUAACGAGAUUGAACUAGGUAUGAUGAUACUGACGAUCAAAUCUCGGGCAAGUAACAUACCGAAGACAAAGGGAACAAUGUAUGUUGUUAUGCGGUUUGACCGAUAAAGAUCUUUGUAGAAUAUGUAGGAACCAAUAUGAGCAUCCAGGUUUCGCUAUUGAUUAUUGACCGGAGAUGUGUCUCAGUCAUGUCUACAUAGUUCUCGAAACCAUAGGGUUUGUACGCUUAACGUUCGAUGACGAUAGGUAUUAUGAGUUUAUGUGUUUUGAUGUAUCGAAGGUAGUUCGGAGUCCCGGAUAUGAUCACGGACACGACGAGAAAUCUCGAAAUGGUCGAGACAUAAAGAUUGAUAUAUUGGAAGCCUAUGUUUGGACAUCAGAAUGGUUCCGGAUGAGUUCGGGCAUUUAUCGGAGUACCGGGGGUUACCGGAACCCUCCCGGGGAGCAUAUGGGCCUUACUGGGCCUUAGUGGGAGAGGAGAGAAGGCAACCUAGGAGGGGCGCGCCCUCCCCCCAAGGCCAAUCUGAAUUGGGUGUGGGGGGCGGCCCCUCUUUCCUUUCUCCUUCCCCCUCUUCCUUCUAUUCCUAGUGGGACUAGGAAAGGGGGGCACCCUAGAACACACAAGUUGACAUUGUUUAGAGAGGCCACUAGGAGGAGGACUCCUCCCCCCUUGGCGUGCCUAGAGAGGCCGGCCGGCCUGCCCAUCCCUCCUUUAUAUACGUGGGAAGGGGGCACCCUAGAACACACAAGUUGACAUUGUUUAGCCGUGUGCGGUGCCCCCCUUCGUAGUUACACACAUCGGUCAUAUCUUCGUAGUUCUUAGGAAAAGCCCUGCGCCGGUAACUUCGUCAUCACCGUCACCAUGCCGUCAUGCUGACGAAACUCUCCCUCGGCCUCAACUAGAUCAAGAGUACGAGGGACGUUCCCAAGCUGAAUGUGUGCUGAUCGCGGAGGUGCCAUACAUUCGGUGCUAAGAUCGGUCGGAUCAUGAAGACAUACGACUACAUCAACCGCGUUGUCACAAUGCUUCCGCUUUCGGUCUACGAGGGUACGUGGACAUACUCUUCCCUCUCGUUGCUAUGCAUCACAUAGAUAGAUCUUGCGUGAUCGUAGGAUUUUUUUUGAAAUUACUGCGUUCCCCAACAGUUGCAUCCGAGCCAGGUCUAUAUGUAGAUAUUAUAUGCAAGAGUAGAACACAAAGAGUUGUGGGCGAUAAUAGUCAUACUGCUUACCAGCAUGUCAUACUUUGAUUCGGCAGUAUUGUUGGAUGAAGCGGCUCAGACUUAUAGUACGCGUACGCUUACGCGAGACUGGUUCUACCGACGUGCUUUGCACAUAGGUGGAAGGUGAGUGUCUGUUUCUCCAACUUUAGUUGAACCGAGUGUGGCUACGCCCGGUCCUUGUUGAAGGUUAAAACAACACGCUUGAUGAAAAAUCAUUGUGGUUUUGAUGCCUAGGUAUGAACGGUUCUUGCUAAGCCCGUAGCAGCCAUGUAAAACUUGCAACAACAAAGUAGAGGACGUCUAACUUGUUUUUACAGGGCAUGUUGUGAUGUGAUAUGGUCAAGACAUGAUGUGAUAUAAUUUGUUGUAUGAGAUGAUCAUGUUUUGUUAAAGUUAUCGGCAACUGGCAGGAGCCUUAUGGUUGUCUCUUUAUUGCAUAAGAUGCAAGCGCCAUAUAAUUGCUUUACAUUAUCGCUAUGCGGUAGCAAUAGUUGCAAAAGCAAUAGUUGGCGAGACGACCAUGUGAUGACACAUUGAUAAAGAUCAAGAUGAUGGAGAUCAUGGUGUCAUGCCGGUGACGAUGGAGAUCAUGAUGGCACUUUGGGGAUGGAGAUCAAAGGCACAAGAUGAUGAUGGCCAUAUCAUGUCACAUAUUUUGAUUGCAUGUGAUGUUUAUCUUAUUAUGCUUCUUAUUUUGCUUAGUUCGGCGGUAGCAUUAUAAGAUGAUCCCUUACUAAAAAUUUCAAGGUAUAAGUGUUCUCCCUGAGUAUGCACCGUUGCAACAGUUGUUCGUGCCGAGACACCACGUGAUGAUCGGGUGUGAUAAGCUCUACGUUCACAUACAACGAGUGCAAACCAGUCUUGCACACGCAGAAUACUCGGGUUAAACUUGACGAGCCUAGCAUAUGCAGAUAUGGCCUCGGAACACUGGAGACCAAAAGGUCGAGCGUGAAUCAUAUAGUAGAUAUGAUCAACAUAGUGAUGUUCACCAUUUAAAACUACUCCAUCUCACGUGAUGAUCGGACAUGGUUUAGUUGAUUUGGAUCACAUGAUCAUUUAGAUGACUAGAGGGAUGUCUAUCUAAGUGGGAGUUCUUAAGUAAUAUGAUUUAUUGAACUUUAAUUUAUCAUGAACUUAGUCCUGAUAGUAUUUUGCAAAUUAUGUUAUAGAAGAAUAGCUCGUGUUAUAGCUUCCCUGUGUUUUUUAUAUGUUCCUAGAGAAAACUAAGUUGAAAGAUGAUAGUCGUAAUGAUGCAUACUGGGUCCGUGAUCUGAGGUGUAUCCUCAUUGCUGCGCAGAAGAAUUAUGUCCGUGAUGCAGUGCUAGGUGACAAACCUAUUGCAGGAGCAGAUGCCGACAUUAUGAACGUUUGGCUAGCUCAAUAUGAUGACUACUUGAUAGUUUAGUGCACCAUGCUUUAUAGCUUAGAACCGGGACUUAAAAAACGUUUUUGAAACGUCACGGAGCAUAUGAAUGUUCCAAGAACUGAAAAUGGUAUUUCAGACUCAUGCCCGUGUCAAGAGGUAUGAGACCUCUGACAAGUACUUUGCCUAAAAGAUGGAGGAGAAUUGCUUAACUAGUGAGCAUGUGCUCGGAAUGUCUGGGUACUACAAUCACUUGAAUCAAGUGGGAGUUAAUCUUCAAGAUAAAAUAGUGAUUGACGGAGUUCUCUAGUCACCAUCACCAAGUUACUGGAACUUCGUGAUGAACUAUAGUAUGCAAGGGAUGACGAUAAUGAUUCCCGAUCUCUUCGUGGUGCUGAAAUCAACGAAGGUAGAAAUCAAAAAGGAGCAUCAAGUGUUGAUGAUUAAACAAGACCACUAGUUUCAAGAAAAGGGUAAAGGGAAAGAAAGGGAACUUCAAGUAGAAUGGCAAGCAAGUUGUCACUUCCGUGAAGAAGCCCAAAGCUAGACUAAAGCCUGAAACUAAGUGCUUCUACUGCAAAGGAAAUGGUCACUGGAAGCGGAAAUGCCCUGAAUAUUUGGUGGAUAAGAAGGAUGGCAAAGUGAAAAAGGGUAUAUUUGAUAUACACGUUAUUGAUGUGUACCUUACUAGUGUUUAUAGUAGCCCCUGGGUAUUUGAUACUUGUUCGGUCGCUAAGAUUAUUAACUCAAAACAGGAGUAACAGAAUAAACAGAGACUAGUUGAGGGUGAAGUGAUGAUGUGUGUUGGAAGUUGUUCAAAGAUUGAUAUGAUCAUCAUCGCACACUCCCUAUACUUUCGAGAUUAUUGUUGAACCUAAAGAAAUGUUAUUUGGUGUUUGUGUUGAGCAUAAAUAUCAUUAGAUCAUGUUUAUUGUGAUACGAUUAUUCAUCUAAGACAAAGAAGAAAUUGUUAUUCUAUUUACAUGAAUAAAACCUUCUAUGGCCAUACACCCAAUGUUGAUGGUUUAUUGAAUCUUGAUCGUAGUGAUACACAUAUUCAUAAUAUUGAUGCCAAAAGAUGCAAAGUUGAUAAUGAUAAUGCAACAUAUUUGUGGCACUGCCAUUUGGGUCAUAUCAGUGUAAAGCGCAUGAAGAAACUCCAUAAAGAUGGAUUUUUGGAAUCCCUUGAUUGUGAAUCAUUUGAUGCCUGCGAACCGUGCCUUAUGGGCAAGAUGACUAAAACUCCAUUCUCUGGAACAAUGGAACGAGCUAGUGACUUAUUGGAAAUAAUACAUACCAAUGUAUGCGGUCCAAUGAGUGUUGAUGCUCGUGGUGGGUAUCGUUAUUUUCUGACCUUCACAGAUGAUUUGAGCUGAUAUGGGUAUAUCUACUUAAUGAAACACAAGUCUGAAACAUUUGAAAAGUUCAAAGAAUUUCAUAGUGAAGUGGAGAACCAUCGUAACAAGAAAAUAAAGUUUCUAUGAUCUGAUCAUAGAGGAGAAUAUUUGAGUUACGAGUUUGGCCUUCAUUUAAAACAAUGUGGAAUAGUUUCACAGCUCAUGCCACAUGGAACACCACAGCGUAAUGGUGUGUCGGAACGUUGUAACCGCACUUUAUUGGAUAUGGUGCUAUCUAUGAUGUCUCUUACCGGGUUACCACUAUCGUUUUUGGGUUAUGCAUUAGAGACAGCUGCAUUCACUUUGAAUAGGGCACCAUCGAAAUCCGCUGAGACAACGCCUUAUGGAACUAUGGUUUGGCAAGAAACCAAAGUUGUCGUUUCUUAAAGUUUGGGGCUGCGAUGCUUAUAUGGAAAAGCUUCAACCUGAUAAGCUCGAACCCAAAUCGGAGAACUGCAUCUUCAUAGGAUACCCAAAGGAAACUGUUGGGUACACCUUCUACCACAGAUCCGAAGGCAAGAUACUCAUUAUUAAGAAUGGCUCCUUUCUAGAGAAGGAGUUUCUCUCGAAAGAAGUGAAUGGGGGGGAAGUAUACUUGAUGAGGUAAUUGUACCUUCUCCCGAAUUGGAAAGUAGUUCAUCACAGAUAUCAGUUCUAGUGAUUCCUACACCAAUUAGUGAGGAAGCUAAUGAUGAUGAUCAUGAAACUUCAGAUCAAGUUACUACAGAACCUCGUAGGUUUUCCAAAGUACGGUCCGCACUAGUGUGGUACGGUAAUCCUAUUCUGAAAGUCAUGUUACUCGACUAUGAUGAACCUAGAAACUAUGAGGAAGCGAUGAUGAGCCAGAUUCCGCGAAAUGGCUUGAGGCCAUGAAAUCUGAGAUGGGAUCCAUGUAUGAGAACAAAGUGUGGACUUUGGUGGACUUGCCCGAUGGUCGGCAAGCCAUAUUAAAUAAAUGGAUCUUCAAGAGGAAGAUGGACACUGAUAGUAGUGUCACUAUCUACAAAGCUCGACUUAUCGCAAAAGGUUUUUCGACAAGUUCAAAGGUGUUGAAUACAAUGAGAUUUUCUCAACUGUAGCGAUGCUUAAAUCCAUCCAAAUCAUGUUAGCAGUUGCCAUAUUUUAUGAAAUCUGGCAAAUGGAUGUCAAAACUACAUUCCUUAAAUGGAUAUUUCUUAAAGAAGAGUUGUAUAUGAUGCAACCAAAAGGUUUUGUCAAUCCUAAAGGUACUAACAAAGUUUGCAAGCUCCAGCGAUCCAUUUAUUGUAACGCCCCGGAUUCGAUGCGCCAGGUGUCUGCCAGUUAUUCGCCGUCAUUGCCAUGUCAUUUGCUUGCGUGUUGCAUUUUGCCAUGUCAUCAUCUGCAUUUCAUCUGCAUGUUUUUCAAAACUUGCAUCCGAGCAUUUUCCCCGUUGUCCGUUUUGCAAUCCGACACUCCUAUGUCCUCCGGCGUCCCCCUUUUGCCUCUUUUCGUGUGCGGGUGUUAAACUUUCUCGGAAUGGCCCGAGGUUUCCCAAGCGGCCUUGGUAUAGCACCGGUAGACCGCCUGUCAAGUUUCUUUCCAUUUGGAGGUCGUUUGAUACUCCAACGGUUAACCGGGGAACCAUAAAGCCCUCUUUUGUUGGAGCCCAACACCCCUCCAAACUGGCCCAAAACCCAUCCUAACCCCCACCAUGCUCCCCGUCGUUCGAUCACGAUCGCGUGGCCGAAAACCGUGCCUAAUUUGGACUCUCCUAGCUCCCAGAAUCUAUAAAUAUGCCCUCCCCGUCCAAAAUCUCGGAUGAAAUAGACCCCAAACCCUAGCCCCCUUCUUCCUCCGUGCGCCGAACACGUCCGCCCGGUGCCGGACACGUCCGCCGCCGUCCCUGGACAAACCCCAGCGUGCCACGUCACACUCGCCCGCGCUCUCUCUCUCCUCCGCCGCCCGCGCCCCGCUGCGGCCCGCCAGGCCCAUAGCGGGCCCGCGCGAGCCCGCGCGCCGCCCGCGCCCGCGCCUCUUCCUCCGCUGUCNNNNNNNNNNNNNNNNNNNNNNNNNNNNNNNNNNNNNNNNNNNNNNNNNNNNNNNNNNNNNNNNNNNNNNNNNNNNNNNNNNNNNNNNNNNNNNNNNNNNNNNNNNNNNNNNNNNNNNNNNNNNNNNNNNNNNNNNNNNNNNNNNNNNNNNNNNNNNNNNNNNNNNNNNNNNNNNNNNNNNNNNNNNNNNNNNNNNNNNNNNNNNNNNNNNNNNNNNNNNNNNNNNNNNNNNNNNNNNNNNNNNNNNNNNNNNNNNNNNNNNNNNNNNNNNNNNNNNNNNNNNNNNNNNNNNNNNNNNNNNNNNNNNNNNNNNNNNNNNNNNNNNNNNNNNNNNNNNNNNNNNNNNNNNNNNNNNNNNNNNNNNNNNNNNNNNNNNNNNNNNNNNNNNNNNNNNNNNNNNNNNGUCGGGCCGCCCGCGCCCCCGCCGACCGCCGCUGCGCAGCCACCUCGCCGGCCGACGCACCUCGGCGCGCCGCCCCAUGCGUCCGUCGCCCGGCGCCCGCUCCUUCCUCUCUGGUGGUGCUCCGGUGCCUCUCCUGCUCCAGCGCAUCCCCUCCCUCUCCGGCAAGUCCGGUGAGAUCCUACUCCGGCAAGCUCGUGCCGCCUCCUCGGGAUCCGUGCCCAGAUCCAGAUCCGUUUUCGAAGGUUGACCCCGGAAUUCCUCAAGUCCCUGAUAUUUUGACAUUUUAUGCCCUUGUUCAAUGCAUCAUAACUUGUUGCAUACUGCUCCGUUUGGUGCAUGUAAUAUAUCUAAAUGUUCGUUGUGAGAUGAUCUUCAUUUCAUUCCAUUGUGCCAUGUUCAUUUGAGAUCAUCUUCAUGCCCUAAUCAUCAUUGCAAGAGUGCUAUAUGAUGUUAAUCUGCUGAAACUGUUAUAACUUGGUGAUUUGUCAUUUUUGUUGCAUUUGAUGUGUGCAUCUUAUGAGCUUGAUGUCUACAUGUGUUUUGAGAUAUGUCAUGCCAUCUUUACAUAGGUGCAAUCCAUGUAUUUUUGUGAGCCUUGUACUGAGUGCAUCAAGCUUGUUAAGUAGGGUACUUGUUGUUGCUGUUUUGCUAGAUUGAUUCUGUUAUAUUUUGUUGCUAUGUAAACCUGCUGCUACAAGUCAUCCUAUGCAUUAUAUGGAGAUGAUCACUAAGGAUGUUUUGUUAUAAAUGUCAUGCUCUAUCCAUCCAUGCCCCUGGUUGCAUUUAUGGCUUGCUGUAGAUUGUUUAUAUCUUGCUCCAAAGUUGCUAAAUAAUAUUGUUGUCAGCCUGUUAACAUUAAGUUCAGUUUUGCCAUGUGCUUUGCUAGUGAUCCAUGUACCCUAUGAACUUGCUCUUGCCAUUCGUAGCUUCAUAAACAUGUCUUAUUACUGUUAGUCACUUUUUCAUGCCAUGUAUUGCUCUGUGGUAAGUGGUACAAGCUCACCAACAUGCCUACUUAUCGUUGUUCCUGCCAUGUAUGAAUCUGUCAUAUCAUUUGCCAUGUUUACAUGGGUGCCAUCAUAUCUUCUGGUCCUUUUUGGCUCAUGGUCAGUAAAGGACUUUUGUUCUAUGCAUUUAGUAGUAUCAUUCCAUGCCUUUUUUCCAUAAUAAGUUCCUGUAGCAUGUUGUUUGAUAGCUCUAAACAUUGCAACCUGAUGUUAUUUCUGCAAAGUCUGAAACUGUUAUUGUUUGCAAUCUUGCCAUGUGUUUUGGAGCAUGUUCUAGUGAUUUCUGGAGGUAGCUCAGUGUUUAUGUUUUAUUAUGCUUUACCUAUAAAUCACGUACAUGCCUUUUGUUCUCAUAUUAUGGGACUGUAGCAUGUUGUUUUGGUGCUUGCAAUAUGCCAACUUGCUGUUUUGAACAGCUUGUCCUUUAAACUUGUAUAGUGUGUUUGUGUUGAACCAUUGCUCCGUUUUGAGUGUGCUCUAUAUGAAACUUGCUUGAUUUUGCAUGUAGUUUCAUAAUAUCAUGUUGCAUCAAUGUUUUGAGGUGUUUUCUUGAUGUUUGUAUGCAUUUUGCAUCAAUGCCAUGGUUAACUUGUUUUGCUCAUAUCUUCUAGGCCGUAACUCCAAACUAAAUGAACUUUAUAUGUAACCUGACUAGAAUUUCGUGUAGGUCCUCUUGGUGCAUCUUAACUUGAUGUUUAAAAACUUGAACAUAAGGUUUAUUCAGAUCUUCACCAAUUUCGAAAUUUGCAUAUGAGGACUUACCGGAAUUGUUAUAUGUUGUUUCCGGCCUCAUUUAAACUUGCUUUAAUGUGUUGCUCUUGUAUGCAUCAUCUCUUGCCAUGAGUAGCUUCAUGUAGCUUUGUCAUGCAUCAUGCUUGUUGUGCAUCAUGUCUUCUCUAUGUGUGGUGUGUUUACCAUGUUGUGUGCUUCUUCUCGAUAGUUCCCGUUUCAUUGCGAUCGUGAGGAUUCGUUCGUCUACGCUUGGUUCGGCUUCAUCCGUUCAUCUUCUUCAUGGACUUGUUCUUCUUCCUUGCGGGAUUUCAGGCAAGAUGACCAUCACCUUGGAUAUCACUACUAUCAUUGCUAUGCUAGUUGCUUCGUUCUAUCGCUUUGCUGCACUACCUAUCACUUGUUCUUCAAGCCUCCCAAUUGCCAUGUCAGCCUCUAACCUUUUUCACCUUCCCUAGCAAACCGUUGUUUGGCUAUGUUACCGCUUUUCUUAGCCCCUCUUAUAGCAUUGUUAGUUGCAGGUGAAGUUGAAGAUUGCUCCAUGGUGGACAGGAUUAUGUUGGCAUAUCACAAUAUCUCUUAUUUAAUUAAUGCAUCUAUAUACUUUGUAAAGGGUGGAAGACUCGGCCUUAUGCCUGGUGUUUUGUUCCACUCUUGCCGCCCUAGUUUCCAUCAUACCGGUGUUAUGUUCUCGGAUUUUGCGUUCCUUACGCGGUUGGGUGAUUUAUGGGACCCCCUUGACAGUUUGCUUUGAAUAAAACUCCUCCAGUAAGGCCCAACCUUGGUUUUAUCAUUUGUCUCACCACCACCUAUACCUUUCCCUUGGGUCGGCCAACCCGAGGGUCAUCUUUAUUUUAGCCCCCUCGGGCCAAUGCUUGUCUAAGUGUUGGUCCGAACCGAGUAGACUGUGGGGCCCCCUCGGGGAAACUCGAGGUCUGGUUUUACUCGUCGGAUGUCUCAUCCGGUGUUGCCCUGAGAAUGAGAUAUGUGCAACUCCUAUCGGGAUUGUCGGCGCAUCGGGCGGCUUUGCUGGUCUUGUUUUACCAUUGUCGAAAUGUCUUGUAAACCGGGAUUCCGAGUCUGAUCGGGUCUUCCUGGGAGAAGGUAUAUCCUUCGUUGAUCGCGAGAGCUUAUCAUGGGCUAAGUUGGGACACCCCUACAGGGUUUAAACUUUCAAAAGUCGUGCCCGUGGUUAUGCGGCAGAUGGGAAUUUGUUAAUGUCCGGUUGUAGAUAAUUUGACACCAGAUCCGAAUUAAAAUGCAUCAACCGCGUGUGUAGCCGUGAUGGUCUCUCCUCGGCGGAGUCCGGAUUGGGUUAUGUUUGACGCAAGUAGGAGUUCAGGAUCACCUCUUGAUCAUUGCUAGCUUCAUGACCAUUCCUUUGCUUCUCUUCUCGCUCUUAUCUGCGUAUGUUAGCCACCAUAUAUGCUUAGUCGUUGCUGCAACCUCACCACUUUACCCCUUCCUUACCCCAUUAAGCUUUGCUAGUCUUGAUACCCAUGGUAAUGGGAUUGUUGAGUCCUCGUGGCUCACAGAUUACUACAACAACAGUUGCAGGUAUAGGUUAUGUGAUGAUCAUGACGCGAGAGCGAUGUUUGUGUGUUUUGGAGUUCUUCUUCUGCUUCUUCUUCGAUCAGGGGAUAGGUUCCAGGUCGGCAGCCUGGGCUAGCAGGGUGGAUGUCGUUUGAGUUUCUGUUUGUGUUUCAUCCAUAUUCGGAUGGUGCUCUUAUGUAAGAUGAUGUUGUAUUCGUGUGGCAUUGGAUGCCUUUUGUAUGUAUCCCCAUCUAUUAUGUAAUGUUGAUGUAAUGAUAUCCACCUUGCAAAAGCGUUUCAAUAUGCGGUUCUAUCCUUGGUGGGACCUUCGAGUCUCUUUAGGAUAGUAUCGCAUAUUGGGCGUGACAAGUUGGUAUCAGAGCCUCGACCGACCAUAGGAGCCCCCUUGAUUGAUCGUGUAGUUUGGCCGUUCUCGAGUCUAGAAGAAAAUUCUUUUUUGGAGUCUAGUUAUAUCGGAGAGUAGGAAUUCUUUUUACUCCUUAGCCUCUUCGUCACUCUGGUGAGGAAUCUUGACGUAGGUGUUUUGAAUUACUCCUCUUCCCCUUCAAAUUUUUGUUUAGGAUCACGCAGUUGGUUUUCCGAUCGUUGGGUCUCAGCUCUUCUAUCCGGUGCAUUUCUCAUAAAGUUGACUCGAGCCUCUUCAUCUUUGCGAGUUCAAUCCUCAGAUGUUUUCUUUUCCCACCCACCCACCCCUUUUUCUUCUUGGAGCCGGAGUCCGUAAUCGAGUAUCCAUCCUACUCGUGCGAAGUCUUUGCUUUCUUUCCUCAAUUAUUUCAACCGGUGCUUUCUCUUCAAGAUAUUCGUUGGUUCUCCCUUCCAAGUUGCCUUUGUUUUUCCCGCCCUCCCACCCUCUUCUUCCCGGAGCCCGAGUCUGUUUUGAGCAUCAAUUUCAUUCGUACGGAGCCUCUUCAGUCUUCCCUCAAUUAUUUCAACCAGUGAAUUCUCGUUUUGUUCGACAUUCUUCAUCUCUUUUUCUUCUCCGGUGGACUCAAUUCAAGUUUUUCAGGUUGAUCAUAUUCUUUUCCUUCGAUCAAGUGUUUUCCCUGCUCGUUCGCCUCUCGCCGGUUUAUCCUUCCGGAGUGUGCAAGACAUCACAGGAGAUUCGCCUGUGUUCGAAUUAAUUCGAGGUUGUCACCUCAUUCAAAUAUUUCAAUUGUUCCGGUGCUUCACCUAUAUGUUCAACAUCCCUUUCCAACAGUGUUUUUCUCAGUGGGCCCUAACCCACAGGUUUUUCCCCAGGAUCUUACCUGACUCUUCUAAUUAUUCCGGAGCCAUUCCUAAUUCUUUUCGAGUUUGACGUAAGUAUGGAUUUCAUCAGUCAGAUGCCUUUCCAAAAUCGAUUUCAAAUCUUUUUCAUUGUUGGCUCAACCUUUUCGGUUUUCAUUCUCCCCGAGUAUCUCAGUAAUUUUGGUGCUGGUUCUCGUCGUCAUUUGAAGAUUGAAGAAGAGUUUUUUCCUCUAAAUCUUGCCCGUUCUCUCGAAGUUUCGUGGUUCUAGCUUCGUGUUACCCUCUCGAAUUAUUCCAUUUGUCAGAAAUUCCUUUUUCUCAACCAUCCGGAGUAUUUCAGGAGUUGAUUUAUGUUUCUUUUCACCGAAGGCCAUCAUUCCAGCUAUCGUUCUCUAAUUUAUCCCGGAGCAUCUGUCAAGUAUUCCUUAUCAUCUCGUUGUCUCUUUGUUCUUUUGCAUCUAAAUCCCCUCUAGCUUAUUUGUUCUUCUAAUUCUCCCGGUGAUUCAUUCUCUUUCGUCAGUCAUUUUCGAAUUCUUACGGUGGUUCGUUCAAGAUUCUUUUUCCUUGAUUAUCAUUUUAAUCCAUUCGUUCUUUCAAUCCUACCGGUGGUUCAUGAAGACCUUCUCAAGUUUGCGAUAUGUCACUUCUAUAUCCUUUUUUCAAGAGGAAUAAGUAAUAUGCAAAAUCCAUUGCUUGUAAUCAAUUUAAUUUGAUGAAGGAUAAGCAUACAAUAAAUCUUAUUCUUAUUUCAUCCAAGUGAGUAAUACCUGCCUUCGGAGUUUGUCCUUGAGGAAUAAAUUAUAGUUCUAAGUGUUUUCAUCUUUUCUUUUCGGAGUUCAAAUUUCCUCAGUCAUCUCGUCAGAAACCCCAUCUAAAUCAUCACAAGGCUCAUCUUAUUCUUUCAUCCUUCAUUUCUAUCUCAUCAUCCUUUUGUCACCGGAGUUCUUCAUGGUGGUUCUUCAUGAUUUAAGUCAUUCUUCAAGAUUUCAUCAAGUAUCAUUCCAUCCUAUGAAGCUCGUGUUCUAUUCAUCCAUGUUUCAGCCGAAGUGCUGCCUAAAUCCUUUCAGUCUUACUCGUUUAUUAUCUCGUUCUAACCGGAGUGGAUUCAUAGUCUAUCUGAUUCCAUGAGCUUUCGAUUCUCAUCAUUCUCGUCGUUCCUCUCUUCUUCUCGAGUGCUCUCGAUUCUUUGCUUCUUCUCUUGAGUUCUUGUUUCACUCAUCCCUUUUCCCUUCCGUCUCGGUCCUAAGAUCUCGGGACGAUAUCUCUUGUUAGUGGAGGAGUGUUGUAACGCCCCGGAUUCGAUGCGCCAGGUGUCCGCCAGUUAUUCGCCGUCAUUGCCAUGUCAUUUGCUUGCGUGUUGCAUUUUGCCAUGUCAUCAUCUGCAUUUCAUCUACAUGUUUUUCAAAACUUGCAUCCGAGCAUUUUCCCCGUUGUCCGUUUUGCAAUCCGACACUCCUAUGUCCUCCGGUGUCCCCAUUUUGCCUCUUUUCGUGUGCGGGUGUUAAACUUUCUCGGAAUGGCCCGAGGUUUUCCAAGCGGCCUUGGUAUAGAAGCGGUAGACCGUCUAUCAAGUUUCGUUGCAUUUGGAGGUUGUUUGAUACUCCAACGGUUAACCGGGGAACCGUAAAGCCCUCUUUUGUUGCAGCCCAACACCCCUCCAAACUGGCCCAAAACCCAUCCUAACCCCAUCCAUGCUCUCCGCCGUUCGAUGACGAUCGCGUGGCCGAAAACCGUUCCUCAUUUGGACUCUCCUAGCUCCCAGAAUCUAUAAAUAUGCCCUCCCCGUCCAAAAUCUCGGAUGAAAUAGACCCCAAACCCUAGCCCCCUUCUUCCUCCGCGCACCGGUCACGUCCGCCUGGCGCCGGACACGUCCGCCGCCGUCCCUGGACGAAUCCCAGCGCGACACGUCACCCUCGCCCGCCCUCUCUCUCUCCUCCGCCGCCCGCGCCCCGCCGCGGCCCGCCAGGCCCAUCACGGGCCCGCGCGAGCCCGCGCGNNNNNNNNNNNNNNNNNNNNNNNNNNNNNNNNNNNNNNNNNNNNNNNNNNNNNNNNNNNNNNNNNNNNNNNNNNNNNNNNNNNNNNNNNNNNNNNNNNNNNNNNNNNNNNNNNNNNNNNNNNNNNNNNNNNNNNNNNNNNNNNNNNNNNNNNNNNNNNNNNNNNNNNNNNNNNNNNNNNNNNNNNNNNNNNNNNNNNNNNNNNNNNNNNNNNNNNNNNNNNNNNNNNNNNNNNNNNNNNNNNNNNNNNNNNNNNNNNNNNNNNNNNNNNNNNNNNNNNNNNNNNNNNNNNNNNNNNNNNNNNNNNNNNNNNNNNNNNNNNNNNNNNNNNNNNNNNNNNNNNNNNNNNNNNNNNNNNNNNNNNNNNNNNNNNNNNNNNNNNNNNNNNNNNNNNNNNNNNNNNNNNNNNNNNNNNNNNNNNNNNNNGGCCGGUGCACCUCGGCGCGCCGCCCCGCGCGUCCGUCGCCCGACGCCCGCUCCUUCCUCUCUGGUGGUGCUCCGGCGCCUCUCCUGCUCCAGGGCGUCCCCUCCCUCUCCGGCAAGUUCGGCGAGAUCCUACACCGGCGAGCUCGCGCCGUCGCCUCGGGAUCAGUGCCCAGAUCCAGAUCCAUUUUCGAAGGUUGACCCCGAAAUUCCUCGAAGUCCUUGAUAUUUUGACAUUUUAUGCCCCUGUUCAACGCAUCAUAACUUGUUGCAUACUGUUCUGCUUGAUGUCUACAUGUGUUUGAGCUAUGUCAUGCCAUCUUUAUAGAGGUGCAAUCCAUGUAUUUUUGUGAGUCUUGUACUGAGUGUGUCAAGCUUGUUAAGUAGGGUACUUGUUGUUGCUGUUUUGCUAGGCUGAUUCUGUUAUAUUUUGUUGCUAUGUAAACCUGCUGCUACAAGUCAUCCUAUGCAUUACCUGGAGAUGUUCACUGAGGAUGUUUUGUUAUAAAUGUCUUGCUCUAUCCAUCCAUGCCCCUGGUUGCAUUUAUGUCUUGCUGUAGAUUGUUUAUAUCUUCCUCCAAAGUUGCUAAAUAAUAUUGCUGUCAGCGUGUUAACAUUAAGUUCAGUUUUGCCAUGUGAUUUGCUAGUGAUCCAUGUACCCUAUGAACUUGCUCUUGCCAUCCUCAACUUCAUAAACAUGUCUUCUUACUGUUAGUCACCUUUUCAUGCCAUGUAUUGCUCUGUGGUGAGUGUUACAAGCUCACCAACAUGCCUACUUAUCAUUGUUCCUGCCAUGUAUGAAUCUGUCAUAUCAUUUGCCAUGUUUACAUGGGUGCCAUCAUAUAUUCAGAUCCUUUUUGCCUCAUGGUCAGUAAAGGACUUUUGUUCUAUGCAUUUAGUAGUAUCAUGCCAUGCCUUUGUUUUCCAUAAUAAGUUCCUGUAGCAUGUUGUUUGAUAGCUCUAAACAUUGCAACCUGAUGUUAUUUCUGCAAAGUCUGAAACUGUUAUUGUUUGCAAUCUUGCCAUGUGUUUUGGAGCAUGUUCUAGUGAUUUCUGGAGGUAGCUCAGUGUUCAUGUUUUGUUAUGCUUUACCUGUAAAUCAUUUCCAUGCCUUUUGUUGUCAUAUUGUGGGACUGUAGCAUGUUGUUUUUGUGUUUGCAAUAUGCCUACUUGCUGUUUUGAAUAGCUUGUCCUUUAAACUUGUAGUGUGUUUGUGUUGAAUCGUUGCUCCGUUUUGAGUGUGCUCUAUAUGAAACUUGCUUGAUUUUGCAUGUAGUUUCAUAAUAUCAUGUUCCAUCCAUGUUUUGAGGUGUUUGCUUGAUAUUUGUAUGCAUUUUGCAUCAAUGCCAUGGUUAAUUUGUUUUGCUCAUAUCUUCUAGGCCGUAGCUCUGAACUAAAUGAUCUUUAUAUGUAACCUGACUAGAAUUCGUGUAGAUCCUCUUGGUGCAUCUUAACUUGCUGUUUAACAACUUGAACAUAAGGUUUAUUCAGAUCUGGACCUGUUGGGGAUAUAACUAUUUGUGUAAGCCGCCCAGGAGGGGCCGGGUUACGCAAAGUGGAUUCACCAGAGAGAAGCCCAAGACCAAAGUAUGAAGAUGGCGGUUCAUAGAGAGCUUAAGGCCCGCAGGUGACUUAAGGCCCAUUGUAGUAAACCACCAUAGUAGUAUACUUGUAUCAUAAGGUAGACUUAACUAGUCACCAAGCCGGACAUUGUGUAUUAGCCGGCCGGGACUCUGUAAGCCGCAGGGCGUCAACCCGUGUAUAUAAGGGGAUGACCUACGGGCGACUUAGGGCAAGAAACAACUCAUCGAGAGCCAGGCAUAGCAUAUCUCGCUCCCUGAUCAUCGAAACAUCAAUACCAACCCAACUAGACGUAGGCCUUACCUUCACCGUAAGGGGCCGAACUAGUAUAAGACCUCUCGUGUCCUUUGUCUCGAUUAACCCCUUCAAGCUUCCUAGCUGCGAUGGCUCCACAACUAAGUCCUUUCACGAGGACAUCUGACGUGACAAUUCCACGACAGUUGGCGCCCACCGUGGGGCCAGCGCACGGUGGAUUUGAGUUCUUGAAGGGCAACUUCGAAGGGCUCAAGGGAUACGCAGUGGGCCGGAUGACCAAAAAUCGUCGCGGCAAGAUCUACAUCAGCGAAGAAGGCUGGGGCCCCGACGCCGGCUCAAUUGAGUACGGGUACCGGGUCCCCUUCGGAGGGAUCCACGUCUUCAUCGGCCGGAUUGGUGAGCCGGGGCCUGAGCCGGACAACUGCACCGACCUCGUCGAGACGGCUCAGCGUGCGUAUCCCGCCCGAGUUCAAACCGGCAUGAAGCGUGUCUUUCUGGGCUGCGUCCACGGAGAAGAACUUUCUGAAGGUCCUGAAGAUGGUGGUGAGACGGCCGUCCACUCUGACGGUGAUUCGUCCGCCGGUUCAACAGAUUCUUUGUAUCAAGUUCAGGACGGUGCGCUCGGGGGCUGUUCCGAUGGCCUUAGUAUUCCGGACCUCUGUGAGUCGCCAAAUUGGGCAGGAGUCUUUAUGGCUGGGACUCAACCCGGACAAAACUCUACAGUCGCGGCUGCAAUUACUUCCGGGUUAGGAACAGCCGGGGCAGGAGGCCAUGUGCGCCCGCCGGCUCAAGUGCUGAUAGACCUCAUGGACAAGCUUACGACCCUGUUAACCGCCACGGUCAUCCCUGCAAACAAAGAUGAGCAUGACGCGGAGGUAGCAUGGGUAUGUGAGGAGAUAGCUCAGGCCAAGGAGGCCUUAGCAGCUGAAGAUACUAGACUAGCUACGGAGCAGGCGGCUCUUGACGCCCGGGCACAGCGGUUGCAGUCAGAGGCUUACCAGCUCACGAUGAGUUUAAACGCGUCCAAUGAGGUAAUGAGGAGGAGACACCAGAAGACCCAAUCUUGGUUGCCUCCGAAUUAUGAUCCUAGGGUUCUUUUUGCUACACCCGGAGCCGGCCCAAGUAACCCGCCCGAUGCUAAUCAGUUUAUGACAUCCGGAGCGGGAGGACCGGCUCAGCGUCGGGAGAUGCCACCUCCUCAUAUGAGCAUGGCCGCCGCGUUAUGUGCCGGUACCGGAGGGUCACUUUUCCAACCCCAUGGAGAAUUUAAUCGCGGCGUCAACGCGCCUGGCGGCUCUUCCAGUGGACGGUGAUGAUCCAACAGCAGUGGAGACACGGAGGAUCAGGGAACUUGUCCAGACGGCCCUGGCUCAGCAGGAGACCUAUUCUUACAGCCGGGAUAGGAUUCACUCAUCCCCUCCGCCUUGGUUAGCACCGCCUCAUCAGAACCAGAGCCCAAGUUACAGCAGGCACAUGGAAUCUGAAGCUUUAUCGAGCAACGCCCAACGCCGUAACCAGCAUGGUGGCUAUAACCCGGUGCAAGGCCGAGUACGUCAGGAGAACGAGCGGGCGGCUCAACUGGCGGCUCAAUAGGCGGCUCAGCUGGCGGCUCAUCAGGAUAUCCCAGAGUAUCCAACGACCUCUGUUGAGAUAGGAGUAGCCACCAGAAUCAGUGGAGUUCCUUGUUUGAUACCGGAUUUGCGCAACGUGCGCCUGCCUAAGGACUUCAAGGGACCUCGAAAGGUGCCAAAUUACACGGCCGACUUACAGCCUGGAGCAUGGAUUGAGAGUUAUGAGAUAGCCAUGGAGCUGUUGGAGGUCAGUGACGCGGCAAUGGAUAAAUACUUCACCAUGAUGUUAGAUAGAACGGCCCGGUCUUGGCUAAAAGGUUUACCACCUAAUUCCAUUGGUUCAUGGGAGGAGUUAAAGGCACGUUUCAUCCAGAACUUCAAGGAUACCUGUAAGCAAUCUAUGUCGAUCAUGGACUUGACGAGUUGUAAGCAGGGAGAGGGUGAAUCCACCACCCAUUGGGUACGCCGAGUCAAGGAGAUAAUUCACUCAUCUAAUAAGAUGGAUGCCGGCUCUGCAACCCUCAUGUUGGAGAAGAAUUGCAACUUUGAACCACUAAGGCAGAAAUUGGGCCGCCUUAAGCGUGACUGCACCGAUAUGGGGACGUUGAUGGCGGCUUUAGUCAAAUAUGCCGAUUCUGAUAAUACCAAGGACCCCGCAUCUGACGAUGUGAAAACAGGGAAGGGUAAAAGGAACGGUAAUGGAAAGGGUCAAUAGCACAACCCGGGGAAUCAAAGCGGCAAUAAGCGUAAGGCGGGCGGCAACCCGGAGCUUGUGGCUAACGCUAGUACACAGGGUAACAAUCAGAGACGUAAGGGUAAGUGGCCUCGAACCGGCGGGUCAGGUCCAUCUCUUGAGCAGCUACUCAAUGAGCCCUGUCCGAAACACGGCACCCGGGAGCACCCCGCUACACACCUGUGGAAAGAUUGUGCGAUCAUGAAGGCGUUUAAAAACUCCAAUAUCUUUGAUGGUGGUCAUGGAUCUGGUGGUGGUUCAGGGGCCGGCGGCUUUCAUGGCCCGGGCGGCGGUUCAAAUUCCGGUUUCGAGGGAUAGCCGGGUGGAAAUAAUCAGCAGCAAUCUGGUCAGGGAGGACAGCAGCAGCAGCAGUCGGGUUACCAGAGCCAACCAAAACAGUUGAGCGGUGGGCAGUACCAUGUGUUUACCACCAGCUUAUGCAAACGUGACCAGAAGAUUCAUAAGAGGGCUAUAAAUUCGGUUUAGCCGGCAGUUCCUCGUUAUUUGAGAUGGUCAGAACAACCCAUCAUUUGGAGCAGAGAGGAUCACCCUCCACGCGUCGAUAAUCCAGGUCAGUUAGCCUUGGUGGUAGCACCCCGGGUUGGUGGAUAUACUCUAUUAUGAGACCUUCCAGCGUAUGGGGUUGACUGAGAAGAAUCUGAGAACAUCCAACACUGUUUUCCAUGGGGUGGUUCCAGGCAAGUCGGCUUACCCAGUUGGUAAGAUUGAGUUGGAGGUGGCCUUUGGAGAUGAGUAUGAUUCCAGGGCUGAGAAGUUGACAUUUGAGGUGGUCAAAAUCAGGAGUCCAUAUCACGCUCUGUUUGGGCGACCGGCUUAUGCUAAGUUCAUGGCACGGCCGUGUUACGUUUACUUACAGCUCAAGAUGCCGGGUUACAAGGGCACCAUCACUGUGCAUGGGAGUCGGAAGGUGGCCUUGGAAUGUGAAGAAGGCGACGCGGCUUACGCUGAGACGGCCUGUGCCGCGGAGGAGCUCAAAUUCUAUCAAGACAAUAUUGACCCGGCGGAUAUGACCUCCCUUAAGAAACCAACUACUGAGCAUGACCCGGCGUUGAAAUUUAAAUCGGCUGCUGAGACAAAACUAGUUGACUUCACCCCGGGAGACGCCUCUAAGCAGUUUAGUAUCAGCGCUAAUUUGGAUCCUAAAUAGGAAAGCGCGCUCAUCGAGUUCAUCCGUGAGAACUGGGACAUCUUUGCAUGGAAGCCUUCUGACAUGCCGGGUGUACCGAGGGAACUCGCUGAGCACACUCUCAAUAUUGAUCCAAAGUAUAAGCCGGUCAGGCAGUUUCUCCGACGAUUCAACAAAGAGAGACGGAAAGCUAUUGGGGAAGAGGUGGCCUCUUGGCAGCCGGGUUUAUUAUUGAGGUUUUUCAUCCGGAAUGGUUGGCUAACCCGGUGCUGGUGCUCAAGAAGAACGGCACUUGCGGAUGUGUGUGGAUUACACGGACUUAAAUAAGGCUUGCCCGGCUGAUUCCUUUGCUCUCCCCCAUAUUGAUCCAAUCAUUGAUGCUACGGCGGGUUGUGAACGUUUGAGCUUUUUGGAUGCUUACUCUGGCUAUCAUCAGAUCAAGAUGGCAGUUAAGGACCAGGAGAAGACAGCUUUCAUCACUCCGUUUGGGGCCUUCUUUUAUGUAUAUAUGCCGUUUGGGCUCAAGAGUGCCCAGGCAACUUAUCAGCGAUGUGUGCAGAACUGUUUGCAUGAUCAAAUUGGGCGCAAUGUUCAUGCUUAUGUGGAUGACAUUGUGGUGAAGUACAGAGAAAAGGAAACCUUAAUAUCCGACUUGAGAGAGACCUUUGACAAUCUCCGGGUUUACAAGAUGAUGCUUAACCCGGCUAAGUGUGUGUUUGGUGUACCUACAGGCAAGCUUUUGGGUUUUCUGGUGUCGAAUAGAGGCAUUGAAGCUAAUCCGGAGAAGAUCACGGCGAUUACCUCUCUGGCUAAGCCGGCAUGUAUCAAUGAUGUUCAGCGUCUGGCGGGACGUGUUGCCGCUUUAAGCCGGUUCAUAAGCCGGUUAGGGGAGAAGGCCUUACCACUAUAUCAGAUGAUGAAGAAAACCGACACUUUUGUCUGGAGCGAUGCUGCUAACACUGCCUUUGAGGAUUUAAAGAGACAGUUGUCUGAGCUGUCGGUUUUUGCAGCUCCCAUUGAUGGAGAGCCGCUAUUGUUAUAUGUGCCUGCUAACUCACGGGCCGUCAGUGUAGCCAUCGUGGUGGAGCGUAAGGAGGCAGGCAAGGAGCAUCCGGUUCAACGGCCGGUUUACUACAUCAGCGAGGUGCUCAUUGAGUCUAAACAAAGGUAUCCAGAUUGGCAGAAGCUUGUUUAUGGUGUGUUCAUGGCAAACCGGAAGCUGAAGCAGUACUUUCAAAGUCAUCCUAUAACGGUGGUAAGUUCAGCCCCUUUGGGAGAUAUCAUUCAGAACAGGGAAGCCACAGGACGAAUCGCCAAGUGGGCCAUUGAGCUUGGGCCUUAUGGUCUGAAGUAUAUGCCCUGUACUGCCAUCAAGUCUCAGGCCUUGGUGGAUUUUAUCAAUGAUCGGACAGAGUUGCAGGCACCUGAGGAGAAGCCGAACAAUACGUAUUGGACUAUUCACUUUGAUGGAUCUAGGCAGUUAGAAGGAUCAGGGGCUAGAGUUGUCUUAACUUCCCCUCAAGGUGAUAAAUUUCGUUAUGUGCUCCGGCUCAUGUUUCCUUGUACUAACAAUGCAGCUGAGUACGAGGCCUUGCUCCAUGGUCUCCGAAUGGCUAAGGAGAUGAAUUUAAGCUGGGUAAGGUGCUUGGGUGACUCAGACCUCGUGGCUCAACAGGUCUCAGGCACAUGGGAUUCUAAGGAUCCCCUUAUGGCGGCUUAUCGCCGUGAAGUCGAUGUCGUAGCUGGGUACUUCAAAGGGUAUCAGGUGGAGCAUAUUGACAGAAGGAAGAAUGAGGCGGCUGAUGCUUUAAGCCGGUUGGGCUCUUAGCGCAAGCCGGUGCCGCCUAAUACCUUUCUUGACGUUCUACAUAAUCCUUUUGUCAAGGUACCUACAGAGGAAGAGCUUGCAGUGCCAGACCCGGAGGCACAGUUGGUGGUUGCACUUCACGUCAUCCCGGAUUGGACAUUGCCAUAUUUGGCUUAUAUGACCCGGGGAGAGCUGCCUGAGGAUGAGACCUUGGCGAGACAAAUUGUCAGGCGGUCCAAAUCCAUGACAAUUGUUAACGGCGAGUUACAUCAUCUCGGUGUCACAAGGGCGUUCCAGCGUUGUGUGUCGCCUGCAGAGGGUCAAGAGAUACUUCGAGAAAUCCAUGAAGGAGAUUGUGGUCAUCAUGCUGGUUCAAAAUCUAUGGUGGCCAAGGCUUUCCGUCAUGGUUUUUAUUGGCUGGCGGCUCAUGCAGAUGAAGAAGAUCUUGUUAGAAAAUGUGACGGAUGUCAAAAAUUCUCACGACGAGCUCAUGUGUCGGCUCAGGAAUUGAGGAUGAUUCCAAUUACUUGGCCGUUUGCAGUAUGGGGGCUUGACAUGGUGGACCUUUUAAAAGGUCUAAGGAUAAAAAGACACACCUCCUGGUGGCAAUGGAUAAAUUUACAAAGUGGAUUGAGGCAGAGCCGGUCAGUCAGUGUGAUGCGGCCACAGCAGUUCAGUUCAUCAAAAAGGUGAUCUUUCAUUUUGGUUUUCCACAUAGCAUCAUAAGUGAUAAUGGCACUAAUCUCUCCAAGGGUGCCAUGGAAGAGUUCUGUCAACAGGAACAUAUCCGGCUUGAUGUUUCGGCUGUUGCUCAUCCUCAAUCCAAUGGUCAAGCAGAAAGAGCUAAUCAGGAGAUUUUAAGAGGUAUCAAACCACGGCUCUUGGUCCCCUUACAGCGGACUCCGGGUUGUUGGGUGGAAGAGUUGCCCUCUGUGCUGUGGAGCAUCAACACUACGCCUAACAGAUCCACGGGUUAUACACCUUUUUCAUGGUUUAUGGAGCAAAGGCAGUUCCGCCAAGUGAUAUCCGGCAUGAUUCGCCCCAUGUGGCGGCUUACGUUGAGGCUGAUAAUGAAAAGGCUCGACAAGAGGCACUUGACUUGCUAGAUGAGGAGCGAGACUUGGCAAUAGCCCGCUCGGCGAUUUACCAACAAGACCUUCGUCGUUAUCACAGCCGCCGGGUCAGGAGCAGAACAUUUCAGGAAGACAAUUUAGUGCUCCGGCUCAUCCAGGAUCAGUCCGAUAUGCACAAGCUAUCCCCUUUGUGGUCAGCAAGAAUCUGCACAACGGGUCAUACUACCUCAUUGAUAUUCGAGAGCACAAAGACUGAGGUAAAUCGGAGGAAGAGACCCGCCGACAGUGGAAUAUAGCCCAUCUUCGGCCUUAUUAUACUUAAGCCAUCAUCUCUUUAGAUGUAUAUAUUUUUUGACAAUGUAUAUAUUAUAUAAAGUAAUAAAGCAGGACCUCUGUCCUUUUUUCACCCUCAAAAAAGUGUGUAUGUCUUUUUGACAGGUGGUGGAAACAAUCAACAGGGACCGGAUCAUAUCUGAAUCCGGCUUUACCUUUGGUCCGGCUUAUGAUCAUAUCUGAAUCUAGCCAUGAUCACUUGGGGGCUUCGUGUUCAAACAUAGGUCGUAUCUGAACCAAAGAGAACAUAGCUGUCGAUACCCACUUGAUCGGCAUACUUGCCAAACCUACUUGGGGGCUUCUUGACCAUAUUUGAAUCAUAGCUUAACCCCUUUAGGUCUGACGUGGAUCGUAUACGAAUCAGCGUCAUUAAACAAAUCCUAUGGUCACUUGGGGGCUUCUUGUUCAAACAUAGGUCGUAUUCGAACCAAAGAGAACAUAGCUGUCGAUACCCACUUGAUCGGCAUCGCCAAGCCACUGGGGGCUAUAUGAUCGUAUCCGAAUCUUAGCUUAACCCCUUUGCAACGGUUUCCUGAUCGUAUCCGAAUCAGAAGCCUGUAAAGUAUUUUGAUAAUCCUGAAACUUUGUGGAAAGCAUUAUGAGAUGUUUUUUGUCUUGCCGGUUUAAAAAUUCAUCACCACAGGUUGUUGUGGGCCGGGUGAGCAUUGUAUGAGCCGGAAAGACUAUCAAAGGGUCGCAUGAUAAGGAAAGCAAAAUUUAAAACACCAAGGAAGAAAUAUACAGCCAUGGCGGCUUACGGAAAGUAUUAAGUGGUAAGAACAUGCACAAAGGAAUGACAGGCAUAGGGAGGGUCUUUCUACCCUAUUACAAGACUCCCCGAGUCUGAAUUGAUGAAGCAUUGUUUUUUGGCCAAACACCUGGCGAUUCACUCCUUUGGCGGGCUUGAGGGCUCUGGGUUAUCCUUCUCCGCUUCUCCGUCGGCUAUUUUGUCCUGGAAAGUUGAUGAGGCCCAAUCAAUGCCGCUCAAAGCUUCAAAUUCAGCUUCAGCAUACAUUAAACCGGUCGGGUCCACUUCAGGGGCAAAAGUAUGCUUAUGAAUUGGAGGGAUCAGGCUGAUUUGAUCAUAUGGAGCGUUUGGGAUUUUCCGGUUGUUACUGUCAUAAGCCGACGCAUACUUGCUGAGGUCCGUGUCAUUUCCGAUAAGGGUGGCCACCGGACGUAUGGCUUUGUCGCGGGCGGUGAAGUCAUGAUCAUCAAAGGCAUUGCCGUCUUCCUUUAGACUCGGGUAUCCAAGAGCAAGGUCUGCCGGGUCUAGUUCUGGGAGCCAUGCUUUUGCCCGGCUCAAUGCGGCUACGGCCCUGGCUCUUGAGGAUGAACGCCUUAAGUCUUGGAUCCGCUGAGGUAGAAAGGCAAGGCUCUUCAAUACAUCUUGCAGAAGGCGGGGAUGUGGAGUUGAUAAGGCUACAACGGCCAAGGCACGUUGUGUCCCGGAGUAUAGUUGUUCCACUAGCGUAUAAACUGCUUUAAGCUUGAUCAGCGUGUUCUGCUUCAGAUUGACACUCCUGGAGCCUAUAUGUGCACAAGCGUAACAGUCAGCCAGAAGUAAUUAUUACAAUCAUCAUUGUAAGGUUACAAUGUUUAAAGGCUGGUUUACAAUAACUUACCAAAGAUGGCUGAGACCAUUUGCGAUAUCUGUUGUUUUAAGUUGGACAGCUCGGUUGUUGCUUCGGCAAGAGAUGCUUCGGCUGUCUCGGCCCGAGUCACCAAGGAAGCCUUCUCAUCAGCCCAAGUUUUCUUCUCCGAUUCAAAAUUCUUCUCUAGUUUCUCAUUUUCAGAGACACUAAAUUCAAAUUUGGAGUUAGCCUUCUACGUCUCAAGCUCUUGAGUUUCCAGACGGCUCUUCAGGGUAGCAAGCUCUGAUUCAAAUUGACUUAUGGCAGCCUGCAUUGACACCAGGUUAUGGUAAGGAUUAUAGUAAGGUAACAUUCAAGUCCCGAGCACUUUACAAGUAAAGAUACUUGGCACUUGGGGGCUAAUGUAUGCUGAAGAAUUUUUUAACUUUAUCCUGCCGGGUCACACAUAUUAAGUCUCAAGCACCUUACAAGUAAUGAUACUUGACACUUGGGGGCUAAUGUAUGCUGAAGAAUUUUUUAACUUUAUCCUGCCGGGUCACACAUAUUACGUCUCCAGCACCUUACAAGUAAGGAUACUUGACACUUGGGGGCUAAUGUGUAUUGCAAAUUUAAAAACCGUAUGUUAUAACCGGGUUAAGUGACUUCUUUUUAAGCCGGAUAAGUUAACAGGUCAGGCAGAUUUCUAAAAGUCUACAACAUAUUUGUUCAUAAGCAAUAGACUUGGGGCUGGUACAGUAUGUAAGACUCAGGUAAAAAAUAUAAAUUAUACCUCAGAUUUGUGUUGUAUUUGUUUCACCAUGUCAAUUUCCAGGUCACGGCUAUUUUGAACCUGAUUCAGAUAGCCCGAGACUAUAUCACCAAUGCUUAGGUGAGUAUAAUCAGUGACGUCCUGCUUGGCUUUUCGGUGUUGAGCAAAUUCUUCCUUGGCGAUACAUUUGGCAAGGACGGGAGGCCGCCCUGGUUCAACAAACUGAGACUUCACAAUUUCAACUUCCGGUUCAUUUGUUUUGACUGGGCUAGGAGUCUCCGGGUCACUUGUGUGGAGAGUAUCUUUAGCGGGUGGAUCAGAGGUUGGCAUUGGAAUAUCAGAAGCUGGAUCAGGCGGCAGCUGAUGGGUAGAGUUGACUGGAAUAGACGCAUUGAUCACCGGUUCAGCCACGACCGGUUCUUCAGACGGCUUAUUUUUCUUUGCCCGUUUACUGGGCUUCACUUGCAUGCUGUUAAGCAUGGAUAAAGCAAAAAGUGCAUAAGUUUACAUUACCCGGGAGCAGUUUUGAAAGUCGGCAUAUUUGACUGCAUGGAUUCGCCGGAAGAAGGAGAGGUAUCCUGAUAGUUGGAGUCAGAUGAAUUGAGAGCUUGACGAAUUAAGCCUGCUAAAGGUAAGACAGAACGUAAAUCGGAGAUAACCUCGGUACGACGCUUCCUGGUUACAUCAGGUAAGCCGGAGGAGAGUUCUACAUCCUUGUUGUUCCGGGUCUGCCUCCGGUUCUCAAACUGUUGUUGCUUCAAAAUAAAUUGAGGGUCUUGAUAAGCAAGUGCAUGUGAAAAUCUUACUUUCCGGGUCACCCUUCGGGUCUUUCGCUUUGGCAAAGGCUCUGAGUUGGAGGAGAUUAUAGUUACCUCUUCAUUGGCUGCUCGACUAUUCCCCGUAUCCUCCUGAAGGGAUAGAAUGUCAGACAGGUGAUAACAAGGAACUUAAGAAAAUUUAAAGAUUACCUCUUCAUCAUCCGAAGAGAUAUCCUCCAAAUUGAGUAAGUCGGAGGCGUUGGGUUUCUUCUUCUUUGAGGUUCCCGCCUUGGCGGCUUUCCUUUCAGCUUUCUUGGUCGUCCUGGCUUGUUUGGCAGCCUCAUGGUAAUAUUUGGCUUUCCAGAAGUCAUCAUCGGCCUGUGGAAAAAGUUAAGGAAUUAUGAGUAUCAAGAAAGGUAUAAUAUGGCAAUAAGUAUUUGUUACGACUGAUAACUUACUGCAGGGGUCGGGUUAUUCUUGCAAAAUGGGAGUAAGCCGAAGGCGUUGCUGGUCACAAUGCCCUAUUUCAGCAGUGAUUGGGUCGUAGCAUCCACCACAUCAUCUGGUAAGUCAUCAGGACUAUGGCGUAACGGAUCAUUCUUUUCGCCUGUAUAAGUACACAUUAAGCCGGGAUGGCGGCUUAAUGGAAGUAUCCGCCAAGUGACCCAGACUCGGACCAGAUCGAUGCCGUUCAAACCAUUUCCCAAGAGAGCUUUAAUCUUCCAUAUGGUGGAAUUGAGAGGCACGCGUUCAAGGGUUGUCAACUUGUCUGGUAGCUGAUGGUUAGACUCAAGGCGCAGGGCGCGAAAGCCGGGCAAAGGUUUUUCAUCAGCCGGAGAAGUGUCCUGAUAGUAGAACCACGUCUGGUUCCAAGAUUUUGGGUGACUCGGCAACUCAGCAUAAGGGAAAAGACAGUCUCUCCGUCGCUGGAUUGAGAUGCCGCCAAGCUCAAGACUGGGCCCGUUGGCACGUUCAUUUUGUCGGUUCAUGUAAAAAAGUUCCCUGAACAAAAGCAGACUUGGCUCCUCUCCCAGGUACACCUCACAGAAGACUUGGAAAUUGCAAAUAUUUGACACGGAAUUGGGUCCGAUGUCUUGAGGUCUAAGGUCAAAGAAAUUUAAAACCUGUCUGAAGAAUUUUGAGCCGGGAGGAGCAAAUCCACGGCUCAUAUGAUCCGUAAAAAUUAUUACUUCCCCUGCUUUGGGGUGAGGCUUUUCUUCAGAUGGGUCAGGGGCACGGUAAGACAUGACAUCCUUUUUUGGUAGAUGCCCGGACUUUACAAACUCAGCUAGUUUGCUAUUGGUAACUAUGGAUGGAACCCAAUUGCAAGUUACAGGGGCCUUGGUAGCCUUAGGAGCCAUCACAGCAGUUGGCCUAUGGAAAAACAAGAAUAUCCGGUUCAAUUUUAACCCGGGGGAAGAAUCCUGAUUAUUCAAAGUGGCGGCUUAAUGAGGGGCCUAAUGAUAUAAGGAUGACUGUGCAACAAUACUUAAGCCGCUACAAGUAUGAAGUGCAGUUCACAAUGUUUCUGGGUCAUGAGGAGCAAUUAAGGUUCUGUGUCAUUUAUUUAAGCCGGACACCUCGGCAGUUGUACUUCAGGGCAUUUACCAGAAGAGGUUUUCCGGGUGAUAAAAGCAAGUUUCACAGAUAACAGUUAUUACUCUGGAUCAAAAUAUUGCUCUAAAAGGAAAUUUUCUAGACCUAAAUCGGGGCAGAGAAGUUCGUAUACUCGAAGAGGGUUCCUGAACAAGGGAAAGGAGAUCUAUUUUUAUGCAAGAUCAACACAAACAAGCACCGCAUCAGUUCUAUGUAGUUUUUACAAUCUAAACAGGGCAUUGGAAGGAACUAGCGAGGGUUUGGUGUCGAGCAGUGAUGAACACCGACGAACUCAACAAGGACCUAAUGCAGAUCUGAGAAAGGGAAUGAGAGGAACUCACGGAUGCGGAUGAGCUGCGGAGGUUCACUGUCGAUCUCUGGUCAGAGUCAGGUUGAUGCAGCGGCCUGAGUCGGUGAAGACAAAGGUUCGACAGUGGCGGCGGCAGAGCUCGGGAGAAGGCAAGAGGAAGAAGACGACUGGGGAAAGACCUAGGUCGCCCUAUUUAUAAAAGAAGACUGACCGAGAGGGCGCGAAAAACGAGGAGAUAACAUUUAUUAUCCAGCGGCUCGGGCGCCUCGAUUCUCAGGAUAGUCAGUAAAGAAAAAGAUCCGUUGAAGAUAUGGCGGAAUAAGAAUAAGUUAUAUUAAAGAUGACGUCAUGGUGAUUUAACCCGGAUCCAGAUGAUGACGUCACGGCGGGUUAAAUUCUUCGUGCAAGACAAAAGACUGCAGGAUAGUUCAUAAGGUAUUUUAAGAUUGACAUGAACAGGUUCAAAUCAAUCUAGGGCCUAAUGUUGGGGAUAUAACUAUUUGUGUAAGCCGCCCAGGAGGGGCCGGGUUACGCAAAGAGGAUUCACCAGAGAGAAGCCCAAGACCAAAGUAUGAAGAUGGCGGUUCAUAGAGAUCUUAAGGCCCGCAGGUGACUUAAGGCCCAUUGUAGUAAACCGCUAUAGUAGUAUACUUGUAUCAUAAGGUAGACUUAGCUAGUCACCGAGCCGGACAUUGUGUAUAAGCCGGCCGGGACACUAUAAGCCGCAGGGCGUCAACCCCUGUAUAUAAGGGGACGACCUGCGGGCGACUUAGGGCAAGAAACAACUCAUCGAGAGCCAGACAUAGCGUAUCUCGCUCUCUGGUCAUCGAAACAUCAAUACCAACCCAACUAGACGUAGGUCUUACCUUCACCGUAAGGGGCCGAACUAGUAUAAAACCUCUCGUGUCCUUUGUCCCGAUUAACCCCUUCAAGCUUCCUAGCUGCUAUGGCUCCACAACUAAGUCCUUUCACGAGGACAUCUGACAUGACAAUUCCACGACCGGAACAAUUUCAAAAUUUGCAUGUGAGGACAUACCAGAAUUGUUAUAUGUUGUUUCCGGCCUCAUUUAAACUUGCUUUGAUGUGUUGCUCUUGUAUGCAUCAUCUCUUGCCAUGAGUAGCUUCAUGUAGCUUUGUCAUGCAUCAUGCUUGUUGUGCAUCAUGUCUUGUCUAUGUGUGGUGUGUUUACCAUAUUGUGUGCUUCUUCUCGAUAGUUCCUGUUUUGUUGCGAUCGUGAGGAUUCGUUCAUCUACGCUUGGUUAGGCUUCAUCCGUUCGUCUUCUUCAUGGACUCGUUCUUCUUCCUUGUGGGAUUUCAGGAAGAUGACCGUCGCCUUGGAUCUCACUACUAUCAUUGCUAUGCUAGUUGCUUCGUUCUAUCGCUUUGCUGCGCUACCUAUCACUUGUUCUUCAAGCCUCCCAAUUGCCAUGUCAGCCUCUAACCUUUUUCACCUUCCCUAGCAAACCGUUGUUUGGCUAUGUUACCGCUUUGCUCAGCCCCUCUUAUAGCGUUGUUAGUUGCAGGUGAAGUUGAAGAUUACUCCAUGGUGGACAGGAUUAUCUUGGGAUAUCACAAUAUCUCUUAUUUAAUUAAUGCAUUUAUAUACUUGGUAAAGGGUGGAAGACUCGGCCUUAUGCCUGGUGUUUUGUUCCACUCUUGCCACCCUAGUUUCCAUCAUACCGGUGUUAUGUUCCCGGAUUUUGCGUUCCUUACGCAGUUGGGUGAUUUAUGGGACCCCCUUGACAACUCGCUUUGAAUAAAACUCCUCCAGCAAGGCCCAACCUUGGUUUUACCAUUUUCCUCACCACCACCUAUACCUUUCCCUUGGGUCGGCCAACCCGAGGGUCAUAUUUAUUUUAGCCCCCCCCCCCCGGGCCAAUGCUUGUCUAAGUGUUGGUCCGAACCGAGUAGACAGCGGGGCCCCCUCGGGGAAACUGGAGGUUUGGUUUUACUCGUAGGAUGUCUCAUCCGGUGUUGCCCUGAGAACGAGAUAUGUGCAGCUCCUAUCGGGAUUGUCGGCGCAUCGGGCGGCUUUGCUGGUCUUGUUUUACCAUUGUCAAAAUGUCUUGUAAACCGGGAUUCCGAGUCUGAUCGGGUCUUCCUGGGAGAAGGUAUAUCCUUCGUUGAUCGCGAGAGCUUAUCAUGGGCUAAGUUGGUACACCCCUGCAGGGUUUAAACUUUCGAAAGCCAUGCCCACGGUUAUGCGGCAGAUGGGAAUUUGUUAAUGUCUGGUUGUAGAUAAUUUGACACCAGAUCCAAAUUAAAACGCAUCAACCGCGUGUGUAGCCGUGAUGGUCUCUCCUCGGCGGAGUCCGGGAAGUGAACACGGUUUUGGGUUAUGUUUGACGUAAGUAGGAGUUCAGGAUCACCUCUUGAUCAUUGCUAGCUUCACGACUGUUCCUUUGCUUCUCUUCUCGCUCUUAUUUGCGUAUGUCAGCCACCAUAUAUGCUUAGUCGCUGCUACAAUCUCACCACUUUACCCCUUCCUUACCCCAUUAAGCUUUGCUAGUCUUGAUACCCAUGGUAAUGGGAUUGCUAAGUCCUCGUGGCUCACAGAUUACUACAACAACAGUUGCAGGUACAAGUUAUGCGAUGAUCAUGACGCGAGAGCGAUGUUUGCGUGUUUUGGAGUUCUUCUUCUACUUCUUCUUCGAUCAGGGGAUAGGUUCUAGGUCGGCAGCCUGGGCUAGCAGGGUGGAUGUCGUUUGAGUUUCUGUUUGUGUUUCAUCCGUAGUCGGAUGGUGCUCUUAUGUAAGAUGAUGUUUUAUUCAUGUGGCAUUGAAUGCCUUUUGUAUGUAUCCCCAUCUAUUAUGUAAUGUUAAUGUAAUGAUAUCCACCUUGCAAAAGUGUUUUAAUAUGCGGUUCUAUCCUUGGUGGGACCUUCGAGUCUCUUUAGGGUAGUAUCGCAUAUUGGGUGUGACAUUUAUGGACUGGUGCAAGCCUCUCGGAGUUGGAAUAAAUGCUUUGAUAGUGUGAUCAAAGCAUAUAGUUUUAUACAGACUUUUGGAGAAGCCUAUAUUUACAAGAAAGUGAGUGGGAGCUCUGUAGCAUUUCUAAUAUUAUAUGUGGAUGGCAUAUUGUUGAUUGGAAAUGAUAUAGAAUUUCUAGAUAGCAUAAAGGGAUACUUGAAUAAGAGUUUUUCAAUGAAAGACCUCGGUGAAGUUGCUUACAUAAUGGGUAUCAAGAUCUAUAGAGAUAGAUCAAGACGUUUAAUUGGACUUUCACAAAGCACAUACCUUGGUAAAGUUUUGAAGAAGUUCAAAAUGGACCAGUCAAAGAAAGGGUUCUUGUGGGUAUUACAAGGUGUAAAGUUGAGUGAGACUCAAAGCCCGACCACGGCAGAAAGUAGAAAGAGAGUGAAAGUCAUGCCCUAUGCCACAGUCAUAGGUUCUAUAAAGUAUGAUGUGUUGUGUACCAGACCUAUUGUGUGCCCUGCCCUGAGAUUGGCAAGGGAGUAAAAUUUUGAUCUAGGAGUAGAUCACUGGACAUCAGUCAAGAUUAUCCUUAGUGAGGACUAAGGAAAUAUUUCUUGGUUAUGGAGGUGAUAAAAGAGCUCAUCAUAAAGAGUUACAUUGAUGCAAGCUUUUACACAGAUCCAGAUGACUCUAAGUCUCAAUCUGGAUACAUAUUGAAAGUGGGAGCAAUUAGCUAGAGUAGCUCCGUGCAGAGCAUUGUAGACAUAGAAUAUUUGCAACAUACAUACGGCUCUGAAUGUGACAGACCCGUUGACUAAACUUCUCUCAUGAGCAAAACAUGAUCACACCUUAGUACUCUUUGGGUGUUAAUCACAUAGCAAUGUGAACUAGAUUAUUGACUCUAGUAAACCCUUUGGGUGUUGGUCACAUGAUGAUGUGAGCUAUGGGUGCUAAUCACAUACAGAUGUGAAUAUGUGUGUUGAAUCACAUGGUGAUAUGAACUAGAUUAUUGACUCUAGUGCAAGUGGGAGACUAAAGGAAAUAUGCCCUAGAGUCAAUAAUAAAGUUAUUAUUUAUUUCCUUAAUUCAUGAUAAAUGUUUAUUAUUCAUGCUAGAGUUGUAUUAACCGAAAACUUAGUACAUGUGUGAAUACAUAGACAAAACAUAUAGUCCCUAGUAUGCCUCUACUUGACUAGCUCGUUAAUAAAAGAUGGUUAUGUUUCCUAACCAUAGACAUGUGUUUUCAUUUGAUGAACGGGAUCACAUCAUUAGGAGAAUGAUGUGAUGGACAUGACCCAUCCGUUAGCUUAGCAUUGUGACCGUGUCAGUUUUAUUUCUAGUGCUUUCUUCAUGACUUAUACAAGUUCCUCAGACUAUGAGACUAGGCAACUCCCGAAUAUCGGAGGAACACUUUGUGUGCUACCAAACGUCACAACAUAAAAGGGUUAUUAUAAAGGUGCUCUACAGGUGUCUCCGAAGGUGUUUGUUGGGUUUACCAAGAUUAGGAUUUGUCACUCCGUGUUUUGGGGAGGUAUCUCUUGGCCCUCUCGGUAAUCAUCACUAUAAGCCUUGCAAGCAUUCUAACUAAUGAGUUAGUUGCGGGAUGAAGUAUUACAUAACGAGUAAAGAGACUUGCCGGUAACGAGAUUGAACUAGGUAUGAUGAUACCGACGAUCGAAUCUCGGGCAAGUAACAUACUGAUGACAAAGGGAACAACGUAUGUUGUUAUGCGGUUUGACCGAUAAAGAUCUUCAUAGAAAAUGUAGGAAUCAAUAUGAGCAUCCAGGUUCCUCUAUUGGUUAUCGACCGGAGACAUGUCUCGGUCAUGUCUACAUAGUUCUCGAACCCGUCGGGUCCGCACGCUUAACGUUCGAUGACGAUUGGUAUUAUGAGUUUAUGUGUUUUGAUGCACCGAAGUUAGUUCAGAGUCCCGGAUGUGAUCACAGACACGACGAGGAGUCUCGAAAUGGUCGAGACAUAAAGAUCGAUAUAUUGGAAGCCAAUGUUUGGACAUCGGAAUGGUUCCGGAUGAGUUCGGGCAUUUACCAGAGUAUCGGGGGUUACCGGAACCCUCCCACGGAGCAUAUGGGCCUUAAUUGGCCUUAGUGGAGAGGAGAGAAGGCAGCCUAGGAGGGGGUGCCCCCCCAAAGACCAAUCCAAAUUGGGUGAGGGGGCCGCCCCCUCUUUCCUUUCUCCUUCCCCCUCUUCCUUCUAUUCCUAGUGGGACUAGGAAAGGGGGAAUCCUACUCCCACUAGGAGGAGGACUCCUCCACCCUUGGCACGCCUAGAGAGGCCGGUCGGCUUCCCCCCUCCCUCCUUUAUAUACAUGGGGAGGGGGCACCCUAGAACACACAAGUUGACAUUGUUGAGCCAUGUGCAGUGCCCCCUCGAUAGUUACAUACCUUAGUCAUGUCAUCGUAGUGCUUAGGCGAAGCCCUGCACCGGUAACUUCAUCAUCACUGUCACCAUGCCGUCGUGUUGAAGAAACUCUCCCUUGGCCUCAACUGGAUCAAGAGUACGAGGGACGUCCCUGAACUGAAUGUGUGCUUAUUUCGGAGGUGUUGUACGUUUGGUGCUAAGAUCGGUUGGAUCGUGAAGACGUACGACUACGUCAACUGCGUUUUCAUAACGCUUCCGCUUUUGGUCUACGAGGGUACGUGGACACACUCUCCCCUCUCGUUCCUAUGCAUCACAUAGAUAGAUCUUGCAUGAUCGUAGGAAUUUUUUUGAAAUUAUUGUGCUCCCCCACAGGAAAACCCGAGAAAUUUGUGUACAAAUUCAGAGCAGAAAGAAUCAGAUCAAAAGCACGUUUCUGUGAAUUUUGAAAACUAAUUUACUAGGUGCAAAAGUUUCUGAUUUUCAGCAGGAUCAACACAACUAUCACCGUAAACUAUCCUAAAGGUUUAACUUGGCACAAGCACUAACUAAAACAUAAAACCACAUCUAACUAGAGGCUAGAUGAAUUAUUUAUUACUAAACAGGAACAAAAAGCAAAGAACUAAAACAAAAUUGGGUUGCCUCCCAACAAGCGCUAUUGUUUAACGCCCUUAGCUAGGCAUAAAAACGCGAAUAGAUCUAAGUAUUUUUCAUCUUCUCUCUUUUGUUGAUAAAGAGAGAAUUUCUUAUCUAAAGCACUUAUCUUUCUACUUUGUGAAAGUACGUGGCCAUUAAUGGUGGAAGAAAGAUUAAGCACACUUCGAAAAUUUGCACCUAAACUAGCCUUCAUCUCUUUGAUAAUUUCAUUCUGAUAAAAGCACAAAAGAGGAGUGGACUCAACAUUUUCACUUUUGGGAUGCCCAAAUAUUACUUUCAUCUUUUCAUAAGUAUCGAUGGCAUCCCCUUCAAGAAAACCUUCUUCAAAUAAAGAAUCCAAAACUUUCUGAAAAGAAGAGGGUAAGCUAACAUAAAAACUUUUCAAGUAUAUCUCAAUUUGAUAUUGAGGCACAUAGUUAGCUCGGAUCCUUAGUAGUCUAUCCCAAGCAUCUUUCAAAGAUUCAUCAAGCAAAUAACAAAAAAAAUGCCGAGGUCAUCUUCAUCAAAAUUGUUAAAACUCUCACUAAUAACCGUGGUAGGUCUUUCCAUGGCAUUAUUAUUUAUGAUCUUAGAGAUGACAGAGGGGCUAUCCAAAGAGAAUCCCAGGAGAAAACCCUUAGACCCUUUUGAUUCGGCCAUAAUGAUAGGAAGGCAAACUUAGGUGAACGAGAGGGUAGCGAGAGAAAAGGAAAAUCUUUUCAAAAAUCGUUUUGGAGGUGGGGGAGAGGAAAAUGAGAGGCGAAUGGCGAAUAAUGUAAUGCAAGAGAGAAGAGUUUAUGAUGGGUACUUGAAAUGGCUUGACUUGAUGUAGAUCUCCCCGGCAACGGUGCCAAAAAUUCUUCCUGCUACCUCUUGAGCUUGCGUUGGUUUUUCCCUUUAAGAGGAAACGGUGAUGCAGCAAAGUAGAGUAAGUACUUCCCUUAGUUUGAGAACCAAGGUAUCAAUAUAGUAGGAGACAACGCACAAGUCACCGAAUACCUACACAAACAAACAACAACUUGCACCCAACACGAUGAAGGGGUUGUUAAUCCCUUCACUAUUACUUGCAAAAGUGAGAUCUGAUAGAGAUAGAUAAACGGUAAAGUAAAUAUUUUUGGUUUAUAGAUCGGAAAGUAAAAGAUUGCAAAAUAGUAGAUCGGAAACUAGUAUAAUGUAAAAGAGAACUUAUAUUAUGGAAAGGAGACCCGGGGGCCAUAGGUUUCACUACUGGCUUCUCUCAAAAUAGCAAAUGUUACGGUGGGUGAACAAAUCACUGCCGAGCAAUUGAUAGAAGAGCGCAUAAUUAUGGCGAUAUCUAAGGCAAUGAUCAUGAACAUAGGCAUCAGGUGUGUGUCAAGUAGAUUGAAACGAUUCUGCGUCUACUACUAUUACUCCACACAUCAACCGCUAUCCAGCAUGCAUCUAGAGUAUUAAGUUCAUAAAGAACGGAUUAACGCAUUAAGUAAGAUGACAUGAUGUAGAGGAAUUAACUCAAGCAAUAUGAUCAAAAUCCCAUCUUUUUAUCCUCGAUGGCAACAAUAUAAUACAUGCCUUGCUGCCCCUACUGUCACUAGGAAAGGACACCGCAAGAUUGAACCCAAAGCUAAGCACUUCUCCCAUUGCAAGAAAAACCAAAACUGAUAAUUCGAAGAGACUUGCAAAGAUAUCAAAUCAUGCAUAUAAGAAUUAAUAGAAGACUCAAAUAAUAUUCAUAGAUAAUCUGAUCAUAAAUCCACAAUUCAUCGGAUCACGGCAAACACACCUCAAAAGAAUAUUAUAUUGAAUAGAUCUCCAAGAACAUCGAGGAGAACAUGGUAUUGAGAAUCAAAGAGAGAGAAGAAGCCAUCUAGCUACUAACUAGGGACCCAAAGGUCUGUGGUAAACUACCCACGCUUCAUCGGAAGGGUAAUUAAUGGUGUUGAUGUAGAAGCCCUCGGUGAUCGAAUCCCCCUCCGGAAGGAUGCGGGAAAAGGCCCCUAGAUGGGAUCUCACGAGUAUAGAAGGUUGCGGCGGCGGAAAUGUGGUUUAGUGGCUCUCCUGGAUGUUUUUGGGGUAUAAGAGUAUAUAUAGGUAAAGGAACUAGGUCACGAGGGGCCCACGAGGCAGGGGGCGCGCCCUCCACCCUCGUGGCCACCUUGUUCUGUCUCCGACUUCAUCUCCAAGUCUCCUAGUUUGCUUCUUCUCCAAGAAAGAUCAUCGCGAAAGUUUCAUUCCAUUUGGACUCCGUUUGGUAUUCCUUUUCUGUGAAACUCUAAAACAGGAAAAAAGAAAACAUAAACUGGCACUGGGCUCUUGGUUAAUAGGUUAGUCCCAAAAAUAAUAUAAAAUUGCAUAUUAAUGCAUAUAAAACAUCCAAAAGAAAUAAUAUAAUAGCAUGGAACAAUCAAAAAUUAUAGAUACGUUGGGGACGUAUCAAUAACUGAUACUUCGAUAUCAUAUAUCCACCUGUAAUCCAAGUUAUAACAAUAUCCAACAAUAAUCCAAAGCAUAAUAUAGUCAUAAUAACAUAAUACUCCAUGGGUAGCAUAUAUCAGGAUAAAUCCAAGGACUACAAUGAUGUUACUAUCAAGAUGAAAGCUAAGGAUCAGAUCCAAAUUAUAUCAAUCAAAUCCAACAUAAUACUCCAAAAGCAUAAAAUACCAUAUAAUAGCAAUGAUAAUAAAUAUUACCCAAAAUAGUCCAAAGGCAAUAUAACAUCCUCAAUCUGCAAAGCAUUAGUCCUAGUAAUCCAAACACCAUCAUGGCAAUAUCAAGAUCAAUAUAACUCCAAGAAAUGCCAUGGAUAAAUCAUAUGUAGCUAAUGCAAUAUUUUAAGAAAAUUUAAUUAAUUAAACCAUGGCAUUGCAUUGCAAUCUUGCAAAUGGAGGGUGUGGCUUGCCUGGGGUGGGUGGAUUCACCGAGAAGAAUUGCGAGGAGUUCGGGGAAAGAUUUACCUGAAAGGUUCUCUCUCAAAGGGGCUGAAUAAAGGGCAGGGGUAAAAUGGUCAUUUUCAUAAUGUUACAACAUGGUGAAAAUGGUACCAUCAGAACGGGCUCGACGAAUAGAGAACGUGGGCUUUAGAAUCAUAUGAUUCAGAGUUGUGAGUGAAAAGAUAUGAGGUUUUUUUAGCCAGGGACCUUUCUGUAAAAAUAUAUCCACAAACAAGUGCCUGACUGGAUAAAAAUAAAACACAUUUGAUGAAAUACUGUUUCCCGAAUAGGAAAGCGCAUUCCUGCCUCGGGCCGCGCCGAUUUACGCUUUCAGUAAGGGAAAGCGUACUCUGGUGAGUACGUUUCCACUUAUCCAUGUCAGGAGGCAGGCUGGGUCAAACGUGGGAGGCUGACUAGCGGGACCACUGAUAGGGGGGUGGGGCUUCGUCUUCCUUGCGCUCGGCCGUGAAUAAAAGGGAGGCCAUUGGCGUCGACGCUCGCCUGGCCGGCUCCGGCCAUCCCCCGAGGUGAUCCGACCACCUACGCGCUUAGGAGAAGACGCCACCUCAAUCCCGCCUAAGCACGGUCACCGACGAGGACUAGAGCGGUGGCUGCAUGGGAGCCUGCGGACAAGGCCUCAGGAGGAACUUGGGCGUGCGUCGACCGGCCACCGUAGGAGGGGGAGAAGGGUUCGGGAGGGUCGUCGGGCAUUGAGUGGUCCUCUAGUGAGGUCAGGAGGGAGGGGGAGAGCUCGGGCAGCCGAAAUUUAGGCCGAGGCCGACAGCGGACAUGAUGGCCAUUGGAGGGAAUGAGAGCCCCUCGAGCUCAGUGGUGUGGUCGGGGAGGCUGCUGGGAAUGAGGAGUGGCUGGUGAGGAGAUACGCGGCCGGGGCGACUUAAAUAGCCGAUGGGACAAAACAAAUGCUACCACUCGGGUCCGGUCGAAGCUUUGGCAGGGAACAGAGCGCUUGUGACCCGUGGAGGCAACGUGAGAGAGUGGAGGGGGUUCACGGAGCGGAGAUGGAGCCAAGGGAUAAGUAGGAAGAAGACAUGGCGGGCAACAGAGCCGGACGAGCACAGUGCGCCCGUGGGCACGCGGCGUCUAGCGCUGGCAAGGCAGCUACAGGAGGGGGACGGGGUCCAACGAGGUACAUGUGAGAAGGAGGGGUCAGGUAGGCACUCGGGGAUGCGCUAACACCGCCAAGAAGAAGCUACCCGACGUGUUACGACGCGCAGAGCGCGUCCAACGCUGCCACAAUGCCUGCACAACCAUGCAAACACGCAGUCACCGCGUCUACUAGUGGGGAGAGGACAAUACGGGAUGGCAAAGUAUGUCUAGUGUGUUGUCGUUACUCCUAAGGACACCCUUGAGGUGAUAUAUCAUCAAAAGAAACCAAGGAUGGAUGGGAGACACCACUCAAGUUUUCUGUAGCAAACUUGUCCACAUAUUUGUGAUCAAAUGAGAAAAAGGUAAGAGAUAAACUUGAUGUCUGGGGGGUUUAGGUUAGGAAGGACUACAGUCCUAUGAAGUUGGAGAAGAUUAGGACCACAAAUUAAUAUAGUUGCUUUACAACUGCAAUUAUAGUACAGAAAUGAUAAUUGGAUGAUGCACUCACAUGGAGCAAUAAAUUGGGCUGAAAUUUUCUAGAUCAUGGUGAUAUGGACAUUACUAGAUGCUAUAAAAAUUUCAUACCAUUUGGACUUGCCAAAAUAAUAUUUCCUUCACAGUGUUCUUCUCUGUCCGGAAUCUUGAGAAAAAUAUGGAGAAAAAAUGGCUUGAUGAAAUUAUCCAAAAUUUGGUGGAUAGAAGUUUUAUGGCUAGGAGAAUGCUCUGGUAAAUUUGCAGCAGUAAUGAAGCAAUAUAAAAUAUACUUGCUUAACAACCUGAAAAUAUUGCCAGAAACAAAGAUUUGAAGGUGUGCUCACAUAAAUAGUUGGAUGGAGCUAAAAGUUUGUGCAGAUUAAUUAUUUGAGCAUAUGGAGGGGCUUGCAAAAUUUCAACUCAUUUGGAUAUUCCUAGCUAGUAUUUCCUUCACCAAGUUUCCCUCUGGGCAGAAACUUUGAAAAUUUGCUGAGGAAGAUUCAAUAGGCAAAUGAAGUUGAAUUUUAGCAUGAGGCACUGAUAUGGAAAGUAAAUAGUUCACAAAAAGUUUGGGAGCAAUCAAGCAAAGAUAAUGACACUUCCUUCUCAAAGUGCCAAUCUGCACGGAAUUGAAGAAUCAAUAUUGUUGAAUUAUUUUUAAACUAGACACGGAAAGUUUGGACAUAUUUGGGGAAAAUGUGAUCCAAACAUUUUAUGAGAAUUAUUUGGGAAUUUUAUUUAAAACAGAAAUAUAAGUUGCUUCACAACCUAGGUCAAAAUGAGUAUUCGUUUAAUAGAAAAAGGAAUAUUCCCAAGGAAUAGAAUUUGUGGUUGGGCUAAGAUGGAAAUGACAUGGCCUUGGGAAUAAUUUUAGGAUGACAAUCCACUAGGGAGGGGGUUCAGAGAUGGUCUUCCUAGGUUUGAAGACCACAGAGCCACUGAAAAAGAAAUCAAAGCAAAAAUCCAAAGAAAUCCAAAAGAAAAUGAAGGGCCAAAAACCAGGGUGUUACAAACCUCCCCCCUUAAAUAAAUCUCAUCCUCGAGAUUUGGUUGCUCAGGGAACAAGUAUGAAUAUGACUUAAGGAAACCGUUUCCAACUCGGGUAUCCUUUUUCUUUAUAUGUUGUUACCUCCCAAAUUUCAUAUGAUCUGAUUACUUUGCUCCGAGGUGGUUUGCUUCCCAAAUUUCGGACGAUUCUUUCCCCAUAUGUCAAAUCCUUAUGUUGACUUUGAAUUGUUUGUACCUGUCGAUAAUAUCCAAGGAAUUCUGAGAAUAAAUUUCCUGUGAGCAUGAAACCUUCUUAAUUUCUAUCAUCGAGUUGCUCAAGUACAUGCAUGUCUUCUGGGUUAAAACAAUGCCAAAAAUUGUAGCCAUUCCCCUGAUGGGAUCUGACUGCCUGGAGGUGAUAUUGCAUCAUCUUGGUUUGUUUCUUUGUCUUGAGCUUGAAAAUUGUACCCAAGAUUUGACUGUCUCCUGUCAUGAGUAGUGUAAAAGGGGUACGGCCUCAUAGCGGUGGCAUACCUUAAACAGUAGCAUCUUGAGACUCGAGUCUUUCUGACAGGAAGAUACUCUUCGUGACAGGUCGUACUUGUAGUUAGUUCCACAAGUGAGAGCACAUAAUCUGAGCUGGUUGUUCGGCUUUUGGCUUACCCAUGAUGUUGGUAUAUCCAGAUGGAAUCAUGGUCUCAAGCUGACUUGGGUAUUCGGGCCAUGACUGUCGGGCAAGAGUCUUCAUAGCUUUGAUGCUAGUUUUGCUCCCUGCUUUAUUUUCUUUGUCAGACUCCCUUGCUGAAAAUAUCUUGGUCUCAUGUGUCCUUGAUCCGUCUUGCAACCAUAGAGGUCGUUGGUACUAUAUUCCAUCUUGUUCUUGCUUAAGACAUGGGUCCUCAUAACAUGUAAAUGGGGCUUGCAAUUGUACCAAGCUCGUUCUUGUGGCCAAUCAUACAAGAUGGUGACAAGAAUUCAUGAUAUCUCCUUGUCGGGUGUGAAGAAGCUGACCUUGGUGACUACUGUCUAGGCGGUUGAUCCUACGUUGUCUGCUCCAUAACUUGUCGAUUCUUGCAUCACAUGAAAUGUAUAUAUGACUUUCUUCCUUUGGCAUAGCUCAUGUGGCGGUUGGAUUCGUUCCUUUGGUAGAUCCGUUGGAACAUAGUUGGAUCUUUGUUGGUGAUGUGCAUGACCUGUGCUGCAUGCUCAUCAUUCAUAUGGAAAUAUAUGUAGCUGAAUGCUCGGUCCUUGAGUCAGACAUGUUUUCUUGACUGCUUUGUGCUCCAUCCCAAAAUUAGUGCGGACCUGAUAUUUGAGAUGUACUACCAACUCAUUGUAUAAUCUCUUGUAGCAAUACUAAUAACAGUGUGUAGUGUUGUACUGAAGGAGGCUAGACAGCUUGUGCUAGAAGCUAUCGGUCUGGCUUGUUCAAGAAGACUGGAUCUCUUGUGCUCAAAGCUUUUGUCGUGGAAGUGUGCUGGAGAAGCAUGGGUUCCAUACCUGAGAAGCUUCUCCUCUGAUUGCUUACUGAGAAAGAUUCAUUUCCUUAUUCCAGAAGCUUUUUCCAAGAUAUCUUUCUGUGGAAGACUGGGUAUCUUGGACCGGAAGUUGUCCAUGUAUCUUAGAGAGGAAGAUUGAGGAGCCUUGCAUCAUAAGCUUCUUCCGAAAGGAAGGAUGAGCUUCUUAUACCACAAGUUUCGUAUGGUGAUAUGUGGACCAAAUACCAUACACAUACCCAUAAUUGUUUUGUGUCUGGUUACUCGCAUGAGAGAAAUUUGUCCGACUGUCCUCCUUGCUGAACACCGAACUCAUAGCAAAUCCUGGCUUUAUUCCGGAGUAUAACAUAUUCCAAGUUUCAUUCAUGUUUGAACCAAAACUUUAUAAAGGAACCCAUAACAUCUAUUAAGUUUCUUUCUAUCAACAAAUCAAUGUAUUGGCCUUCCCAAAACCAAAGUGAGCAUCCAUCGUCCUACACAAAAGAACGAGCAAGCUCGAAGUGAGCUACCGCAAUUGAACUAAAGAAUGAGCUAUGGAACGACCUACCGCAAGUGCAUGUACCCCGUCGUUUUCGCAUUUGUAGAACACCCAUCCAGGGUGCUUCGGCAUGCCCGAAGUGAGCCGCAGCACUUGGCGUGUCGUCCCACUCUAUGAGCGGCAUCGACAGGCCACAAAGACACUAUGCGAGCGCCUAGCCCAGUGGACGGCCGGACGAGUCCAUGCCCACAAAUCUUCAAAUGGCGGCGGGCGGACGAACCCGUGUCUGCAUGUGGCGAUGCGCCCUUGCCUGGGCUGCGAGCGAGGCUCCCUGACCACUCCAUCGCCUGGGGCAGCAACCGGCGGCCAGAAAAAGCCAAAUCCGGUGACCCGCGAUGAAGUGCCGCAGAUCUGCAAAUCCGGCGGCCCGCUGACGCGGGGGGGAAGGGAGGGGAGCCCUCGUGCAUGUGGCGGCCUUCCGGCGUGCUCCUGCCGGCUGCUGUCGCCGGAAUCUUGGGCGCCGAUCGCCGGCGGCGUGAGGGGGGAGAGGAGAGGUGGUUGGCGGGAGAAAGCGCGGGAUGAAAUGUCCCCCCACCAACUGCUUCCGCUUAUAUGCAGGGCACCGCAACCGCGAGGGGGAAACCCACGUUUUCCCGGGUUGGGGUCGGGAUUUUCCCGCGCCCCCUUAAAUUUUUUGCAGGCCGGGGAGGGAUGCGGGGUCUGAUCGGGCUGGUUUUUCCACCCGACCCGCAUUUUGACGGCUAUUUUAUGGGUCGGGGCGGGAUGCGGGGUCUGCUAGAGUUGAUCUAAGGUUUUCGUUUAUGUAUUCUUACCUUUUGUUUGAACCUCUAUGCUCCGAGAGCAUGAUGUGUAGUCGAUUGUGUUGGAGAUCGUUGCAGAAAAUAAAAAAUUUCUACGCAUCACCAAGAUCAAUCUAUGGAGUAACUAGCAACGAGAGAGAGAGGAGUGCAUAUGCAUACCCUUGAAGACUGUGAGACAGAAGCGUUACAAGAACGCGGAUGAGGGGGUCGUACUCGAAGCGAUUCAGAUCGCGGUGGAUUCCGAUCUUAGCGCCGAACAAUGGCACCUCCGCGUUCAACACACGUGCAGCCCGGUGACGUCUCCCGCACCUUGAUCCAGCAAGGAGGAGGGAGAGGUUGAGGAAGAGGGACUCCAACAGCAGCACGACGGCGUGGUGGUGAUGGAGCGGCAGUACUCCGGCACGGCUUCGCCAAGCUCUUACGGAGGAGGAGAGGUGUUGGGGAGGGGAGGGGCUGUGCCUUGGAUGUGUUGCUACAGCCCUCCCCUCGCCCCUCUAUUUAUAGGAGGAGGGGGAAGGGGGCCGGCCCCCUCUAGAUGAGAUCUAGAGGGGGGGCGGCGGCCAACGGGGGGACUUGCCCCUCAAGCAAGGGGGCGCCCCCUUUAGGGUUUCCCCCCAAACCCUAGGCGCAUGGGCCCAAGGGGGGUGGCGCCCAGCCCUCUAAGGGCUGGUUCCCUUCCCUCUAUAGCCCACGAGGCCUUCCGGGAGAGGUGGCCCCUCCCGGUGUACCCCCGGAACCCUUCCGGUGGCCCCGGUACAAUACCGGUAUGCCCCUGAACUUUUCCGGUGACCAUAUGACAACUUCCCAUAUAUAAAUCUUCACAUCCGGACCAUUCCGGAACUCCUCGUGACGUCCGGGAUCUCAUCCGGGACUCCAAACAACAUUCGGUAAUCACAUACAAACUUUCCUAAUAACCCUAGCGUCAUUGAACCUUAAGUGUGUAGACCCUACGGGUUCGGGAAUCACGUGGACAUGACCGAUACAGCUCUCCGGCCAAUAACCAACAGCGGGAUCUGGAUACCCAUGUUGGCUCCCAUAUGUUCCACGAUGAUCUCAUCAGACGAACCACGAUGUCGAGGAUUCAAGUAAUCCCGUAUGCAAUUCCCUUUGUUAAACGGUACGUUACUUGCCCGAGAUUCGAUCAUCGGUAUCCCAAUACCUCAUUCAAUCUCGUUUCCGGCAAGUCACUUUACUCGUUACAUAAUGCAUGAUCCCGUGACUAACCACUUAGUCACAUUGAGAUCAUUAUGAUGAUGCAUUACCGAGUGGGCCCAGAGAUACCUCUCCGCCAUACGGAGUGACAAAUUCCUGUCUCGAUUCGUGCCAACCCAACAGACACUUUUGGAGAUACCUGUAGUGCACCUUUAUAGUCACCCAGUUACGUUGUGACGUUUGGCACACCCAAAGCACUCCUACGGUAUCCGGGAGUUACACAAUCUCAUGGUCUAAGGAACUGAUACUUGACAUUAGCAAAGCUUUAGCAAACGAACUACACGAUCUUGUGCUAUGCUUAGGAUUGGGUCUUGUCCAUCACAUCAUUCUCCUAAUGAUGUGAUCUCGUUAUUAAUGACAUCCAAUGUCCAUAGUCAGGAAACCAUGACCAUCUGUUGAUCAACGAGCUAGUCAACUAGAGGCUCACUAGGGACAUGUUGUGGUCUAUAUAUUCACACAUGUAUCACUGUUUUCGGUUAAUACAAUUAUAGCAUGAACAAUAGACAAUUAUCAUGAACAAGGAAAUAUAAUACUAAUCAUUUUAUUAUGGCCUCUAGGGCAUAUUUCCAACAGUCUCCCACUUUCACUAGAGUCAAUAAUCUAGUUACACUGUGAUGAAUCAAACACCCAUAGAGUUCUAGUGUUGAUCAUGUUUUGCUCGCGGAAGAGGUUUAGUAAACGGAUCUGCGACAUUCAGAUCCGUAUGCACUUUGCAAAUAUCUAUGUCUCCAACUUGAACAUUUUCACGAAUGGAGUUGAAGCGACGCUUGAUGUGCCUGGUCUUCUUGUGAAACCUGGGCUCCUUGGCAAGGGCAAUAGCUCCAGUGUUGUCACAGAAGAGAGUGAUUGGCCCGGACACAUUGGGUAUGACUCCUAGGUCGCUGAUGAACUCCUUCAUCCAUAUUGCUUCAUGUGCUGCCUCCGAGGCUGCCAUGUACUCCGCUUCACAUAUAGAUCCCGCCACGACGCUCUUCUUGCAACUGCACCAGCUUACUGCUCCACGAUUCAACAUAUACACAUAUUCGGUCUGUGACUUAGAGUCAUCCAGAUCUGUGUCGAAGCUAGCAUUGACGUAACCCUUUACGACGAGCUCUUCGUCACCUCCAUAAACGAGAAACAUGUCCUUUGUCCUUUUCAGGUACUUCAGGAUAUUCUUGACCGUUGUCCAGUGUUCCUUGCCGGGAUUACUUUGGUACCUUCCUACCAAACUUACGGCAAGGUUUACAUCAGGUCUGGUACACAACAUGGCAUACAUAAUAGAUCCUAUGGCCGAGGCAUAGGGGAUGACACUCAUCUCUUCUUUAUCUUUUGCCGUGGUCGGGCAUUGAGCCGAGCUCAAUUUCACACCUUGCAAUACAGGCAAGAACCCUUUCUUGGACUGAUCCAUUUUGAACUUCUUCAAAAUCUUAUCAACGUAUGUGCUUUGUGAAAGACCUAUGAGGCGUCUUGAUCUAUCCCUAUAGAUCUUGAUGCCUAAUAUGUAAGCAGCUUCUCCAAGGUCCUUCAUUGAAAAACACUUAUUCAAGUAGGCCUUAAUGCUGUCCAAAAGUUCUAUAUCAUUUCCCAUCAAAAGUAUGUCAUCUACAUACAAUAUGAGAAAUGCUACAGAGCUCCCACUCACUUUCUUGUAAACGCGGGCUUCUCCAUAAGUCUGCAUAAACCCAAACACUUUGAUCAUCUCAUCAAAGCGAAUGUUCCAACUCCGAGAUGCUUGCACCAGCCCAUAAAUGGAUCGCUGGAGCUUGCAUACCUUGUUAGCAUUCCUAGGAUCGACAAAACCCCUGGCUGCAUCAUAUACAGUUCUUCCUUAAGAUAGCCGUUAAGGAAAGCCGUUUUGACGUCCAUCUGCCAUAUCUCAUAAUCAUAGUAUGCGGCAAUUGCUAACAUGAUUCGGACGGACUUCAGCUUCGCUACGGGAGAGAAAGUCUCAUCGUAGUCAACCCCUUGAACUUGCCGGUAACCCUUAGCAACAAGUCGAGCUUUAUAGAUGGUAACAUUGCCAUCCGCAUCCAUCUUCUUCUUAAAGAUCCAUUUGUUUUCUAUCGCUCGCCAAUCAUCGGGCAAGUCCAUCAAAGUCCAUACUUUGUUUUCAUACAUGGAUUCUAUCUCGGAUUGCAUGGAUUCAAGCCAUUUGUUGGAAUCUGGGCCCGCCAUCGCUUCUUCAUAGUUCGAAGGUUCACCGUUGUCCAACAACAUGAUUUCCAGGACAGGGUUGCCGUACCACUCUGGUGUCGAACGUGUCCUUGUGGACCUACGAAGUUCAGUAGCAACUUGAUCCGAAGUACCUUGAUCAUCAUUAAUUUCCUCUCCAGUCGGUGUAGGCACCACAGGAACAUUUUCCUGAGCUGCACUACUUACAGGUUCAAGAGGUAGUACUUCAUCGAGUUCUACUUUCCUCCCACUUACUCCUUUUGAGAGAAACUCUUUUUCCAGAAAGGAUCCGUUCUUGGCAACAAAGAUCUUGCCUUCGGAUCUAAGGUAGAAGGUAUACCCAAUGGUUUCCUUAGGGUGUCCUAUGAAGACACAUUUUUCCGACUUGGGUUCGAGCUUUUCAGGUUGAAGUUUCUUUUCAUAAGCAUCGCAUCCCCAAACUUUUAGAAACGACAGCUUAGGUUUCUUCCCGAACCAUAAUUCAUACGGUGUUGUCUCAACGGAUUUAGACGGAGCCCUAUUUAAAGUGAAUGUAGCUGUCUCUAGAGCGUAUCCCCAAAAUGAUAGUGGUAAAUCGGUAAGAGACAUCAUAGAUCACACCAUAUCCAAUAGAGUGCAAUUACGAUGUUCGGACACACCGUUACGCUGAGGUGUUCUAGGCGGCGUGAGUUGUGAAACGAUUCCACAUUUUCUUAAGUGCGUACCAAAUUCGUGACUUAAAUAUUCUCCUCCACGAUCUGAUCGUAAGAACUUUAUUUUUCGAUCACGUUGAUUCUCUACUUCAUUCUGAAAUUCCUUGAACUUUUCAAAGGUCUCAGACUUGUGUUUCAUCAAAUAGACAUACCCAUAUCUACUUCAAUCAUCAGUGAGAGUGAGAACAUAACGAUAUCCUCCGCGAGCCUCAACGCUCAUUGGACCACACACAUCAGUAUGUAUGAUUUCCAAUAAGUUGGUUGCUCGCUCCAUUGUUCCGGAGAACGGAGUCUUUGUCAUUUUGCCCAUGAGGCAUGGUUCGCAUGUGUCAAAUGAUUCAUAAUCGAGGGACUCUAAAAGUCCAUCAGCAUGGAGCUUCUUCAUGCGCUUGACACCAAUGUGACCAAGGCGGCAGUGCCACAAGUAUGUGGGACUAUCGUUAUCAACUUUACAUCUUUUGGUAUUCACAGUAUGAAUAUGUGUAACAUUACGUUCGAGAUUCAUUAAGAAUAAACCAUUGACCAUCGGGGCAUGACCAUAAAACAUAUCUGUCAUAUAAAUAGAACAACCAUUAUUCUCGAAUUUAAAUGAGUAGCCAUCUCGCAUUAAGCGAGAUCCAGAUACAAUGUUCAUGCUCAAACUUGGCACUAAAUAACAAUUAUUGAGGUUUAAAACUAAUCCCGUAGGUAAAUGUAGAGGUAGCGUGCCGACGGCGAUCACAUCGACCUUGGAACCAUUCCUGACGCGCAUUACCAUCCGCGUUAUAGAUGGUAACAUUACCAUCCGCGUUCGUCUUCUUCUUAAAGAUCCAUUUAUUUUCUAUUGCUUGCCAAUCAUCGGGCAAGUCUGUCAAAGUCCAUACUUUGUUUUCAUACAUGGAUCCUAUCUCGGAUUGCAUCGCUUCAAGCCAUUUGUUGGAAUCUGGGCCCGCCAUCGCUUCUUCAUAGUUCGAAGGUUCACCGAUGUCUAACAACAUGAUUUCCAGGACAGGGUUGCCAUACCAUUCUGGUGUGGAACGUGUCCUUGUGGACCUACGAAGUUCAGUAGUAACUUGAUCUGAAGUACCUUGAUCAUCAUCAUUAACUUCCUCUCUAGUUGGUGCAGGCACCACAAGAACAUCUUCCUGAGCUGCACUACUUACCGGUUCAAGAGGUAGUACUUCAUCAAGUUCCACCUUCCUCCUACUUACUUCUUUUGAGAGAAACUCUUUCUCCAGAAAGAACCCGUUCUUGGCAACGAAAAUCUUGCCUUUGGAUCUGAGGUAGAAGGUAUACCCAAUGGUUUUCUUAGGGUAUCCUAAGAAUACGCAUUUUUCCGACUUGGGUUCGAGCUUUUCAGGUUGAAGUUUCUUGACAUAAGCAUCGCAUCCCCAAACUUUUAGAAACGAUAGCUUAGGUUUCUUCCCAAACCAUAAUUCAUACGGUGUCGUCUCAACGGAUUUAGACAGUGCCCUAUUUGAAGUGAAUGUAGCUGUCUCUAAAGCGUAUCCCCAAAAUGAUAGCGGUAAAUCGGUAAGAGACAUCAUAGACCGCACCAUAUCCAAUAGAGUGUGAUUACGACGUUCGGACACACCAUUACGCUGAGGUGUUCCAAGCGGCGUGAGUUGUGAAACAAUUCCACAUUUCCUUAAGUGUGUACCAAACUCGUGACUUAAAUAUUCUCCCCCACGAUCUGAUCGUAAGAACUUUAUUUUUCUGUCACGUUGAUUCUCUACCUCAUUCUGAAAUUCCUCGAACUUUUCAAAGGUCUCAGACUUGUGUUUCAUUAAGUAGACAUACCCAUAUCUACUUAAGUCAUUAGUGAGGGUGAGAACAUAACGAUAGCCACCGCAAGCCUCAACGCUCAUUGGACCGCACACAUCAGUAUGUAUAAUUUCCAAUAAGUUGGUUGCUCGCUCCAUUGCUCCGGAGAACGGAGUCUUGGUCAUUUUGCCCAUGAGGCAUCGUUCGCACGUGUCAAAUGAUUCAAAAUCAAGAGACUCCAAAAGUCCAUCUGCAUGGAGCUUCUUCAUGCGCUUGACACCAAUGUGACCAAGGCGGCAGUGCCACAGAUAUGUGGGACUAUCAUUAUCAAUCUUACAUAUUUUGGUAUUCACACUAUGAAUAUGUGUAACAUCACGUUCGAGAUUCAUUAAGAAUAAACCAUUGACCAACGGGGCAUGACCAUAAAACAUAUCUCUCAUAUAAAUAGAAAAACCAUUAUUCUCGGAUUUAAAUGAGUAGCCAUCUCGUAUUAAACGAGAUCCAGAUACAAUGUUCAUGCUCAAAGCUGGCACUAAAUAACAAUUAUUGAGGUUUAAAACUAAUCCUGUAGGUGAAUGUAGAGGUAGCGUGCCGACGGCAAUCACAUCGACCUUGCAACCAUUCCCGACGCGCAUCGUCACCUCAUCCUUCGCCAGUCUCCACUUAUUCCGCAGCUCCUGUUCUGAGUUACAAAUAUGAGCAACCACACCGGUAUCAAAUACCCAGGAGCUACUACGAGUACUGGUAAGGUACACAUCAAUAACAUGUAUAUCACAUAUACCUUUGGUGUUGCUGGCCUUCUUAUCCGCUAAGUACUUGGGGCAGUUCCGCUUCCAGUGACUGUUCCCCUUGCAAUAAAAGCACUCAGUCUCAAGUUUGGGUCUGUGCUUUAGCUUCUUCCUGGCAACUGGCUUACCGGGCGCGGCAACUCCCUUGUCGUCCUUCUUGAAGUUCUUCUUACCCUUGCCUUUCUUGAAACUAGUGGUUUUAUUGACCAUGAACACUUGAUGUUCCUUUUUGAUUUCUACCUCCGCUGAUUUCAGCAUUGAUAAUACCUCAAGAAUGGUUUUCACCAUCCCCUGCAUAUUGUAGUUCAUCACAAAGCUCUUGUAGCUAGGUGGGAGCAACUGAAGGAUUCUGUCAAUGACCGCCUCAUCCGGGAGGUUAAUGUCCAGCUGGGACAAGCGGUUGUGCAACCUAGACAUUUUGAGUAUGUGCUCGCUGACAGAACCAUUUUCCUCCAUCUUACAACUGUAGAAUUGUUGGAAAUAUGCCCUAGAGGCAAUAAUAAAAGGAUUAUUAUUAUAUUUCCUUGUUCAUGAUAAUUGUCUUUUAUUCAUGCUAUAAAUGUAUUAUCCGGAAAUCGGAAUACACGUGUGAAUACUUAGACCACAACAUGUCCCUAGUGAGCCUCUAGUUGACUAGCUCGUUGAUCAACAGAUAGUCAUGGUUUCCUGACUAUGGACAUUGGAUGUCAUUGAUAACGGGAUCACAUCAUUAGGAGAAUGAUGUGAUCGACAAGACCCAAUCCUAAGCAUAGCACAAAGAUCGUGUAGUUCGUUUGCUAGAGCUUUUCCAAUGUCAAGUAUCUUUUCCUUAGACCAUGAGAUCGUGUAACUCCCGGAUACCGUAGGAGUGCUUUGGGUGUACCAAACGUCACAACGUAACUGGGUGACUAUAAAGGUGCACUACAGGUGUCUCUGAAAGUGUCUGUUGGGUUGACACGGAUCGACACUGGGAUUUCUCACUCCGUAUGACGGAGAGGUAUCUCUGGGCCCACUCGGUAAUGCAUCAGCAUAAUGAGCUCAAAGUGACCAAGUGUCUAGUCACGGGAUCAUGCAUUACGGUACGAGUAAAGUGACUUGCCGAUAACGAGAUUGAACGAGGUAUUGGGAUACCGACGAUCGAAUUUCGGGCAAGUAACGUACCGAUUGACAAAGGGAAUUGUAUACGGGGUUGCUUAAAUCCUCGACAUCGUGGUUCAUCCGAUGAGAUGGAGUAUGUGGGAGCCAACAUGGGUAUCCAGAUCCCGCUGUUGGUUAUUGACCGGAGAGCCGUCUCGGUCAUGUCUGCAUGUCUCCCGAACCCGUAGGGUCUACACACUUAAGGUUUGGUGACGCUAGGGUUGUAUGAAUAUGAGUAUGCAGCAAACCAAAAGUUGUUCGGAGUCCCAAAUGAGAUCCCGGACGUCACGAGGAGUUCCGGAAUGGUCCAGAGGUAAAGAAUUAUCUAUGGGAAGUCGAGUUUCGGCCAUCGGGAAAGUUUCGGGGUCCGCCGGUAUUGUACCGGGACCACCGGAAGGGUCCCGGGGGUCCACCGGGUGGGGCCACCUAUCCCGGAGGGCCCCAUGGGCUGAAGUGGGAGGAGAACCAGCCCCUAGUGGGCUGCUGCGCCCCCUCCUGGGCCCCCCUCUGCGCCUAGGGUUGGGAACCAUAGGGGAGGGGGCGCCUCCACUUGCCUUGGGGGGCACACCAGCCCCCUUGGCCGCCGCCCCCCUAGAGAUCCCAUCUCUAGGGACGGCACCCCCCAUAGGGUCCCUAUAUAAAGAGGGGGGUGGGAGGGCAGCCGCACCCAACACCCUGGCGCCUCCCUCCCCUCCCUGCUACACCUCUCCCUCUCGCAGAAGCUCGGGGAAGCUCUACCGGAACCCUGCUGUAUCCACCACCACGCCGUCGUGUUGCUGGAUCUUCAUCAACCUCUCCUUCCCCCUUGCUGGAUCAAGAAGGAGGAGACGUCACGCUGACCGUACGUGUGUUGAACGUGGAGGUGCCGUCCGUUCGGCACUAGGAUCUCCGGUGAUUUGGAUCACGACGAGAACGACUCCCUCAACCCCGUUCUCUUGAACGCUUCCGCACGCGAUACAAGGGUAUGUAGAUGCACUCCUCUCUCUCGUUGCUAGAUGAACUCAUAGAUUGAUCUUGGUGAACGUAGGAAAAAAAUUAUUUUAUGCAACGUUCCCCAACAGUGGUAUCAGAGCUAGGUCUAUGCAUAGUUCUCUAUUGCACGAGUAGAACACAAAUCUGUUGUGGGCGUAGAUCUUGUCAACUUGCUUGCCACUACUAGUCUUAUUUUGCUUCAGCGGUAUUGUGGGAUGAAGCGGCCCGGACCGACCUUACACGUACACUUAGGUGAGACAGGUUCCAUCGACUGACAUGCACUAGUUGCAUAAGGUGGCUAGCGGGUGUCUGUCUCUCCCACUUUAGUUGGAGCGGAUUCGAUGGAAAGGGUCCUUAUGAAGGGUAAAUAGAAGUUGACAAAAUCACAUUGUGGUUAUUCGUAGGUAAGAAAAUGUUCUUGCUAGCACCCAAUUGCAGCCAUGUAAAAGAUGCAACAACAAUUAGAGGACGUCUAACUUGUUUUUGCAGCAAUUGCUAUGUGAUGUGAUAUGGCCAAAAGUUGUGAUGAAUGAUGAAUGAUAUAUUGUGAUGUAUGAGAUCAUGUUCUUGUAAUAGGAAUCACGACUUGCAUGUCGAUGAGUAUGACAACCGGCAGGAGCCAUAGGAGUUGUCUUAAUUAUUGUAUGACCUGCGUGUCAAUGAUUUAACGCCAUGUAAUUACUUUACUUUAUUACUAAACCGUUAGCCAUAGUAGUAGAAGUAAUAGUUGGCGAGCAACUUCUUGGAGACACGAUGAUGGAGAUCAUGAUGAUGGAGAUCAUGGUGUCAUGCCGGUGACGAAGAUGAUCAUGGAGCCCCGAAGAUGGAGAUCAAAUGAGCUAUAUGAUAUUGGCCAUAUCAUGUCACUACUAUAUAAUUGCAUGUGAUGUUUAUUAUGUUUAUGCAUCUUGUUUACUUAGAACGACGGUAGUAAAUAAGAUGAUCCCUUAUAAUAAUUUCAAGAAAGUGUUCCCCCUAACGGUGCGCCGUUGCUAAAGUUCGUCGUUUCGAAGCACCACGUGAUGAUCGGGUGUGAUAGAUCCUUAUGUUCACAUACAACGGGUGUAAGACAGUUUUACACAUGCAAAAAACACUUAGGGUUAACUUGACGAGCCUAGCAUGUACAGACAUGGCCUCGGAACACAGACACCGAAAGGUCGAACAUGAGUCGUAUGGAAGAUACGAUCAACAUGGAGAUGUUCACCGAUGAUGACUAGUCCGUCUCACAUGAUGAUCGGACACGGCCUAGUCGACUCGGAUCGUUUAACACUUAGAUGACUAGAGGGAUGUCAAAUCUGAGUGGGAGUUCAUUAAAUAAUUUGAUUAGAUGAACUUAAUUAUCAUGAACUUAGUCUAAAAUCUUUUGCAAAAAAAUAUGUCUUGUAGAUCAAAUGGCCAACGCUCAUGUCAACAUGAACUUCAACGCGUUCCUAGAGAAAACCAAGCUGAAAGAUGAUGGCAGCAACUAUACGGACUGCGUCUGGAACCUGAGGAUCAUCCUCAUAGCUGCCAAGAAAGCAUAUGUCCUAGAAGGACCGCUAGGUGAAGCACCCAUCCCAGAGAACCAAGACGUUAUGAACGCUUGGCAGUCACGUGCUGAUGAUUACUCCCUCAUUCAGUGCGGCAUGCUUUACAGCUUAGAACCAGGGCUCCAAAAACGUUCUGAGCAACACGGAGCAUAUGAGAUGUUCGAGGAGCUGAAAAUGGUUUUCCAAGCUCAUUCCCGGGUCGAGAGAUAUGAAGUCGCCGACAAGUUCUAUAGUUGUAAGAUGGAGGGAAACAGUUCUGUCAGUGAGCACAUACUCAAAAUGUCUGGGUUCCACAACCGCCUGUCCCAGCUGGACAUUAACCUCCCGGACGAGGCGGUCAUUGACAGAAUCAUUCAGUCGCUCCCACCGAGCUACAAGAGCUUUGUGAUGAACUACAAUAUGCAGGGGAUGGUGAAAACUAUUCCUAAAGUAUUUUCAAUGCUGAAGUCAGCAGAGGUAGAAAUCAAGAAAGAACAUCAAGUGUUGAUGGUCAAUAAAACCACCAAGUUCAAGAAGGGCAAGGGUAAGAAGAACUUCAAGAAGGACGGCAAAGAUGUUGCCGCGCCCGGUAAACCAGUUGCCGGGAAGAAGUCAAAGAAUGGACCCAAGCCUGAGACUGAGUGCUUUUAUUGCAAAGGGAAGGGUCACUGGAAGCGGAACUGCCCCAAAUACUUAGCGGACAAGAAGGCCGGCAACACCAAAGCAGGAGCUGUGGAAUAAGCGGAGACUGGUGAAGGACGAGGUGACGAUGCGCGUCAGGAAUGGUUCCAAGGUCGAUGUGAUCGCCGUCGGCACGCUACCUCUACAUUUACCUACGGGAUUAGUUUUAAACCUCAAUAAUUGUUAUUUAGUGCCAAGUUUGAGCAUGAACAUUGUAUCUGGAUCUCGUUUAAUGCGAGAUGGCUACUCAUUUAAAUUCGAGAAUAAUGGUUGUUCUAUUUAUAUGACAAAUAUGUUUUAUGGUCAUGCCCCGAUGGUCAAUGGUUUAUUCUUAAUGAAUCUCAAACGUAAUGUUACACAUAUUCAUACUGUGAAUACCAAAAGAUGUAAAGUUGAUAACGAUAGUCCCACAUACUUGUGGCACUGCCGCCUUGGUCACAUUGGUGUCAAGCGCAUGAAGAAGCUCCAUGCUGAUGGACUUUUAGAGUCCCUCGAUUAUGAAUCAUUUGACACAUGCGAACCAUGCCUCAUGGGCAAAAUGACAAAGACUCCGUUCUCCGGAACAAUGGAGCGAGCAACCAACUUAUUGGAAAUCAUACAUACUGAUGUGUGUGGUCCAAUGAGCGUUGAGGCUCGCGGAGGAUAUCGUUAUGUUCUCACUCUCACUGAUGACUGAAGUAGAUAUGGGUAUGUCUAUUUGAUGAAACACAAGUCUGAGACCUUUGAAAAGUUCAAGGAAUUUCAGAAUGAAGUAGAGAAUCAACGUGAUCGAAAAAUAAAGUUCUUACAAUCAGAUCGUGGAGGAGAAUAUUUAAGUCACGAAUUUGGUACGCACUUAAGAAAAUGUGGAAUCGUUUCACAACUCACGCCGCCUAGAACACCUCAGCGUAACGGUGUGUCCGAACAUCGUAAUUGCACUCUAUUGGAUAUGGUGCGAUCUAUGAUGUCUCUUACCGAUUUACCACUAUCAUUUUGGGGAUACGCUCUAGAGACAGCUACAUUCACUUUAAAUAGGGCUCCAUCUAAAUCCGUUGAGAUGACACCGUAUGAAUUAUGGUUUGGGAAGAAACCUAAGCUGUCGUUUCUAAAAGUUUGGGGAUGCGAUGCUUAUGUAAAGAAACUUCAACCUGAAAAGCUCGAACCCAAGUCGGAAAAAUGUGUCUUCAUAGGACACCCUAAGGAAACCAUUGGGUAUACCUUCUACCUUAGAUCCGAAGGCAAGAUCUUUGUUGCCAAGAACGGAUCCUUUCUGGAAAAAGAGUUUCUCUCGAAAGGAGUAAGUGGGAGGAAAGUAGAACUCGAUGAAGUACUACCUCUUGAACCUGUAAGUAGUGCAGCUCAGGAAAAUGUUCCUGUGGUGCCUACACCGACUGGAGAGGAAAUUAAUGAUGAUCAAGGUACUUCGGAUCAAGUUGCUACUGAACUUCGUAGGUCCACAAGGACACGUUCGACACCAGAGUGGUAUGGCAACCCUGUCCUGGAAAUCAUGUUGUUGGACAAUGGUGAACCUUCGAACUAUGAAGAAGCGAUGGCGGGCCCAGAUUCCAAAAAAUGGCUUGAAUCCAUGCAAUCCGAGAUAGAAUCCAUGUAUGAAAACAAAGUAUGGACUUUGAUGGACUUGCCCGAUGAUUGGCGAGCGAUAGAAAACAAAUGGAUCUUUAAGAAGAAGAUGGACGCGGAUGGCAAUGUUACCAUCUAUAAAGCUCGACUUGUUGCUAAGGGUUACCGGCAAGUUCAAGGGGUUGACUACGAUGAGACUUUCUCUCCCGUAGCGAAGCUGAAGUCCGUCCGAAUCAUGUUAGCAAUUGCCGCAUACUAUGAUUAUGAGAUAUGGCAGAUGGACGUCAAAACAGCUUUCCUUAACGGCUAUCUUAAGGAAGAACUGUAUAUGAUGCAGCCAGGGGUUUUGUCGAUCCUAGGAAUGCUAACAAGGUAUGCAAGCUCCAGCGAUCCAUUUAUGGGCUGGUGCAAGCAUCUCGGAGUUGGAACAUUCGCUUUGAUGAGAUGAUCAAAGUGUUUGGGUUUAUGCAGACUUAUGGAGAAGCCUGCGUUUACAAGAAAGUGAGUGGGAGCUCUGUAGCAUUUCUCAUAUUAUAUGUAGAUGACAUACUUUUGAUGGGAAAUGAUAUAGAACUUUUGGACAGCAUUAAGGCCUACUUGAAUAAGUGUUUUUCAAUGAAGGACCUUGGAGAAGCUGCUUACAUAUUAGGCAUCAAGAUCUAUAGGGAUAGAUCAAGACGCCUCAUAGGUCUUUCACAAAGCACAUACCUUGAUAAGAUUUUGAAGAAGUUCAAAAUGGAUCAGUCCAAGAAAGGGUUCUUGCCUGUAUUGCAAGGUGUGAAAUUGAGCUCGGCUCAAUGCCCGACCACGGCAAAAGAUAAAGAAGAGAUGAGUGUCAUCCCCUAUGCCUCGGCCAUAGGAUCUAUUAUGUAUGCCAUGUUGUGUACCAGACCUGAUGUAAACCUUGCCGUAAGUUUGGUAGGAAGGUACCAAAGUAAUCCCGGCAAGGAACACUGGACAGCGGUCAAGAAUAUCCUGAAGUACCUGAAAAGGACAAAGGACAUGUUUCUCAUUUAUGGAGGUGACGAAGAGCUCGUCGUAAAGGGUUACGUCAAUGCUAGCUUCGACACAGAUCUGGAUGACUCUAAGUCACAGACCGGAUAUGUGUAUAUGUUGAAUCGUGGAGCAGUAAGCUGGUGCAGUUGCAAGAAGAGCGUCGUGGCGGGAUCUAUAUGUGAAGCGGAGUACAUGGCAGCCUCGGAGGCAGCACAUGAAGCAAUAUGGAUGAAGGAGUUCAUCAGCGACCUAGGAGUCAUACCCAAUGUGUCCGGGCCAAUCACUCUCUUCUGUGACAACACUGGAGCUAUUGCCCUUGCCAAGGAGCCCAGGUUUCACAAGAAGACCAGGCACAUCAAGUGUCGUUUCAACUACAUCUGUGAAAAUGUUCAAGAUGGAGACAUAGAUAUUUACAAAGUACAUACGGAUCUGAAUGUCGCAGAUCUGUUGACUAAACCUCUUCCAUCAGCAAAACAUGAUCAACACCAGAACUCUAUGGGUGUUCGAUUCAUCACAAUGUAACUAGAUUAUUGACUCUAGUGCAAGUGGGAGACUGUUGGAAGUAUGCCCUAGAGGCAAUAAUAAAAGGAUUAUUAUUAUAUUUCCUUAUUCAUGGUAAUUGUCUUUUAUUCAUGCUAUAAUUGUAUUAUCCGGAAAUGACCACAACAUGUCCCUAGUGAGCCUCUAGUUGAAUAGCUCAUUGAUCAACAGAUAGUCAUGGUUUCCUGACUAUGGACAUUGGAUGUCAUUGAUAACGGGAUCACAUCAUUAGGAGAAUGAUGUGAUGGACAAGACCCAAUCCUAAGCAUAGCACAAAGAUCGUGUAGUUCGUUUGCUAGAGCUUUUCCAAUGUCAAGUAUCUUUUCCUUAGACCAUGAGAUCAUGUAACUCCCGGAUACCGUAGGAGUGCUUUGGGUGUACCAAACGUCACAACGUAACUGGGUGACUAUAAAGGUGCACUACAGGUGUCUCCGAAAGUGUAUGUUGGGUUGACACGGAUCGACACUGGGAUUUGUCACUCCGUAUGACGGAGAGGUAUCUCUGGGCCCACUCGGUAAUGCAUCAUCAUAAUGAGCUCAAAGUGACCAAGUGUCUAGUCACGGUAUCAUGCAUUACGGUACGAGUAAAGUGACUUGCCGAUAACGAGAUUGAACGAGGUAUUGGGAUACCGACGAUCGAAUUUCGGGCAAGUAACGUACCGAUUGACAAAGGGAAUUGUAUACGGGGUUGCUUAAAUCCUCGACAUCGUGGUUCAUCCGAUGAGAUCAUCAUGGAGUAUGUGGGAGCCAACAUGGGUAUCCAGAUCCCGCUGUUGGUUAUUGACCGGAGAGCCGUCUCGGUCAUGUCUGCAUGUCUCCCGAACCCGUAGGGUCUACACACUUAAGGUUUGGUGACGCUAGGGUUGUAUGAAUAUGAGUAUGCAGCAAACCGAAAGUUGUUCGGAGUCCGUAUGAGAUCCCGGACGUCAUGAGGAGUUCCGGAAUGGUCCGGAGGUAAAGAAUUAUAUAUGGGAAGUCGAGUUUCGGCCAUCGGGAAAGUUUCAGGGUCCACCGGUAUUGUACCAGGACCAUCGAAAGGGUCCCGGGGGUCCACCGGGUGGGGCCACCUAUCCCAGAGGGCCCCAUGGGCUGAAGUGGGAGGGGAACCAGCCCCUAGUGGGCUGGCGCGCCCCCCUGGGCCCCUCCUGCGCCUAGGGUUGGGAACCCUAGGGGAGGGGGCGCCUCCACUUGCCUUGGGGGGCACUCCACCCCCCUUGGCCCCCCUAGAGAUCCCAUCUCUAGGGCCGGCGCCCCCCUGGGGUACCUAUAUAAAGAGGGGGGUGGGAGGGCAGCCGCACCCAACACCCUGGCGCCUCCCUCCCCUCCCUGCUACACCUCUCCCUCUCGCAGAAGCUCGGCGAAGCUCUGCCGGAACCCUGCUGUAUCCACCACCACGCCGUCGUGCUGCUGGAUCUUCAUCAACCUCUCCUUCCCCCUUGCUGGAUCAAGGAGGAGACGUCACGCUGACCGUACGUGUGUUGAACGCGGAGGUGCCGUCCGUUCGGCGCUAGGAUCUCCGGUGAUUUGGAUCACGGCGAGAACGACUCCCUCAACCCCGUUCUCUUGAACGCUUCCGCACGCGAUCUACAAGGGUAUGUAGAUGCACUCCUCUCUCUCAUUGCUAGAUGAACUCAUAGAUUGAUCUUGGUGAAUGUAGGAAAUUUUUUAUUUUAUGCAACCUUCCCCAACAAGAACUUGUCGGAGACUUCAUAUCUCUCGACUCGGGCAUGAUCUUGGAAAACCAUUUUCAGCUCUUGGAACAUCUCAUAUGCUCCGUGCUGCUCAAAACGCUUUUGGAGCCCCGGUUCAAAGCUGUAAAGCAUGCCGCACUGAAUGAGGGAGUAGUCAUCAACACGCGACUGCCAAGCGUUCAUAACGUCUUGGUUCGCUGGGACGGGUGCUUCACCUAGCGGUGCUUCUAGGACAUAUGCUUUCUUGGCAGCUAUGAGGAUGAUCCUCAAGUUCCGGACCUAGUCCGUAUAGUUUCUACCAUCGUCUUUCAGCUUGGUUUUCUCUAGGAACGCGUUGAAGUUGAGGUUGACAUGAGCUUGGGCCAUUUGAUCUACAAGACAUUUUGCAAAAGUUUUAGACUAAGUUCAUGAUAAUUAAGUUCAUCUAAUCAAAUUAUUUAAUGAACUCCCACUCAGAUAGACAUCCCUCUAGUCAUCUAAGUGAUACAUGAUCCGAGUCAACUAGGCCGUGUUCGAUCAUCACGUGAGACGGACUAGUCAUCAUCGGUGAACAUCUUCAUGUUGAUCGUAUCUUCUAUACGACUCAUGUUCGACCUUUUGGUCUCUUGUGUUCCGAGGCCAUGUCUGUACAUGCUAGGCUCGUCAAGUCAACCUAAGUUUUUUGCAUUUGUAAAUCUGGCUUACACCCGUUGUAUGUGAACAUUAGAAUCUAUCACACCUGAUCAUCACGUAGUGCUUCGAAACAACGAACUUUCGCAACGGCGCACAGUGAGGGGAAACACUUUCUUGAAAUUAUUAUGAGGGAUCAUCUUAUUUACUACCAUCGUUCUAAGCGAAUAAGAUGCAAAAACAUGAUAAACAUCACAUGCAAUCAAAUAGUGACAUGAUAUGGCCAAUAUCAUUUUGCUCCUUUGAUCUCCAUCUUCGGGACACCAUGAUCAUCAUCGUCACCGGCAUGACACCAUGAUCUCCAUCAUCAUGAUCUCCAUCAGCGUGUCUCCAUGAAGUUGUCUCGCCAACUAUUACUUCUACUACUAUGGCUAACGGUUUAGCAAAGAAGUAAAGUAACUAUAUGGCGUUGUUCAAUGACACGCAGGUCAUACAAUAAAUAAAGACAACUCCUAUGGCUCCUGCCGGUUGUCAUACUCAUCGACAUGCAAGUCGUGAUUCUUAUUACAAGAACAUGAUCAAUCUCAUACAUCAUAUAUAUUUCAUUCAUCACAUCCUUUUUGGCCAUAUCACAUCACAAGGCAUAUGCUACAAAAACAAUUUAGACGUCCUCUAAUUGUUGCUGCAUGUUUUUACGUGGCUGCUAUAGGGUUCUAGCCAGAACGUUUCUUACCUACACCAAAACCACAACGUGAUAUGCCAAUUUCUAUUUACCCUUCAUAAGGACCCUUUUCAUCAAAUCUGAUCCGACUAAGGUGGGAGAGACAGACACCCGCUAGCCACCUUAUGCAAGUAGUGCAUGUCAGUCGAUGGAACAUGUCUCACGUAAGUGUACGUGUAAGGUCGCUCCGGGCCGCUUCAUCCCAUGAUACCGCCGAAACAAGAUAAGACUAGUAGUGGCAAGUAAAUUUACAAAAUCUACGCCCACAACAAAAUUGUGUUCUACUCGUGCAUAGAAACUACGCAUAGACCUAGCUCAUGAUGCCAUUGUUGGAGAUCGUUGCAGAAAAUAAAAAAAUUCUACGCAUCACCAAGAUCAAUCUAUGGAGUAACUAGCAACGAGAGAGAGAGAGGAGUGCAUCUUCAUACCCUUGAAGACCGCGAGACGGAAGCGUUACAAGAACGCGGAUGAGGGAGUCAUACUCAAAGCGAUUCAGAGCGCGGUGGAUUCCGAUCUUAGCGCCGAACAACGGCACCUCCGUGUUCAACACACGUGCAGCCCGGUGACGUCUCCCGCACCUUGAUCCAGCAAGGAGGAGGGAGAGGUUGAGGAAGAGGGACUCCAACAGCAGCACGAUGGCGUGGUGGUGAUGGAGCGGCAGUACUCCGGCAGGGCUUCGCCAAGCUCUUACGAAGGAGGAGAGGUGUUGGGGAGGGGAGGGGCUGCGCCUUGGAUGUGUUGCUGCAGCCCUCCCCUCGCCUCUCUAUUUAUAGGAGGAGGGGGAAGGGGCCCGGCCCCCUCUAGAUGAGAUCUAGAGGGGGGCGGCAUCCAAGGGGGGACUUGCUCCCCAAGCAAGGGGGGCGCCCCCUUUAGGGUUUCUCCCCCCCCCCCAACCCUAGGCGCAUGGGCCCAAGGGGGGUGGCGCCCAGGCCUCUAAGGGCUGGUUCCCUUCCCUCUAUAGCCCACGAGGCCCUCCGGGAGAGGUGGCCCCUCCCGGUGGACCCCAGAACCCUUUCGGUGGACCCCGGAACCCUUCCGGUGGCCCCGGUACAAUACCGGUAUGCCCCCGAACUUUUCCGGUGACUGUAUGACAACUUCCCAAAUAUAAAUCUUCACCUCCGGACCAUUCCAGAACUCCUCGUGACGUCCGGGAUCUCAUCCGGGACUCCGAACAACAUUCGGUAAUCACAUACAAGUCUUCCUAAUAACCCUAGCGUCAUCGAACCUUAAGUGUGUAGACCCUACGGGUUCGGGAAUCAUGUAGACAUGACCGAGACAGCUCUCCGGCCAAUAAUCAACAGCGAGAUUUGGAUACCCAUGUUGGCUCCCACAUGUUCAACGAUGAUCUCAUCAGAUGAACCACGAUGUCGAGGAUUCAAGUAAUCCCGUGUGCAAUUCCCUUUGUCAAACGGUAUGUUACUUGCCCGAGAUUCGAUCGUCGGUAUCCAAUACCUCGUUCAAUCUCGUUACCGGCAAGUCACUUUACUCGUUACAUAAUGCAUGAUCCCGUGACUAACCACUUAGUCACAUUGAGCUCAUUAUGAUGAUGCAUUACCGAGUGGGCCCAAAGAUACCUCUCCGUCAUACGGAGUGACAAAUUCCUGUCUCGAUUCGUGCCAACCCAACAGACACUUUCGGAGAUACCUGUAGUGCACCUUUAUAGUCACCCAGUUACGUUUGACGUUUGGCACACCCAAAGCACUCCUACGGUAUACGGGAGUUACACAAUCUCAUGGUCUAAGGAACUGAUACUUGACAUUAGAAAAGCUUUAGCAAACAAACUACACAAUCUUGUGAUAUGCUUAGGAUUGGGUCUUGUCCAUCACAUCAUUCUCCUAAUGAUGUGAUCUUGUUAUCAAUGACAUCCAAUGUCCAUAGUCAGGAAACCAUGACCAUCUGUUGAUCAACGAGCUAGUCAACUAGAGGCUCACUAGGGACAUGUGGUCUACGUAUUCACACAUGUAUCACUGUUUCCGGUUAAUACAAUUAUAGCAUGAACAACAGACAAUUAUCAUGAACAAGGAAAAUAUAAUAAUAAUCAUUUUAUUAUUGCCUCUAGGGCAUAUUUCCAACAGAUUGUUGUGUCCACACACACACUGCACACAGUUACCAAAGUGGGUAGACUGAUCGAUGAAUAAAUUUACCACGUGCAUAAGCUUGUAGCCCUGCUCCCCUGGACGAAUCAUCAUUACUAGACAAUGAUGGCGCGUGUUGUUGCGCCCAUCAAUUUUAUGAUAGAAUGAUAAAAUAUCAUGCAUUUUUUUAAAAUGUAAAAUAUAGAAAUUAAACUUGCAUGAACUAACCCGUAUACUAGACAAUGAUAAAAAAGUAAUAUUGCGAUUGUCUCGGGAAAUAGAAUUAGGCAACUGAUAGCUCUAGUUUUUAAAUGAAUAUUGUCUAUGAAAGAUAUCUACGAAACAAAAACAUGAAUAAGUAAUAUAGAUUUAGAGAACAUACGUGAUAGGCAAUAGGACGAUUGAUAAGGUAAAUUAACCGGGCAAUCUUUUUUGCUUAAUUAAUCGAUGAGACAAAUCUUUUAGCUUUGUUUAAAAAAAAUAGUGUCACUUCCCCUAAAAAAGAAUUAGCAUCCCUUGAUUCCAAUAUUGGUAGACCUUGUCAUCGUUGCCACGUGCCCAUGAGGGAGGAAGGCAGUGGGGCAUCGAUGUUGUGUGGCGCUGCGACACCAACACGAGCAACAAUAUAUUUUUUAGAACCAUGUUUUGUUGCAAAAUGUUUUGGGGAAUACAGAUAAUAGAUGGCGGAGACGUUAGACACACAUGAAGGCAUAUCGGGGCAAUUCCAUUCAAUAAUAUGAUGUAUUAUAUUAUGUGCAAAAAAGACAAAAAUUCAGCCCAAAAUCAACAACAACAAAACAAGCCCCAAAUUAGAACGAAUUUUGUCUCUUUUUUUAUCUCACAUGCAAGCACGUUUUUGAUGAAAUUUUGGCUUGUUAUACUCCACAUUUGUAUGUACAUGUAUGCAAAAAGUUAGAUAUUUUUUCAAGCCGUAAAAACCUGUUUUUUGAAUUUCAGAAAAACGGACUCCAAUGCCCCAUGGUCAGAUGUCACUUUUUGCCUUGUGCCCCUACUUUUGUUAAAAGAAAAAACUUCAGUUCCUCGAGGAUGCAGAUCCCAACAGAGUUCCCCGAGAACAUGUCGUUAUCCGAAAAGCUGCAACAGGUCUCAUUUCACUUUGAUGAAGCCCCUUGUGCUGCUGUAAGGUUUUCGUUUAUGUAUUCUUACCUUUUGUUUGAACCUCUAUGCUCCGAGAACAUGAUGUGUAGUCGAUUGUUGUGUCCACACACACACUGCACACAGUUACCAAAAUUUUAAGUGGGUAGACUGAUCGUUGAAUAAAUUCGCCACGUGCAUAAGCUUGUAGCCCUGCAUCCGUGGACAUGUCAUCAUUACUAGACUAUGAUGGCGUGUGUUGCCGCGCCCACCUAUUUUAUGAUAGAAUGAUAAAAUAUUAUGUAAUUUUUUUAAAAUGUAAAAUAUAGAAAUUAAACUUAAAUGAACUAACCCGUAUAUUAGACAAUGAUAAAAAAUGUAAUAUUGCGAUUGUCUCGGGAAAUAGAAUCAGGCAAGUUAUUGCUGUAAUUUUUUAAUGAAUAGUGUCUAUGAAAGAUAUCUAGGAAACAAAAACAUGAAUAAGUAACAUAGGUUUAGAGAACAUACAUGAUAGUCAAUAACACGAUUGGUAAGAUAAAUUAACCGAGCAAUCUUUUCUGCUUAAUUAAUUGAUGAGACAAAAAAAUUAUCUUUGUUUUAAAAAAUAGUGCCGCUUCCCCUAAAAAAAGAAUUAGCCCCGCUUGAUUCCAAUAUUGGUAGACCUUGUCAUCGUUGCCACGCGCCCGUGAGGGAGGAAGGCAGUGGGGCAUCGAUGUUGUGUGGCACUGUGACACCAACACGAGCAACAAUAUUUUUUUAGAACCACCGUCUAUUGCAAAAUGUUUUGGGGAAUACAGAUAAUAGAUGGCGGAGACGUUAGCCAGACAUGAUGGCACGCCCACAAAGAAGACGCGACUUUCACAAGAUUGUGAGCCUCAACAUUGCUGGUUCUUCUUUCAUAUUAUAAAGAAACAAUAAUAAAUUCUUGUUGCCUUGAAAUAAACUCACUAACUAUGGCAACAUAGCUAACUUGAUUUUCUUCUUUUGAUAGUCUUCAGCUCCUCUAUACAGUCCGUGGCCAUUUGCACGCGAUCUUCAGCUCCUCCAUACAAUUUGUGGCCAUUUGCACGCGAGACAUGUUGAGAUCAAAGGUCCGUUACCAUUUGCACGCGAGACAGGUUGAGAUCGAAGGCAGAUGAUAAUGCCCCGCUCACACGCAGCUACUUAAUUUUUUAUUUGAGACGCUCACACGCAGCUAUCUAAUUUUUUAUUUGAGAAACAACCUUUUUUAGCAAAAUUUGGGAAACAACUACUUACGUUUGUGUUUCAUAUACACUUUGUUCGCUUAAGCCAGUCCACCGGCCCAAAAAACAAUCCAGGCCCAAUCAACCACAGGUGAAGUAGAUAGUUCCGUGGAGCACCAGCCCGAGAGAUGUCCACGCAGACAAUCGUACGGCUAGCAACGCCAAAGCUUUGCGGAGGCUCCCAGCUCACCCUGUUAUACUGUUUAAGCUUUGUGGAGGCUCCCAGCUCGUCCUGUUAUACUGUUUAGUAAUAGUAGUAAGAGCCGCUAAUGAAUAUGCCAAAAAAAAGCCAAAAAUAUAUCAUAUUUCCUCCAAGGAAACCAGGUCCCGAUCGAGCUAGGAAUAGUUCGCUUCAAUAUAUUCCAUUCAAUGCGACAGGGUACGGAACUGCAAAAAACUUAAACGAGAUUCAUUACAACACAGUACGAUAGAUCGAAGCUAGCCCACGAAGACACCAACGUACACAACCAAACCAUAACUCAAACGAAACAACCAAAUCGCAACGCACACGUCCGUCCGGCCUAAACGCAUGCAUGCAGACAUGCCACAGAUAUAGGUAGCCAGCUAGCUAAAGCCCUCUCGAUGGCGAUCCGGUCGAUCUACGCCUUCCUCCCCUCGUUGGCCUUCUUGAACACCGCCGCCUGCGCCGCCGCAGCGCUGUCGGAACCGCCGGCUGCGGCCGCCGCGAACGCGUCCCUCACCUGCUGGGUGGUGUAGGCGAACCCCGGGCGGGUCAUGGAGUUGAGCAGCGCGGCGGUGCCCUCGCGCAGCAGCGCGCCGGCGCCGUCGGUCCUCGUGUUCGCCAGCGCGUCCUGGAUGCUCAUGCUCGGCCCGCCGGCGACCGCGCCACCGGCGGCGCCGAAGAAGUGGCUCACCGAGCUCGGCCAGCUCCCCAGUGCCGACCAGAUCUGCAUGGGGUGCGUCCUCCAGUAGCUACGUGCAAAAACAAAUGCAGUGUCACGGGCCCAUCACGUCAGCGACUCAACUCGUGGUAUUCGCAGAAGAAAGAAAAGGUAACGUGCCGGUGUACGUGUAACAAGUGGCUUACUCGCAUGUCCCGAGGCUGUUGGGGUCGACUGGGACGAGCGGCGUUGGUGUCACAGACCCGUGGCUGCUGUGCGACGGUGCAGCCGGAGUUCCGCUGUAGGAGCCUCCGUCGUGGGCCGGCGUCGGGGAGCUCCCGUAGGCGCCUCCGUCGUGGGACGGAGUGGGUGAGCUGCCGUAGGCACCGCCAGUGGAAGGCGUCGGGGAGCUCCCGUACGCGCCUCCGCCGUGUGACGGCGCAUCUGGGGUGGACCCGUAACCUCCUCCGCUGUGCGAUGGGUCAGGCAACGAUCCAGAGCCCCCGUGCGAAGGCGGCGUCCCGUACCCGCCGUGCGAAGGGUCAGGCAACGACCCAGAGCCGCUGUGCGACGGAGUCGAGCCGGAGCCGCCGUGCGACGGCGUCGUGCCGGAGCCUCCGUGGUAGGGGGGCGUGCCGGAGGAGCCCCCGUGCGAGGGAAGCGGCACCGUGGUGCCCCCGUGGCCGGGGAAAUUGUGCGGGUCGAGCGACGGCACGCAGUCCGGCUUCUUCACGUCAUCUGCAAGCACGCCAAGAGACGGCAUUUGUUAUAACCCAGCUCACUACUCACCAGUCACCAGUCACCACAAGCUUCAUGCACAAGAUCUACUUAGCUAGGUACGUACCUUGGCUUGCCUUGUCCGUUGGGCCGGUCCUGGCCGAGACGGAGACGAAGGCCUGGGUGACCAACGCGGCGAGCAGGAAGCUCGCGAGGAGAGCUCUCUGCGCCCCCAUGUCCUCUAGCUUCUUCUUCUUCCGCCGCUGCUUCAGUGGGAGUGGAGUGGAGAGGUGGAGUGAACUGAACGACACAGGGAAAAGGAGCGGGGUAUAAAUAGCGGGGAGCAGAAGAUACCAGACCGACGCGCCAUGAAAAUUGAUGAGGUCUGUGUGAGAGAGCGUGGUAAAUGGAGGUCGCAGAGGCAGAGAUGACACCACGGAGUGGUUGGCCAGGGCAUUCAUUGCGCGCCAUGAAACGCUCGACCGAUCCGACUAGACAGGGCAAAGGUCAUGGACUCAUGGUGGACUGGCCUUGCGUGUUUAUCACCUACCUAGUGACAAUAAAUUCAUUUUCUUCUUGAAGUUUUUGAUUCGGGUUCCAGCUAUCGAUCCUGAGGCGGAGAUGUGCAUGGCUUCAAUUCGUGUGCUGCAGGAUGAUGGAUGAUCCGGUCCUACUAUUGACCAAGCGCACCAUCAGUUUGGCCUUAGACCAUGCAUGAAGUCUUGGCAACCCAAGUUUCCAGUAAAAUGCAUGUUUUUUUUUUGAAACAAGUCAAUAAAAUGCAUGUGUGUGCUACUGUAAAAGUAUCUUCUAUGCAUCGACACAUUUUUAUGCCUCGACCAAUUAUAAAACACAGAUCUAAAAACCCGUGCCUGACUUUUUAAUUAGGAAAGCAUGUAUUUCAUAAAAGAAUGUACCUUUAGAUUAAUUGUCAAAUAUUAGUUUCUAACCAUACAUUCUUUAUUAGCCAAAUCACAGAUCUAAAAACCCGUGCCUGACUUUUAUAAACCCAACCGAUCGAAGGAGUAUUAGAUUGGUUAUCUUUUCCACCUUUCUUGCUCUUUCAUCUACAUUCAUUACAUUUUUUUUUUAACUGAAACACCUUGCAUUCCAAAAAUUACGGUGGACCGACCAGAUCGGCGGCCACGGCUCGGCUUACAUCAGGGGCAGAUCGGAUUGCCAGACCAGGUGGUUCUCGGGUUCAGCCCGCGCACCAGCAGCAGCCAACAAGUGUGCUGGGUUAUUACAAGCCCUCGGGGCGAAAAGAACUUUUGACUCUAUAAAACCUAGCCGAAGGAGGAACUUUGCCUCCCUGAAUAACACACCUAGAGAACUGCGGUCCUGAGAAGUAGCUUCCAUUGCCGAGUGUAGAGUUUGACAAUCUGUCUUGAAGUGCACACGCCCCAUACCAUGUGCUUCUGCAAAUUGGAUGGCCUUAGCCUAUAUAGAUGUCCCGUUGGUUAAGAUUUUCUAAAAGUGUACAUUCUCACUUUUCCCCCUAACUGCAAGCAACUUAUGACAAAGUUUAUCUCAAUACAAAAAUAUUAAUACCUCCAAUUCAUAUUACUUGUUUACUCCUAAUGAUGGGUUUUUACCCCUACAUUAGUAUUUUCCAAAAACCAACAAGGCAUGCCCAUGUGUUGGGACGACAUGGCAGUUGACUGGGCGGACAACUCACGUUUGUAUUCGAGGGAGAGGUCACUAGAUAAUAGGAAUUGACUGAAUCUAAUACAAAAUUCAAAAAAUGUUCAAAGGUCUAAUAAAAUGUACACAAGAAUCCCCUGCUGCCUUCCCUUUCCCUCACGCAUGGUCAGUUAGGGCAAAGCUAUCUUCCCGGCCAAGCUCCAUCGGCCAUGGUUAAAAAAUGUUGUUGUUUAUAACUACCGCCCAAGGUUUAUUACAGAAUGUGAAAAAAUGACUUUAAUUUGAAGAAUUACUAUGAUUAAUUGGAGGAAAACUAGAUAACAUUUGACAUGCGUGUGAAAUUGUUAUGAUGCAACAAAGGCUAAUUUGCCAUGUAUAUGAACAAGUGAUGGCUGACUUGGCAUCCAAAACAAACAGAAUGGUCAUAGUGUGCGCUUACCUCAUUUCGACGGCCUUUAUUGACAACAAUCGCCUUACCCUUUGCGGUGUCAGCAUCACCAUCACCCAUGCGUUUUUUAACCAUUGCUCUACCUAAAUAGACAAACAACAUUCCAAACUUGCCCUGAUUAGUGGAUUUUGGUGCAAAAAUUGAGCUCCUCCUACCACGGAAAAUUCCCUCCAAGCCACUAGUGUUCUAUUGCACAUUGACGCCAUCGGCAAUAACCCCCUGCUCGACCCCGACACACUACAGGACUUGCCUAGACAGAGCUUCAGUGAUGUAAUUGUAGGUGCAGUUGGGUUAUUGUUGUUAGCGACCCAACUGCAACUGCAGUUACGUCACUGAAGCAGCGUCCCACACUACAACCCCCCAAAUUGCACACCCCCGGUCCCAACAAGCGCCUCUGCACCAAAAAACCGCUACCCUCAGAGAAAUGAGCAACGUUGGUGACAUGAUGGGAGGUCUCGAUGAGCCUCCGCCGCUACCGUGCCACCCAACACCCACACCCCAUUGCCAGCCAUCGUUGUACCUCUCCCAGUCCCGCCACCCUACACCCACCACCACGUCAAGAGUCAUGGUUGCACCUCCGCCGCGGAGACGCCACCUCCCAUUCCUUCCUCUCGUCGGGUCGUCGUGGACUAAAUCAACGAGAUCCCCCCCUCCCCUUAACAAAACCUCAUGUCUUUCAACCCCAACGAGCAGAUGCGAACCCGAGCGAAAAACCUGGUUCGUGGAAAUGAACCUACCUGGAAGCUUGACGCAAUGGUGUGAUGUAUUGUCAAAAUCUGGUUGUGGCGAGCGACAACGAUCGGUUUGCCGGAGAAUGGGAUGACGUCGUGCGACAUGGAGAGGCGGAGGGAUGGGGCAUUACCAAACCCCAUGGGUAAAAGAACCACCCCACCACUCCCAUGUAGGUCGUGCGGUUGCCACCCUGGGAGAAAACAGUUGUCGUGAACUUGGCCAACUCGGCCCAGCAUUGGAUUUCAUGCAGCGAAUCCAACGCUUCAGCUCACGAUGAGACAAUCAAACAACUAUUUUUUCAGUGCAAGUUUGCACAUUCUACAUGAUAAGUCAUCCAAAUCACUUCCAAUAUGUAUUCGCCCAGAAGUGUUGCCAAUAUUUUUCGUCAUUGGUUGGACAGUAUUCCAAAUAUGUUCUGAAUGCUAGUAAGGGUGGGAGCAUAUGCCAUAUUAUAGUCGCUUUGGUUGUGUAGAAAUAAUUUGUUUUAAAUGGCAAAACUCUUCUCCGUUGCAAGUUAUUUUUCUAUGUACGCACUCGCUUCGUACGUGGUCUGCACUAUACCUAACGGAUUAGCAACCGUUAUUCAAUACGGUAUGUAUGCAGCUGGAGGUGGUGGCCAAAGAGGUUUCUACCUAACAUCAGUGGCAACAUAAUCUUCGGAUCGGUCCACCACCUCCUUCGACCUAGUCAUCUUGUGUGUCCUAUAUGACUCUACUGUUGCCGAUAUGUCUUUUUUUUUAAAUUAUCUUUUGUCAGACAGUUGGUGUUUGCUUUUAUUUUUGUGCAUCUUAGUUAUACAUAGGCCGGGUGUUGCUUAUCAUGCUUUGUAUAUAUCAAUGCUAUAUUUUAAGUUAAUAAAAAAGUUAUCUAAAAACAUGCUUCAGCUCACGCAAGAGAGUCAGGAGAAAACAUUAGCUCUUUAACAUUUUUGCAAACCAAAAACCUAAAUGAAAUAAGGACCUAUUGUAAUUAUGAUUAAUGCAAGGGGCGGUUCCCCGAAUGGGGAAGAGAAACGAGACCGAGACGGCGGCAUGGAGGACGUCUUAGAUUGUGGUAAGGUUAGGGAAGAGUCAUACAAGUACUAUAUAUGCUGAAAUUAACAGUUUAACACUAAUGCAGUUAAGUCAUCGCACAUGGUUAAAAGAGCCUAUCACUGCAUAACAAGAACAAUUGAGUCUACAUGUACCAAUCAUCGCCCAAUUUCAUGUUAGGUAAAAAGAAACUUUCAAAAGCUUCUAUUUUCCGAAACAGAGAAAAGAGAAAUUUACCGAAGCAAAAGCUCAACCGUGCAAAGCUGUACACUGCAGAUAUCGAGCUUAUCCUCCGCAGAAAUACUUGUACUCCAUUUUGGAGGGUUUAUUGAAUGCAGAGGAGGGGAAUUAAAUUGGCAUGUGAAGGCAUUUACAUGCAAUGCAGCCAAGCUGAUGAACCUCUCCAUGUGAGCUCCACAUGCUACGUCCAAGCAAAACACAGUCCUUGGAGGCCAAUUGGUCGAUAUGUACACCGCGUCACGCUCGCCGAUCGAUUACCUUGCCAUUUCUCGCGAAGCUAGGAGAGGGAGUUGCGUGGCUCCGAUUGAGCAGAGUUCGUGAUGAUGAUCAAGACAAACAUCAGCUGACGAGGCCUUCCUGCCGUACGUGAGUGCAUUUGACAUGUGCCGGUCCUGAAAUGAAUUGGUUAAACGAUAUAUAAGGACCACUCUUCGCGGGAAAUUAAAUAAAAAUGUGAAAAAAGAAUAAAGCUGCAUAAGAAGUAUGUAUUCAAAAAUAAAUUAAACGACGAGUUUAUGGCAACAUGCAGUAAUCUGCCGCGACUGGUCAAGCUCUCUAGUAUAGACUACUCCCUCCAUGCCAACAUAAGUUUUGGGUUUGUUUUAAGUCAAAAGCUUUUUUUUAAGUUCGAUCAAGUCUAUAGAAAAGAGAUUGACAUCUACAACACCAAAUUAGUAUCAUUAUGUUCAUUGUAGAAUAUAUUUCCAUACUACAUACAUUUGAUGUUGUAGAUAUUAGUAUAUACUCCCCCUGUUCCUAAAUAUAAGUCUUUGUAGAGAUUCUAUUAUAGACCACAUACAGAUGUAUAUAGAUGCAUUUUAGAGUGUAGAUUCACUCAUUUUGCUCCGUACGUGGUUUAUAGUGGAAUCUCUUCAAAGACUUACAUUUAGGAACGGAGGGAGUAUAUUUUUCCCAUAUACUUGAUCAAACUAAAGAAGUUUGACAUAGGACAAACCCAAUUAUUAAAAUAUUCUGGAAGGAGGCGUCCUUCCUCCGCCCAAAAUUCACAACGUUUUAAAUAAGUGUCCACCCAACAUUGUUUGAUUUUGAGUUGUUAUAUGCAAAAAAAAAAAAAAAAAUUGGUACCAUGCCAAUGGUACUCUGGUCAAAUUAUAAUAUUUGUUUUACGAUGUCAUAGUUUGAUAUAUUUUUUAUUGAUGUGCUCAUACAAAAAAAAGACCAAAGUUUCACAUUAAAUUUUGCAAGUAAAAACAUGUGUACGAAAUAUGUGACCGUUAAAUUCAAACAAGAUCAGGCAUUUUGGAGAUGAUUCCAUGAACAUGUAAAUCAUAGUUAAAAGUUUCGAAAAUAUCUGCAAAUAAAUGCAUGAAUGGACAUAUUCUACAAGUGUGUAAAGUUUCACGAUGAAAUACAUUAAGUUUGUGGGUUGUUCACCGUUUUUAAAUCAUGAAUUUGUUCUUUUUGUGCAGCUCACAUAUUAAUGUUCAUUUUCAAACUUUACACACACAUAGUAUACAUCCGUAUGAACAUGCGGAUAUUUUUUGAAAUUUUUUAAUUCAAAAUGUGAUGUUUGAUUUUUGAUUUUUGAAAUCCCCAUGGAGCCCUAGCACGAAACCUGAUUUCCCCAAGACCGUUCAUUCAUAGAGAAUAAAUCUCUAGGAGAUGAGAGGUUGUAAAAAAAGCAAAGUUGGAGAUUUUAUUUUUCCAAACCAUGCAGGAGGACUGCAUGUAUUAUAUUAAAGAUAGGAAAAGAAGUACACCACCAAAAAUCCUAUCGAAACAGGAUUUCGCUCCGUUUUAUAUAAAAAAUCCUCAACGUGAACAAAAACACUAGAGAACGGCCCAUGCAUAAUCCAGACUACCUAAACACGACACACCAAACUAAUGUAAAAUGAAACGACCUAGACUCGCUUCAACCCCGCCUAUAGUACGCGUCAGAUUUCGGUUGUUCAAUGAUUCUCGGAAGUGGUGUGUAAGCAUUUUCAAAAACUCCUCCACUCUUCUCCCUUCAUAUGCUCCAGGUAAUUAGCGGCACCAAGGUGUUCAAAGAACUCCUAGUACCGUGGACUCUCUACCUACCAUCUUGCCACUAGUCCGGGAGUGAAAGACCCGUCUGAGUAAUGACCUUUGCUCAAUCCAGCCCAAUGAAGCACCGAAGCCCAGAGAGUAGAAACGACGCUGCAAGUCAUGAAGAAAUGAUGGGCAGUUUCUUGUGUCUUGUAGUAGUACAGACAUGCUGCAUUAUGUGGUAGACCUCUCUUGACCAGGCGAUCCGCCGUCCAUACGCGCCCUCCUACGACCAAAAUGUCGGAGAAAUAUUAUUCCUCUCCCAAUUCCUAACUCCCAAGUAUGUUUUCUUUGGUAUACUUGUUUUAUCUUGAAAAAGACUUUCAUCUCGCUUUAUAUAUACUUCCUUCAUUCCAAAAUAAAUGACUCAACUUUGUACUAAAGUUAGUACAAAGUUGAGUCAUUUAUUUUGGAACGGAGGGAGUAUAAAGCAACAAGUAAGCAAAGUACACGGCCAUGAUGAGGCGGAGAAGUAUACUCGUUUCAUCGAGAGAAACUGUACCCCGAAGAGCGCCAUAACUUCUGCACCGUGAAAAGUCUACCCAUACUCAUACUCGCACUCGUACACUCGAUGGAUGGAUCGAUAUGACACGCUGGAUGCAUGUGCACCAAACGAACGGACGAUCAAUCGUCAAACGAACGCAAGCUGAGCAGUAAAUGAUUGCGUGGCCCGGUCAGCAUGCAGCCGACGCGUACCCAGCCGCUGCUGUUGAUGCGCAUGCAGAGGAGAUGAGGUCGACCGGAAGGAGCCGUGGUGGAGAUCGAUGGAGCCGGCCGGCCCAUGCACGCACCAGCAAAUCUGCGGCAACCUUGCUGUUUCCAGGCUUGCCAACGCCAGUGAGACGAUCAGUACCACCAUGAUGCAUCUAUGCAACCAGUGUACAUAUUUACCAUCUUCCCUCCAGCAGAACGCAUCAAUGGCGAUGCCAAGGACGACAACUGCAUGUUACCACCACCACGCUACGGCCCGGGGACAGCUCGCAGCAGCACCACUGCACUAUGCCAUACCAGUAUAGGUAUUGAUCGAUCAAUCGUAUUCAUGAUUUCAUGUCCACUAGCUGGUAGAGUCACCCCGUUUCCUUCGGGGAGUGAUGGCUUUUCUUUCUUUCUUUCUGUGGAUGGGAUGGGAGAAAAGAUCUGACGAAACAAAUGUGUUUUGGGUAAAUUUCUCGGCGUUGCUCCUCUAUCAACAACGCGUCGCCAGCUGCUCUCGUGGUGUAACUGCCAUGGGACAUAAGUGCGGUACUGGUGGAUCCACGGGUGUUGAAUGCGCAUUUAGUUCGCUCCUGAGCGCCCAACAGUUAAAGUUGUCAUGGGGAUGGACGGUCCGGCAGAGCGAUCGACGGAGGAACAGUGUAAAUGCUGUUGCAUCUUCACUCCUCAGCAACAGCUGGGCAGCUGGCAGGGAAUUUGUGUGUGCCACUACUGUUUUGUUUUCUACUCCCUCCGUCCCGAAAAACAUGUCGCGGGGGCAGUACAUUUGAUUUUUUGCAUUUUAGUCCUUCCACUUUCAAAACUCUAGAAAUUAAGCCCCCAUCUCCCUCCUCCCGUCGCCCGUGUCGCCACGGCCAGCCGUCUCCAAUCGCCACGGCCAGCCGCCGCAGUUCCUGAGACACCGACGAGCCCACCCACGAACAAGACCUCCGCUGCCCACGAGGAGGAUCUCCGCCGCCCGCCCACGAGGACUCCGCCGCCCGCCCAGGAGGAGGAUCUCCGCCGGCCACCGACGAGCGGGUCCUCCGCCGGCCACCGACGAGCGGGUCCUCCGGCACCCACCGACGGGCGGGUCCUCCGGCGCCCACCGACGAGCNNNNNNNNNNNNNNNNNNNNNNNNNNNNNNNNNNNNNNNNNNNNNNNNNNNNNNNNNNNNNNNNNNNNNNNNNNNNNNNNNNNNNNNNNNNNNNNNNNNNNNNNNNNNNNNNNNNNNNNNNNNNNNNNNNNNNNNNNNNNNNNNNNNNNNNNNNNNNNNNNNNNNNNNNNNNNNNNNNNNNNNNNNNNNNNNNNNNNNNNNNNNNNNNNNNNNNNNNNNNNNNNNNNNNNNNNNNNNNNNNNNNNNNNNNNNNNNNNNNNNNNNNNNNNNNNNNNNNNNNNNNNNNNNNNNNNNNNNNNNNNNNNNNNNNNNNNNNNNNNNNNNNNNNNNNNNNNNNNNNNNNNNNNNNNNNNNNNNNNNNNNNNNNNNNNNNNNNNNNNNNNNNNNNNNNNNNNNNNNNNNNNNNNNNNNNNNNNCGCGCUGGUCCACUCCGCCCACGACUCCGCCGCUCACUGCCGCCGCGCUGGUCGCCGUGCUGGUCCACUUUGGCUCGCCGGCUGGUUGAGGUGGUGGUGGCGGGUGACGCCUCUGCUGCCGAUGCCCUUCGAUCCCCGCCCCCGACCCCCGAGGCCUCCGGCUCUACCUCUGCUACUCCGCUCUGAUCCUGCAGCUGAUACAGAGUGAAAUUGAUCCGCAGCUCGCUUGUCAGUACUCCUCUGUUGAUACAGAGUGAAAUUGAUCCGCAGCUCGAUAUUCGUGUUGACCAGCAGCAGCAGAGCUCUAGUAGCAGCUGCCCUGUGCUCCUCUGGCCUGCUCCUUGUGUUGCCGCCAGAGCUCGUGUUCCUAAGGAAGGAAGAAGGUAAAAUUCAGUUUAAAUGUCAGGUUUCAGUAAAAUUUACUGUCAAUUUUCAUGGUGAAACUAGUAGUCAUGUGAAAUUGAAUGUUUGUCUAGAUCAAUUAUUGCUAGCAUUGUGGAAUUAGAGCAGAUAAGCCAAUUUUGAACAUACGCAAUCACUAUACUUUGCUAACUGUCAAAUUGUUAUGUCAAUGAGCAUAUGCAGUCACUAAUCAUAUGCAAAUUUGGAGUACUGCUGGAAUUACUCUAGUUUGGAGUACUCUAGAAAUCAAAUUUGGAGUACUGCUGGAACAUGUUUGCACUUUUUGUUUAAUCUCUCUGCAGGACAUGUGUAGGCAAGUGCCCUGUUUUACCCACUGUCAAAAAGUGCCCUAUUUUACUCACUGCAAAGCAAGUAAUCCUUCUGCCCUGUUUUACUCACUAGAGCAGAUCUUCUCAGCUGAGUUCCCAAAGAAUACUCAGCAUGGAUGUUCUGCUGCCAUGACCUGUGUUUGCAAAUGUUUCAGUAAACAUGAUACUCCCUAGAAUUCAGUUAAACUACUGCACAAAAAAUUCAGUUAUGAGCCUAUCUGUGUAAAUACAUUCACAGGAAUCUAGCUCACCUUGUGGGAAAAUCUAGCCAACCUGAGUAAAAUCCACACCAAAAGAAGCAAGCAAGCAAGAAAGGAUCAAGACAUGGUCAAAAUUCAGUUAAGAUUCAGUUAAGAUACAUACAGUAAAAUCUAAGUUGGAUAUUGACACAGUACAACUGAGUUGAUCCAGACUCAAAUCCGGGUUUUUAAAUGCAAAAUAUGGAUGAACAUUGGUGAUUACCACUACACUACAUCCAAUUGUAUUGUGUUUAGAGCAAAGUGUUUGGCUACAAAAAAUGGCUUAUGGUUAUGGUUAGAGCAAAGUGUUUGGCUGCCAUGGCAGCAUUUCUUGUUUGGAUACCGUGGCAACCAAACUAGAAAUGGUGCCAUGGCACCUAUUUCUUGUUCGACUUGCAUACUCAUUUUGUGUGUGUAUAUUCUUGUUAUGGUACCAUGGUGUACUCAUCUUUUGUCAUUGAUGGCAGGAAACAUAACUAUGGAUUUGAACUUGAUGCCUCAAAAGGAAGAACAUGAAACUAUGGAUUUGAACUUGAUGCCUUAAGAGGAAGACGAUGAAGCUAUGAAUUUGAAUUGGAUCCCUGAACAGGAGGAACCUCGAGUGGCAGAGAAAGGAACUAUGGAUUUGAACUUGAUGCCUCAAGAGGAAGACGAUGAAGCUAUGAAUUGGAUGCCUCCAGAAGAUGAAGGGAAAGAGGACGAAGCUCAAGAGGAAGAGGAUGAAGUUAUGAAUUUGAUACUUCAAGAGAAGAGAAGAGAAUUGUCAGAUAAGGAGAGGCAUGGUGUUUACUUCGCUUUGCUGGUAAUCGAGCUCAGAGAUGGGUCUGUUCAACCAGACGACAAUCUGCUAGUCUCAAACCUGUUGGACAUAAGUGUACGAUCUGUUGAAAGAGUCUGGGAAGAAGCCAAAAAGCAAAUUGCCGAUGGCAAAGAAGUAGAUGUCUCAAGCAAGAAGCCAGGAAGAUCUGGCCGAAAGAGAAAGGAGCUGGAUCUAGAGAGGACCUCAACAAUCCCAUUAAAUAAAAGAAGGACAAUUCGAUUUCUGGCACGGUCUCUAGGUGUGGCCCGAUCGACCCUACAUAAGAGGUUCCAGUUGAAUGAGCUCAACCGCAUCACAAGCACCGUGAAACCUCACCUCAAGCUAGAGAACAAGCUUGCGAGAUUGAAAUUUUGUAUGCCCAUGGUCGAUGACAAUUCAAUCUCAACUUCUCGGGCUAUGUUUAAACCAAUGACGAAUAUGGUUCACAUCGAUGAGAAGUGGUUUGACAUGACAAGAGUGAAGAAUAGUUACUAUGUACUUCCAGGAGAACCUGAGCCAAAGCGCACCGUGUCAAACACUCACAGCAUUGGGAAGGUGAUGUUCCUAACAGCUGUUGCCAGGCCUCGAUAUAACAAUGAGGGGGAGCUAACAUUUGACGGGAAGAUUGGCAUUUGGGCAUUUGUUGAAGAGACUGAGGCGAAGCGGACAAGUCAUAAUAGAACAAAGGGAACAAAAGUGUUGACAUCAGUGAAAGUAACAAGGCCUGUGUGCAGAGAUUAUCUAAUCAAUAAGGUUAUCCCGGCAAUUCCGGAUAAGUGGCCUGACGAUGACGAGGGAGCAACAAUAUUCAUCCAACAGGAUAAUGCAAAGCCCCAUGUCCUUCCCAAUGAUGUAGCUUUUCGAGAAGCUGUGGAACAAACUGAUCUUGACAUCCGAUUGCUACAACAGCCCCCAAAUAGCCCUGAGUUAAAUUGUUUGGACCUCUGCUUCCAUACCUCUCUCUAGUCUCUAACCGACUGCAGGUCACCUACAAACAUCCAGGAACUGGUACAGGGUGUGGAAGAGGAAUUCGAGAACUACGAUCCCGACAAGUUGCACAGAAGCUUUAUCACAUUAGAAGCAGUUAUGUUUGAAGUUAUGAAAGACAAAGGAGGAAAUCAAUAUAAGUUGCCCCACUUGCACAAGGAUCGCAUUCAGAAUGCUGGCAGGGAAAUCAUCAGUGUAUAUUGCGACAGUCGGGUAGUUGUUGAUACUAGGGCCAUUAUAGAAGAAAUGGAAAUUGCAAUAGGAAAAGAAAAUGAAAGGAAAGAAUUGGCUAAAGAAGGGAAAAGAAAGAAAAGUAAAGGGAAGGGAAGGGAAGAAGUGGCCAGAGAAAGGAAAAGAAUGUAGUCAAGAGGGGGCAAAGAGGCCCUUAUGUCAUGUAGUCGGGUGCUCCUUGUGUAUGUCUUGUGUAAUCUUGUAUCAAGAGGGGACAAAGAUGCCCUUAUGUCAUGUGUAAUCUUGUGUCAAGAGGGGACAAAGAGGACCUUAUGUCAUGCCCUUGUGUAUGCCUUGUCUAAUCCUUGUAUAUAAACUCCUUGUUGGAAUUUAUUGGAAUUUGGGUUAUUUGGAAUUUGAAUUGAUUUGGAUUAAUUUUAGUUAUUUGAAUUAAUUUAAAAUAUUUGGAUUAAUUUGAAUAAUUUGGAUUAAAACUUAAUAUUUGUGCUAACUUACUUUGCAAUUUGUGCUAACUUACUUAAUUAUUUGUGCCAUAAUGUUGGCCAUUUUAGAAAUGCACUAAUUAAAUUUCUAAAAUGAAGCUAUAGAUAUACAGUGUUAUGUUCUGACAAUAGCUAUGUAUUGUAGAUAGGAUAGCAAAUUUGUAGAGCCAGUUGAGUUAAUUUGAGCAAGUCUUGAGAUGAUGAACUUGCUGUCAGUUGACAUGAUGAACUUGCUGUUAAUAAAAAGCACUGUUGUUAUGUUAUAAAAACUGUAGUAUGAAAAGCAACCGAGAACAAAUUAGUCCAAUAGCAGUCCUUUUUUGUUUUGGAUUAAUUUUAGUUAUUUGAGUAAAUUUUGAGUAAAAUGACAGUACUUCGGAAAAUAUGGAGUAAUGCAUAAAUUUGUACUCCAGCAAGUUUAUUGCAUACUCUGACUGAACUUUAGUUUACUGUUAAAUGGCACUUGGGGUUAUCUAGUUGAUCAGCCUCAUGUUUCACUUUAUUCCUCCUUUGUUGUUGACUGGGGGUUAUCUAGCAGAUUUCCAUGCAUGGUUGAUUGGUCAGAAAAAUAACUAACCCAGCCAGCUCUCAUGUGGCUCUAGAUUAGACCCCAAUUGUUGAAUUGUUCAUAAUACUCCAAAAAUGAUGGAGUACUACUGUUCAUAUGCAUGCAAGAUUGUAACUGUGCAAAAUACCCCAAACUCUAAACUAACAGAACUAGUGCAAAAGUGUUGAUAAUCUAGAGGCUCUUUUCAACUAGCAGAACUGUGUACUCCUACUAAUAGUAGGACUACUAGUAGUAAUCUAGAGGCUCUUGUAAGCUAAUGUUUACAACCAGAAAAUGGACAGAUUUAAAAAUAUCGCACAUGUUUUAUUUGCAACACAAAUAGAAGGGGGGGUCUUAUUUUACUGGUGGAUCUUGAUCAAUGGCUAUGUAAAGAAUUUGAAUCAAUUUCUACACAACAAUACUGAAUUGGGGGAAAGAAUGAGAGGAGCCCAACAUGAGAAGUGAUGGACUAUGGAUACCGUUGCAAUCAAAACCUUUUCUCAGUUAAUUGGCAAACAAUAAAUGCCGUAAGAAGAAGCGAGGCCACCAACACCCAGAACAUGGUAAACAACGAUGGCCUCCACUUCAAAAAGAGGAUCAUUGUUUCUGAAGCAAGUAACUUGCUCAGCAUGUUUCUAAAGCCAGUAACUUGCUCGGCAUGUUUCUGAAGCCAGUAAACAAUGAUGGCCUCCACCAUGUUUCUCAAGCCAGUAACUUGCUCAACAUGCAAGGAGGAUCAUCGUGGAGUAACUUUUAAUCACAUCCACUAAAAUUCACAAGUUGACAGCACACUUUACAAGAGUACAUUCAGUUUACAGGAGUACAUUCACUAAAAUUCAGUAGACAGAGAAUACACACAUUCAGUAAAAUUCAGUUCAGAGACUACGCACGUUCAGUACAUUCAGUAGAUGAGUAGAGAAGAGAGGUUCAUACCCAGGCUGUAGGCGUUGGUGACGGAGAUGACCCAGGCUGGAGAAGAUUUGUAGCCGCCGCCGCUGCUGCCAAGUGAGCAGGGACGACCCACUGGACAGCCGUCACUGCUGCCGCGGUGUCGCAGGCGCGGGUCUUCCACCAGAGAAACAACGAAGAAGAAGCCGCCGCGGUCGUAUUCCUAGUGGAGUUGUCGUCGCCGUCUUCAACACUCGCAAAUCCACAAGCUUUAGGUUGCUGUCGUCGUUAGGCUCAUCGGCGUUUACCUUGUUGCAUCUCCUGUCGCCAUGGGGCUCGUCGGCCUCAUCGACCUUUAGAUUGUUGGUGGUGGUCAGGAUCCAGCGCCUCCGGGGUCACUAACGCCGGUUCCUACGCAGCCGGAGCAGAGCGCGGCGGUAGCCGGGGAAAUCGAAGAUUUUUAUGAGGAAGGGGGAGCUUGGGGAGGCAGGCGAGGGGCAGGUGCGGCGGCGGAGCAGGAGGCAGCUGCGGCGACGGAACGGGGGAGCAGGGAGCUGCGUUCGCGGGGAGCAGGGCAGCUGCAGCGGCCGGGAGCAGCGCAGAUGCGGCUUCUGUCGGAGGAGGACGACGAGGGAGCGCGGGUUUGGUCGGGAGAAAUUAGAGGUUUUUUUUGCUAAAUCGCCCUCGCAACAUGUUUUUCGGGACGGAGGGAGUAUUUUUCAUUUUUUCUGAGACGAUGCUGGUGAGAACUAUGAAAAAGCAAUACUGUAUAUACUUUGAUAUACAUUAUACUAGCACGUAUGCCCGUGCGUUGCAACGGGAGAAAUGUACUGAAUUUUUUAAUUUGAUGAGAAUAAUAUGUGCAAGCAUAACACUGUGUUUCGCUAAAAAAAAAGGUAGCCAAAACGCCCACCAGUGCUGCAUAGUAACAUCCAGACCCUACGGCGUUAUGAUCUAUUCAAAAGUAAGGGUCAUUCUUGAAGAAAAAACUAUUCUCGCAUAGAAAGCAUCUCUUCUACCUCUACCUAAUAUUAAUAUAUACUUGCCCUCAAAAAAUAUUAAUAUAUACUUCAUAUACAAUAGUUAAAAGGAGUAAGUUUUCUUCCUUUGUUUUUCAUAGCACACACCGAUUUAUUUAACUUGUUUACUGCAAAUAUAAGCACGAACAAUGGGCUGCGAACAUUAUAAAUUACUAACUUCGUUACAUAAUUUCUCUCCAUAGCCAAGGCAAGCAAGUGCAACAGCACCAUGCUUGGUCACCCAUUUGUUUGCUAAAUCCGAUUGUACCAGCUGCAUUUUUUGUUGAAACAUCAAAACAAAGUCUAUCCCUCAAAAGAAAGAACAACUUUAAUCCGGUGGUUCCAGUAGACACAUAAAAGAUGAUCAUAAUAUAGCAUAAUGUCUGUGCUUCCCUACAGAGCAUUAAACUAUAAAUUUGAACUGAAAUUUAAACGGAGUAUAGAAUGAAAAAAAAUAGCAUCAUUAAUAAACCUGGAGAUGCAACAGCUACAAGCAGACCAACCUGGUGCAAGCGCCGUGCGUGUCCAGCGAGAGCCAUGACAGCCGCUCGCGUUUCUCUUCCUUGGCCAUGCCGCGCACGUUAUUCUCUCCGUAGGCUAUACGCGCGUUCUGUGGCUAAAUUCUGCAGCUAAUAGUUUUCCAAUAAGAUGACACAUUGAAAUGGCCAACAAACAGGUUGAGAUGUUUUCAGGUUUCAGCUCAGGUGUCAACCACUAAACUGAAUCAACAAAAAUAAGAAGAUAAUUUCCCUUGCCAUGAACACAAGAAUAGAGUAUAAGAAGCUAAUCAUCAGGAGUUUGAUCCAAUCAUCGGCCCCCGCGCGCAUAUGCAUGUAUGUAUGCCCAUCUCUACAAUUAAAUUGAAUUUUGCUUUUGUUUGGUUUAUAGCAGCAGUCACCUCCUCAUCAUCUCAUUGGGAUGCCAGAUGGCGAAUGCCAAUGCCGGCCUACCUAUAUGUACACCAGAAUGGAAAGGCACCUGAAACAUUUUGUUCAGUCGCUCAUCUCAAAUGUUCCCAAGGCCAUAUAGUGCAACUGUAGUUGUACCCUGAAAUCAUAUGAAAUUACAGAAUUGGCAUCUGACAGCUCAUGAUAUUGCCUGGUUCAGAAGUAGUUCACCUUUUUAACAAGUACUGGAUGGACAACUAUUUGAUGAACAACGGAGCCGCCAAGGUCUAUCUUCCCAAAAUAGUUUACAAGAUUGCAAGCCGAAAGGAUAUGGAUAGCAGAGAGGUUAUCCUACAAUGAGGCAAAAUGAACGAAUGCAUAAAAGAAAGUCGAGAGACAUAAUACAGACAAUUUCAGUAGAAACCCAUACGAUUCAAAAGAUCAUAAAAAGAAGCUCAUACUACACCAGCAGGAUCAUCAUGAUUUCCAUGGAUAGUGAACACAUGCAAGCCAACAUUGAAAUGUGGGUCUUCAUAGUUUACAUGGCCAAAACUGGUAAUGCAAGAGGAAAAUUCAUCUGCGAACAUGAAGUACAAGAAUAUGAUUGCGCACAUCUUUCCUACGGUUUUCAUGCAUGCUAAAGAGAUUAAUAAGAUCAAAAUUCGUUAAAAGUAACAGGCUUGCUCAUGGAAACUCAUGUGGACGGUGAAUAUUAAGGAAAGGAGAGCGAGGGGAAGAGGGGGCAGCCCUCGGCCCGAUCAUCCAAUUCGCUCCGACGAUCCAUGCAUGGUUCGUCCUUCUUGAAUUUAAAUCGAGUGAUUCCAAAAUUCGAAGGAACAUUAUGAAAUGGAACGUUGAGCUUUGAGAUUCAUUGCUCAACCUGUUUGGGAAGUUGACUGUCUGAUCAUUGACAACCUGAAACUUGACUGGUAUAUCAUUUACUCCCUUCGUCCCAUAAUGUAAGGCUUUUUGACACUACUGUAGUGUCAAAAAAUGUCUUACAUUAUGGGACAGAGGGAGUAGGAAGUAGCGGCGUAGAAUCACAAUGGUCUUCACCAAGGUCGAACGCGAAGGCUUGUCCUCAUGGAUCAGGUCACCACCGAGAAGCACAAAGUCUACCUGCGAAUCAGUCUCAUCCCAGUUAUUACACACCAACAAUGGGCGGUCCACGAAAGGAUGAACAGGCGGAUCAAAAUAACCACACACAAAACAUUGCUCGUACAAACCUCCUUCUGCUUUGCUAACGAGCAUAUCUCCUCAAAAGCCUCAAAUGAAUCAAACCUCCAUAUCUCAUCCUUCUCCAUGUAGCCCAGAUGGCAAUUGGUGCCCGCAAGUAUCCGGAGCAUGUCUCUGUUGUCUUCCCCGCAGUGCAUUCAACAGCGACCAGGUCAGGAGGACAGCACAACACCUUGUGGCUGUCAGCUUAGGUAACAUAUGGCAGCCAAUGGAAUGCUCCAAUGCACAAAGAUAUUUCUCUCUAUGCAACGAGCGGUAACUUGCAAACAAUACAGAUUGAUUAGCUAUGUAUAUUUAUCCAGUUUAUCAUUCCGGCCACUAAUGCAUUAUUUUCUUGAUCAGGACUCACAUUAUGAAAAAGGACUCGCAUUGCCAGGUACCAACUUGAGCCAAAGCACUUGUUUCCUGUCAACAGAUCACUGCAACGAUAACAAACACGCAAGCAAGGUUAGCUGACAAGCGAAUAUACCAAAGACGAGAGUGGCGGGAGCAUGAUUGAAGCUUGGAGGCGUUCCGUCGAACAGGUGCUGGGCGCCACAACAGCUGCUCCCACACACCCAAACCAGAGCCAACAUCGUACGCAGCAAGCCGCCACGAAACAAGAAUGGCAAACAGAAAACGCGGACGUGCCGGAUUCUACGGUGAGAGAAGCCUAACAAUCACCUUCGCUUGGCCGCCUCCACUGCCGUCAAUUGAAGAAGCCAACCGCGGCGACUGACCUGGCGCGAAGCCGCAGCCGAUAGGCGCUAGUCCCGCCGGCAAGGACGCCGCCCCUCACCCGAGCACACGCCCCGGUGAGGCAUCCUCNNNNNNNNNNNNNNNNNNNNNNNNNNNNNNNNNNNNNNNNNNNNNNNNNNNNNNNNNNNNNNNNNNNNNNNNNNNNNNNNNNNNNNNNNNNNNNNNNNNNNNNNNNNNNNNNNNNNNNNNNNNNNNNNNNNNNNNNNNNNNNNNNNNNNNNNNNNNNNNNNNNNNNNNNNNNNNNNNNNNNNNNNNNNNNNNNNNNNNNNNNNNNNNNNNNNNNNNNNNNNNNNNNNNNNNNNNNNNNNNNNNNNNNNNNNNNNNNNNNNNNNNNNNNNNNNNNNNNNNNNNNNNNNNNNNNNNNNNNNNNNNNNNNNNNNNNNNNNNNNNNNNNNNNNNNNNNNNNNNNNNNNNNNNNNNNNNNNNNCGGAGGCUGGAGAGAGUUUUUUUUUUUUUUUUUUGAAAGGAGGCUGGAGAGAGUUGAGCUGCCGGCGGCAGACGCAUCUGGGUCUCUGGAUAAGAAGGCGCUGACCGCGGGUAGGGGUGCUUUUGUAAAAGCGAAACGUUUUUUUAACUAAAACAUGGACUGCGGGUUUAAUUAUCAGAAAGUAGAGGGGCUUUUUUGUAAAACUGUCGCGACGGUGAGCGACAGCAAUAGCCGCUUUAUUGUUAUUAGGGAAAGAUAAUUGCGGUCUUCAAAGCCUUGUGUGGCGAGGGCAUUUGCAGGUUUUGUUUUUCUUUGCUGUUGGUUCAGUGCAAUUUUCAAUUACCGGUGGGCAGCGUACAAUCAGAGGAAGAAGAAGACUAGUAUGCUUUUUAUUGUAAUUUUAUUUUUUACUGGUCGUUCUACGUCCAGUUGUCUAUCCUUUGUAGUGGCCUUUGUUUUCCUCGAUGAUAAUCAGAUUUAAGAUGCCCUUUGGGUGUCUUUAUUCAAAAAAAAAAAGAUAUACUGCAUGCAUACGUUAGUGUUGACUGCUUUACUGGAAAGUGUCACGUGAUUGGAGGCAAAGGAUUUUCAUUGGUAUCGUGCUCCUACCGUUGCAUGGCAGGGGAAGUGGCGAUGCGUUCCUCAAGUGCCUGGGAUAAUCUUAUAGCUAAACAUAGUAUACGCAUAUCGAAUAAACUGAAACAAAGUCAUAGUGUCAAAUAUCCACACCAAAGCCGAAAGUUACAUCAAGAUUCUUCAAAGUCAUCACCUCAAGAUUCCCCUCAUUUGCAUCUCGAAGUUUCACCAUGAUUCAGAUGAAAUAACUGCAAAAGAUGAUGCACAAAGUGAACGAAAACUCAAAGGUUUUCAAAAGUUUGAUGAGCCGCUCAUCUCAACCGGCGCUAAUCUAAGAUCCCUAGACGUACAGUGUGGCUAGACAAACGUUGAACCGCUAAUUCGCCACUAUAUCAAAGAAGAAGAUUGGUAGCCGAAAAUAUUAAAAAGCAGACAAUAUCUAACUAAAAUAUACUAGAUGCUAUCAUCGUACCAUCACUGCCAAGACAUGUCGAAGCCCCGGACGAUAAUCCAGGGGAUCAGUGCCAUCGAUGACUAACAGCAUCUACAGCCGGAUACACUUAAUCCGAGCGCGUCUGCGGGCAGUGACCUGGUAGCCCUCAAAUUUCUGCGACCGGGCAGCCCUCAAAUUUCCACCUCUGCAUCUGGAUAGUUCAUAUUUCAUCUCUUACAAACAUACGAAUCAUGCAAAGUAAACAUUUAUGUAGUACGUAUAUCAACUAAACCUACACUACACUACUUGUUGUCAUUGGAAAUGUCCACUAUGUUCGUUCCGGGCUCUGAGUACAGUGGCGACGAACUACGGCUCCGCGGCGGCCACCGCCUCCAUCUCCGCUUUCACCUUGUUGAAAAGCGCGCGGGUCUCUGCCUGUUGUUGCCGAAUGAAGCGUCGGUUGGACUCCAGUAUGCCCCAUCUUGGAUAGGCUGGAGGAUGGCGGUCUGCUCCGCCAUCUCCACUGAUUGGGCGACCUCGAACUUCGUCAUGGCAUCCUCCAUGAUGAAGCCUGCAACCGGCGUCAGAUCCUCCACUUGAUCCACCCCGUCUAUGGGCUCCAGCUGCUGCUCCCCCUCUCUUCCUCCUCCACCUCCAGCUCCGGCGAGUCCGAGGGCAGGCCGACUGUGAUUCGAACGACGCGCCUCAUCCAGAUCUCCUCCUGAAUCUGGAACCGGAGCUCUGGCGUUAGCAUAGCGUACGCUUUUUCUGUCGGGCCAUGACGGAGGCGGAUGAUAAGGGAAGAGGGAGACAAAGACGGAGAGAUAUGGAUGAGCUCGGGCAGGUGGCACAGAGAGGGAGGAAGAGGAUGUGGCUAGGGUUGGGGGACGCCGUUCAGCUUAAAUAGUUGGACUUUGGCCUCGGGCGGUGAGCCGAAGCGGCGCCACACAGCAUUCACACCCCCAUCGGAGGAGACGCCUCUCGGACCGUUGGGUUUCCGGGAAAUUUCAUGUGCGACCUAGAAAAAAGAAGGUGAGGACUUUCGGGAUGAAGUGCCGCCGUCUCGAGGCGGAACCUGGGCAUGAGCACUUUUUCCCUCCGGUGGAGCAAUUCCGCCGGGGGAACUUCCCUCUCAGAGAGGGAAAUCAUCGCCAUCAUUAUCACCAACAACUCUCCCAUCUUGGGGAGGGCUAUCUUCAUCAACAUCUUCAACAGCACCAUCUCAUCUCAAACCCUAGUUCAUCUCUUGUGUUCAAUCUUUGUACCAGAACUAUAGAUUGGUGCUUGUGGGUGACUAGUAGUGUUGAUUACAUCUUGUAGUUGAUUACUAUAUGAUUUAUUUGGUGGAAAAUUAUAUGUUCAGAUCCAUUAUGCUAUUUAAUACCCCCAUUGAUCUUGAGCAAGAUUAUCAUUUGUGAGUAGUUACUUUUGUUCUUGAGGUCACGGGAGGAAUCAUGUUGCAAGUAAUCAUGUGAACUUGACAUGUGUUUGAUAUUUUGAUGAUAUGCAUGUUGUGAGUCCCUUAGUGGUGUCAUGUGAACGUCGACUACAUGACGCUUCACCAUAUUUGGGCCUAAGGGAAUGCAUUGUGGAGUAGUUAUUAGAUGAUGGGUUGCAAGAGUGACAGAAGCUUAAACCCUAGUUUAUGCGCUAUUCCGUAAGGGACCGAUUGUAUCCAAAAGUUUAAUGCUAUGGUUAAAAUUUAUUCUUAAUAAUUUUCUCGUAGUUGUGGAUGCUUGCGAGGGGUUUAAUCAUAAGUAGGUGGUUUAUUCAAGUAAGAACAACACCUAAGCACCGGUCCAUCCACAUACCAAAUUAUCAAAGUAGCGAACACGAAUCAAACCAACAUGGUGAAAGUGACUAGAUGAAAUACCCGUGUACCCUCAAGAACACUUUGCUUAUCUUAAGGGACCGUUCUGGCCUAUCCUUUGCCUCAAAAGGAUUGGGCUACCUUGCUGAACUUUUGUUACUACUAUCUUUACUUGCUCAUUACAAAUUAUCUUUCUAUCAAACUACUCUGCUACUUACAAUUUUAGCACUUGCAGACAUUACCUUGCUGAAAACCAGUUGUCAUUUCCUUCUGCUCCUCAUUGGGUUUGACACUCUUACUUAUCGAAAAUGCUACAAUUGACCCCAUAUACUUGUGGGUCAUCAAGGCUAUUUUCUGGCGCCGUUGCCGGGGAGUGAAGCAGUUUUGGUAAGUAGAAAUUGGUAAGGAAAUAUUAUUACUACGUGCUGAAAUUUAUUGUCACUUGCUACUAUAAAAAACAAUCCUUUGAGGGGUUUGUUAGGGGUAUCUUCACCUCGACCGGAACCACAAUUAGUUGCCCCUCAACCUAAUGCCCCAAUCAUGAGCUCUCAAGAGAAAUUAUUAUCCAGAAUUUUUCUGCUCGGCUUUCUCGUAAUGAUCAAUCCAUGCUCGAUGCUUCUUGUACCGGUUCUUUUAUGAAGAAGACUAUUUAAUUCUAGUGGGAUCUUUUAGGAAGAAUUAAACGCAACUCUGAAGAUUAGGAACUCGGCGAAGGUAAAGAGUUAGGUAUUGAACCUAAGUUUGAUUGUCUUAAGUCUUUUAUGAAUACCGAUGCUUUUCAAAAGUUUAGCACUAAAUAUGGACUUGACUCUGAGAUAGUAGCUUCCUUUUGUGAAUCUUUUGCUACUUAUGUUGACCUCCCUAAGGAGAAGUGGUUUAAAUAUCACCCACCUAUUAAAGAAGAAAUUAAAGAACCGGUAAAAGCUAAAGAAGAAACUAUCAUUUUACAAUGUUGAUCAAGUUGUUCCCACUGCUUAUAUUGAAAACCCACCUUUCCUUGUUAGGAUGAAGGAACAUGCUAAAGUUUCAACUGUGGUUAACAAAAGUUAUAGUAGAACACCCAAACCAACUGAACAAAUCAGAGUUGAACCUAGUAUUUCUAUGAUUAAAGAUCUCUUUGUCGAUAAUAUUGAUGGGCAUGUUAUUUACUUCUGUGAUGAAGCUGCUAGAAUUGCCAAACCCGAUGAAAAAGAUAAACAUAGACCAGUUGUUGGCAUGCCUGUUGUCUCAGUCAAGAUAGGAGAUCACUGUUAUCAUGGUUUAUGUGAUAUAGGUGCUAGCGUGAGUGCUAUUCCUUUUCCCUUAUAUUAAGAAAUUAAGAAUGAAACAGCACCCGCUGAAAUAGAAGACAUAGAUGUUACUAUUAAACUUGCCAAUAGAGAUACUAUAUCACCAAUUUGGAUCCUUAGAGAUGUUGAAGUCUUGUGUUGGAAAAUAAAAUACCCUACUGAUUUUGUUGUUCUUGGUUCCCCACAAGAUGACUUUUGUCCCAUUAUCUUUGGUAGACCUUUCUUGAACAUCGUCAAUGCUAGAAUAGAUUGUGAGAAACAAACUGUUGGUGUUAGUUCUGGGAAUGAAUCUCAUGAAUUUAUUUUUUCCAAGUUUAGCAGGAAACCUCAUAAGAAAGAUUUGCCUAGUAAGGAUGAAAUAAUUGGUCUUGCUUCUAUUGUUGUACCUCCUACUGAUCCUUUAGAACAAUAUUUUCUAGACCAUGAAAAUGAUUUGCAUAUGCGUGAAAGAAAUGAAAUAGAUAGAAUCAUGUUCGAACAACAACCUCUGCUAAAACACAAUCUGCCUAUUGAAACUCUAGGAGGUCCUCCUCCACCUAAAGGUGGUCAUGUGUUUGAAUUAAAACAAUUGCCAGACACUUUGAAAUAUGCUUGUCUUGAUGAAAAGAAGAUAUAUCCUGUUAUUAUUAGUGCUAACCUUUCAGAACAUGAAUAAGAAAGAUUAUUGAAAGUUCUAAGGAAGCACCGAGCUGCUAUCGGAUAUACUCUUGAUGAUCUUAAGGGCAUUAGUCCCACUAUAUGUCAGCACAAUAUUAAUAUGGAGCCUGGUGCUAAACCCGAUGUUGAUCUCCAAUGUCGGUUAAAUCCGAAAAUGAAAGAAGUGGUAAGAACAGAAAUAUUGAAACUUCUGGAAGAAGGUAUAAUCUAUCCUAUAGCUGAUAGUAGAUGGGUAAGUCCUAUUCAUUGUGUCCCAAAGGGAGGUAUAACUAUUGUUCCUAAUGAUAAGAAUGAACUUAUUCCACAAAGAAUUUUCACAGGCUACAGAAUUGUAAUUGAUUAUAGAAAAUUAAACAAAGCAACUAGAAAAUAUCAUUACCCUCUGCCUUUUAUUGAUCAAAUGCUAGAAAGAUUAUCUAAGCACACACAUUUUUUCUUCCUUGGUGGAUAUUCUGGUUUUUCACAAAUACCUGUUUCACAACCUGAUCAAGAAAAGACCACUUUUACUUGUCCUUUUGGAACUUAUGCUUAUAGACGUAUGCCUUUUGGUUUAUGUAAUGCAUCUGCUCCCUUUCAAAGAUAUAUGACUGCUAUAUUCUCUGAUUCUUGUGAAAAGAUUGUUGAGAUUUUCAUGGAUGACUUCUCUAUUUAUGGGAAGUCCUUUGAUGAUUGUUUAAGCAAUCUCGAUCGAGUUUUGUAGAGAUGUGAACAAAAAAAUCUUGUCUUGAAUUGGGAGAAGUGUCACUUUAUGGUUAAUGAAGGUUUUGUUUUGGGCCAUAAAAUUUCUGAAAAAGGCAUUGAGGUGGACAAAGCUAAGGUCGAUGCGGUUGAGAAAAUGCAAUGUCCUAAAGAUAUCAAAGGUAUUCAUAGUUCCCUUGGUCAUGUCAGUUUCUAUAGGAGGUUUAUCAAAGGCUUUUCUAAAAUUUCUAAGACUCUUACAAAUCUUUUGCAAAAGGAUAUUCCUUUUUUUAUGAUGAUUGUGUGGAAGCCUUCGAAACACUCAAGAAAGCCUUAAUUACUGCACCCAUUGUUCAACCACCUGAUUGGAACUUGCCUUUUGAGAUGAUGUGUGAUGCUAGUGAUUAUGUUGUUGGUGCUGUUCUAGGACAAAGAGUAGAUAAGAAAUUAAAUGUUAUCCAUUAUGCUAAUAAAACUCUAGACAAUGUUGAACGAAAUUAUGCUACUGCUGAAAAAGAAUUCUUAGCAGUGGUGUUUGCUUGAUAAAUUUAGAUCGUACAUUGUUGAUUCUAAAUUGACCGUUCACACCGAUCAUGCUGCUAUAAAAUAUUUUAUGGAAAAGAAAGAUGCUAAACCUAAAUUCGUUAGGUGGGUUCUUUUGCUACAAGAAUUUGAUUUGCAUAUCACUGAUAGGAAAGGAGCAGAGAACCCCGUAGCUGAUAACUUGUCUAGGCUUGAAAAUAUUCUUGAUGACCCACAACCUAUUAAUGAUAGCUUUCCUGAUGAAUAGUUAGCUGCAAUAAAUGUUUCUAAUAGUGCACCUUGGUAUUGUGACUAUGCUAAUUAUAUUGUUGCUAAAUACAUACCACCUAGCUUCACAUACCAACAAAAGAAAAAUUCUUCUAUGAUUUAAGACAUUACUUUUGGGAUGAUCCACAUCUUUAUAAAGAAUGAGUAGAUGACAUUAUUAGACGUUGUGUACCUGAGCAUGAACAUGAACAAAUCCUACGGAAAUGUCACUCCGAAGCUUAUGGUGGACAUCACACGGGAGACAGGACCGCUCAUAAGGUGUUGCAAUCAGGUUUUUAUUGGCUUACUCUCUUCAAGGAUGCCCGUAAGUUCGUCUUAUCUUGUGAUGAAUGUCAAAGAAUAGGUAAUAUUGGUAAGCGUCAAGAAAUGCCUAUGAAUUAUUCACUUGUUGUUGAACCAUUUGAUGUUUGGGGUUUUGAUUUCAUGGGACCUUUUCCUUCCUCUAAUGGGUAUACUCAUAUUUUGGUUGUUGUUGAUUAUGUUACUAAGUGGGUAGAAGCUAUUCCAACCAGUAGUGCUGAUCACAACACCUCUAUUAAAAUGCUUAAGGAAGUUAUUUUCCCAAGGUUUGGAGUCCCUCGAUAUUUAAUGAGUGAUGGUGGUUCACACUUUAUUCAUGGUGCUUUCCGUAAAAUGCUUCCUAAGUAUGACGUUAACCAUAGAAUUGCAUCACCUUAUCAUCCUUAGUCUAGUGGUCAAGUUGAACUUAGCAAUAGAUAAAUAAGACUAAUUUUACAAAAGACUGUCAAUAGGUCCCGGAAGAAUUGGUCUAAGAAACUAGAUGAUGCACUUUGGGCUUAUAGAACAGCAUAUAAAAACCCUAUGGGUAUGUCUCCUUAUAAAAUAGUUUAUGGAAAAGCUUGCCAUUUGCCUCUUGAGUUAGAACAUAAAGCAUAUUGGGCAAUCAAAGAACUCAACUUUGAUUUCAAACUUGCUGGUGAAAAGAGGUUAUUUGAUAUUAGCUCAUUAGAUGAAUGGAGAACCCAAGCUUAUAUGAAAAUGCAAAGUUAUUCAAAGAAAAGGUUAAAAGAUGGCAUGGCAAAAGAAUCCAAAAGUGUGAGUUCAAAGUUGGAGAAUAUGUUCUUUUGUACAACUCUCGUUUCAGAUUCUUUGCAGGAAAACUCCUCUCCAAAUGGGAAGGACCCUAUGUUAUCGAGGAGGUUCAUUGAUCUGGAGCUAUCAAAAUAAAUAAUGCCAAAGGUUGUUAAUGGGCAACGAAUAAAACAUUAUAUCUCAGGUAUGUCUUAAUGUUGAAAGCAAUAUUAUGCAAACUAUGACACCGGAAGAGCACAUAAAACAAACCUUCCAAAACACUCCAGAAUCAUGAAAAAAAGGGAGGUACGUGAUACGGUAAGUAAACAGACUCUGAAAUAUCCGCAAAAAUAUUUUUUGUCAGUUUUGGAAUAUUAUUUUUUUUAGGAAAAUAAGAAACUACCAGGAAAUAUCCGCAAAACGGACUCUGGCGGUUGUGCCCACCUCGGGUACUUUCCGGACUCCGUUUUUCUUCCAUUUUGCUUGUUUCCCAAGAUAAAAAAUCUUUAUAUACCCCCCGAACCUGUUAACCUCUGUAUCACGGAGAAAUCUUCUGUUUUCUUUUCUCGCUGUUUUCUGUCAUAUCUAUUGAGCCGGGCAUCAUGUCUUCUUGUUCCUCUAACAAUAUAGAAGAGGAUGCUUGGUUGAUGAAGAUCGAGCUGAAGAGGGAAGAUCCCAUUGGAGCAGCCAAGGAGGACAAGACCAAGGAGGCCACUGGAAAUCAAGUGCGGGUGAUCGAGCAAGCCCUGCCUGCCGAUGAGGAAGAGGAAGAUAUCCUUAAACCUUAUUAUGCUUAUCUUACCCCCACCGAGAUUGCAGCCUUUAGGAUCACUGAAAUGGUUCGUGUGCAAAAUACGUACCUCACUCGUGAAAAUAUUCUGCAUCAAGAGCACAUCGCUUCCCUCCGGAGCAUCAUCCGUAGAUUGGAGAAUGUAACAUCCCAAAUUUUCAAUUUGGAAUGUUAUACAUUAGAUCAUCAUUGCAUAUGAUAUUUUAUUGCAUUUUGGCUUAAUUCUAGAAAUUUUACGCGACUCAAGGACCCACGGAGAGAGUUGGGGAUUUCGUUAUUUUCAUAUUUGAGUUUUCUCAAAUUUUGAAAUAGGAUCAUUGGAUUUUAAUUAUUUUAUCAUCAAUGAUUUCAAUUAUAAAAAUACGAGAGAGGGAAUAAAAUGACUUUCCGAAAAUAAAGAAAUAUUGAGGAUUUAAUAAUUAAAUCAAAUAAGAUUUUAUUUUGGAGUUUUAUCGCUAUUUUAUUUGAAUUAGGAAAAAUGCGCGUUUUUCAAAAUUGCAUUUAGGCCCCAAAUAAAUGUCAUCUUGUCCGGCUUAUUUUUAGAGGACGGGAAAAAUUUAUUUCGAGAUUUUUGGAGUCCAUUUAGUAUUUCUUUUAUUUCUUUUUCUGCUCGUCUGAAUUAUUUAAAAAAAAACAACGAACCGACUCUGGCCGUCGUGGGCGACCCGGACACGUCCGCCGCCCGCCUUUAUAAGAUGCUCACGCCACCCCGCCGGCCCACCCAGCCCGACCCCGCCCGAACCCUAACCCUAGCCGCCGCAGCCGCCCGCGCUGCGCGCCGCCUCCGCUGUCCGCCUUGCCGCCGACCGCCGCCGCCUCGGUUUUCGUGAGAAAACCGAUCGGGUUUUUUCGAACGGUAGAUUCGUUUUUUAGAUCAGGUUCGGUUUAUUUUUUUUCGGUUUAGUUUAGUUUGCGAAUGCUCGUUCGUACGUUCGUUUUAAUGAAUGUUUUCAUCGUUUAGCCGCAGACAGCGAACGUUCGUUCGUUAGCCUGUUCGUCCGUUUUUCUUUUUCUCGGAUUUUCCGCGAUUAUUUUCGAUCGCGAUUUCUGAUCCGAUUUUCGUUCUAGUAUAACUUUUCACUCCUUCAUCGGAAUCAGGCGAUUCAAGCGCCUGGAGUUUCGUCUCGAAACUCUCUUUCCGUUUAACCAACUCAAACAAGUUUUUGCUACUGUAACAAUUGACUUAGGUCCAGAUUAGUAAGCGAAUCUUGUUUCUUUCGCCGUUUGAUUUUCGUUGCUUCGUUUGAUUUGAUUCUUUUUGCAAACCGGAGUUCUUAAGUUGAACUUUCUGGUUAGAUCUCUUAUUUGAGUUUUACCUGUGCAUUAGAUGAGUGCUUAUUGUAUGCUUGUUUGUUUGCAAUAGAGUAUCCGAAGUGCGCCACUUGCUACUACGAGUCUCUAGGUUUCACGGAUCAUCGGCAAGGCAAGUAGCACUUUGAUCAUACCUUUUUACUACCCAAUCUUAUUGCAUUAGAUCAAUCUUUAAACAAUUGCAUGAUUAGGAUCUGUUUAAUAUGUGGGUUUUGGGAAGUAGAUGAGGUAGUACCUAUUACCUGUUUUAUUUAUCAAACCUUUGGGAGUUACUUCUACGUUUGCUUAUAUUGCUAUGAUAUGCUAGUAGACGUGGAUUGGGUGAGUGUAUCCAUGACAGAUGUGAGAUUGUUAAUUAAUGGUUUACUUAAGGUGGCAACUUUAAUACACAUCUGGGUGGACUAAGGCACCUGGGGAACCCAGUGUUGCCUGUAUUUUUGGAAAUCCCGGGGUAGCGUGUGAUUCUCCUAUGGACCGCCACCCAGGCUCAAAGGGAUCAUAAGAUUAUUUCAUGCUAGAAACUUUCGUGUGCAGCCGCAAGCUACUGUGGGCUCUAGCAUAGUUGAGUAUGUUGUGUGACCUCUUUUAGUGGUAGACUAGCAGAUGUAGGGGAUGUAGGUUCGUACUGUCUACCCAGAGUAAAGAGUUAAUGCUUCUGAAAGACUAUGUCUCGGUCAUCCGUUUCUCAAACACCAUGUAGUGUGAGAAAUCCAACGGAGGAGAUCGAGUCUUGCGGGGAAAAGUGAGCAGACCUCUGCAGAGUGUACAAACUAAUCAUGGUUAGCCCUGUCCCCGGUUAUGGAUGUUUUGAGUAUCUAGUACUUGGAUUAUCAUGUUGAUAUCAUCAUGUUACUUAAUUUAAUUUGUUGGGUUUAAUGAUGAUGCUUAAUUGGGAUUGAGUUGAAGGAACCUCCUCAAUGUUUAACAACCACCAUGAUAGUUAAAUAAAAUUUAUUCCUUUGUUGUAGGGAAAAAUCGGCUUUAUGCAAAACUGUAACCAUAGAGCUUUCCACCAGCCAUAUAUGCAUGUAGUGAUAGCAUUAUUCUGUUCAUUACUCUCUAUGUGUUACAUUGCCAGCAUAUUCCAUGUGCUGACCCGUUUUUGGGCUGCAACAUUCAUGUUGCAGACUUUUCAGACGACGAGUAAGGUGCCUUAGGUCGUGAUUUUACACUCAGUGAUGCCAUUGGAGUUGAUGGACUCGCCUAUCUUCCAAGCCUUCCGCUGUUAUCGUUAUUAGAUGGCCUUAAGCCAUAUUUAUUGUAAUAAGUUCUCUUUUGAGACAUUCGAUGUAAUAAGUGUGUGAUUGCUACUCUGUUAUAAAUCCUUCAAGUACUGUGUGUGUUAGCAUUACCGAUCCAGGGAUGACACUGAUGCACAGAGAUCAGACUAUUUGAGGUCUGGUCGCUACAAGAUGGUAUGAGAGCACACGCUGACUGUAGGACACGACCACUAAGCUAAAGCCCUAGAUCACUAUUCUCUUCUCAUUUAUGACUCCUCAUCUUUUCUACUCUUUAGGAUGGCGGAUGCCAGGAACAAGUUCACGCAACCGGAUGAAGAUACACCCUUUGGACGCCACUUGAAGGAAGUCACUAAGUACCUGAACAUCGAAGUACCAAGCUUCACCGGGACCUAAUCGCCACUUUACCAGAAGAGGAGCGUUGGAUGAUUUAAGUUCAAGUUCCAGGAAGGACGUUCAUCCCCGUCAUUGAGCCCAUAGAGUUUUCCUUUGAUGCACCAACCUGGAGUCUAGGAAAGAGCAUGGCAGCCCACAUCACCAUGGGACGCAUUGGAGAAGUUUACCACAAGGAUAUCAAGGAUACUAUUUAUCAGAUUUGUGGGUGCUGAGAUGAGCAAUGUGAUAUGAUCAGCACUAGGAAGGAUAGAUCAAUUGCAGCUUUCAUCCAGGAGUUAAACCAACACAUUUGUCGCCAGAAGAACCAGAUGUGCGCAGGCAUGAGAGACCUGAAGAAGGCUAUGACCAAGAUCACGGAGCUGGAGGAAGAACUCAAGUCUACACGCGAUGGAUAUGAGGAGGAAAUGACGACACUCGUGGAGAAGAAUGGUGAUCUGAAGAAGAAGCUAAAAGUAUUUAUGGGAUUCCCCGCGACUGUAGGAGAAGACGAUGAUUGCACUUGCCCGGAGAACUACAUCAUCAUCGACGACACCGACUUGGACCCAGAUGAUAGCGAUGAUGACUAUGUUGAUGAAGCUGGAGCAGAUAUCAUGGAGUCUUCGACCGAUCAAUUUUUUCUAGUCGACCACCAUAACAAUAGUAGUAUCCCCCCAUGUACAUAGUAUAGUCAGGAGCACUUUUGUAACGAUAGUUAGACCGUUGUAUGCCCUUGCUUGAUUUGAUUGAAGUGAUAUUGAUUGUGUUUUGUCUCAUGUGCAUAUGGGUAGUGUUUUCUCUUUAGACCCCACUCUAUUCUAUAUUCUCAUCUUUUUCUAAACCCCCAGAUGCCUCCGAGACGUGACAAUGGAUUUGCUUUUCCACUGGAGCUCACUCAGUUGAUCCAGCAGCAGAAUACAUUGAUGCAGAUGUUAGUCCAGAAUCAAAAUCAGGGGAACAAUAGCAACUACAACCCACCACCACCACCACAUCUUGAUCACUUAGCCCGUUUCUUGAGGCUGAAUCCGCCGGUGUUCUCCAGUAGCACCGAGCCGAUAGUUGCAGAUGAUUGGCUCCGUAAGAUGGGUAAGGAGUUGACCACUGCAGGAUGCACAGAUGCGGAGAGGGUGCAUUUUGCCGCACAUCAGCUUGAUGGACCCGCAACAUCAUGGUGGGAGAAUUUCAUAGCCACUUAUCCUAUCAACACUAUCACAUGGGAUCAGUUUCAGCAGGCUUUCCGUACUGCCCAUGUUUCAGCAGGAGCUAUGGCCAUGAAGAAGUGUGAGUUUUGCAACUUGCGCCAAGGAGGACGUAUAGUUGGCCAGUAUGUGGAUGACUUUAGUAAGCUAGCACAUUAUGCCCCAGAUGACGUUGCUACGGAUGCAUCUAAACAGGAGAAGUUUCUGGAAGGACUGAAUGAUGAGCUGAGCAUGUAGUUGAUGGUGGCAACCUUCAACAACUACCAGGAGUUGGUAGAUAGAGCUCUCAUGAUUGAAGGGAAGCAGCAACAGAUUGACAACCGCAAGAGGAAGUAUGUGCAAGGGAAGAAAAAUUCUGGGGCUCAGCAGAAGCCCCGUUUUACCCCGAACUCGGGAAGACCUUUUCAGCAUACCCAUGGAGGAGGGAGUUCGCACAACCAUAGUGGCCCCAAGAAUGGGAAUGGUAAUGGAGGAAGCAACAGACAGGAUCGUACCAACCCAUCAACCCCAACCAAGAGGGAUCUAAGCCACAUUACCUGUUUCAAGUGCCAGAAGACUGGACAUUAUGCCCCUGAAUGUACUGAAGCUAAGAAUGGAAAUGGUAAUGGAAGCUCUGGGAAGAAGCCUAACCCUUUCAAUAUGGGACAUGUGAACCACGUUAGCAUGGAGGAGGUUGAAGCCCAGCUAGAUGUAGUAAUAGGUAAGUUUUUGGUUAAGUCAUUUACUGCAAUCGUUCUUUUUGAUACUGGUGCGUCACAUUCAUACAUAUCAAGGGGAUUUGUGGAUAAGUAUAAAUUGCCAACCGAAGCCCUUAGGUCAUCCAUGUUAGUAACCUCGCCAAGAGCUGAGUAUAUGGCUAGCCUGUGGUGUGAUCGGUUACCAUUAAGGAUUGGUAACUACGUGUUUCCCUCAGACCUAAUUGUAUUGGAGUUACCAGGACUGGAUGUGAUAUUAGGCAUGGAUUUUAUCACGGAUUGCCCAGGACUCGUUCAGGCUAUGAUUCGAUAUGGGUUGUAGUCGAUCAUUUGACGAAGGUAGCUCAUUUCAUCCCAGUGAAGACCACUUACACCAGUACUAAGUUGGCAAAGAUAUACAUGACCAUAUGUCUGCAUGGAGUUCUGAGGAGCAUUGUAUCAGAUAGAGGAACCCAGUUUACCUCAAAGUUCUGGAAUCAGUUGCACGAAACUUUGGGAACCAGGCUAGAGUUCAAUACAACCUUUCAUCCACAGACAGAUGGACAGACCGAGAGAGUAAAUAAGAUUCUGGAGGACAUGUUGAGAGCUUGUGCGCUAGAUUAUGGAUCUAGUUGAGACAAGAAUUUGCCAUAUGCGGAGUUCUCUUACAACAACAGUUAUCAAUCCAAUUUGAAGAUGGCCCCUUUCGAAGCCUUGUACGGAAGGAGGUGCAGGACACCGUUGUUGUGGGACGAACUUGGAGACCACCAGUUGUUUGGACCAAACUUGAUUAAAGAGUCUGAGGAGAAGGUUAAGUUGAUUCAUGAUAGGCUCAAGGUAGCCCAGUCCAGGUAGAAGAGCUAUGCAGAUUCUAAACGCAAGGAGACAGUUUACGAAGUCGGAGACAGAGUUUAUCUUCGUGAGUCCCCACUUCGAGGAGUUAAGCAUUUUGGAGUUGAGGGAAAGUUAGCGCCACAUUUUGUGGGUCCAUACAAAGUUUUGGAACGUAUGGGAGAAGUUGCUUACAAGUUGGAAUUGCCCGAAGGAUUGUCAGGAGUUCAUGAUGUGUUCCACAUUUCCUAGUUGAAGAAGUGCCACGCAGAGAUGGUUGAUAUACCUCUGAGAGAUACAGUGCCACUGGAAGCGAUUCAGUUGGACAACGAUUUGACCUAUGAGGAGAAACCAGUCAAGAUUCUCGAGUUUGCCAGCCGAGUCACGCGCAACAAGGUUAUCAAGUUCCGCAAAGUUCAGUGGAGCCACCAUACCAAAGAUGAAGCCACCUGGGAGCGAGAGGAAGAUCUACUGAAGGACCACCCUCACCUAUUUUCUAGCCAACCCGAAUCUCGAGGGCGAGAUUCAUCUUAAGGGGGUAGGUUUGUAACAUACCAAAUUUUCAAUUUGGAAUGUUAUACAUUAGAUCAUCAUUGCAUAUCAUAUUUUAUUGCAUUUUGGCUUGAUCCUAGAAAUUCUACGCGACUCAAGGACCCACGGAGAGAGUUGGGGAUUUCAUUAUUUUCAUAUUUGAGUUUUCUCAAAUUUUGAAAAUAGGAUCAUUUGAUUUUAAUUAUUUUAUCUUCAAUUAUUUCAAUUAUAAAAAUACGAGAGAGGGAAUAAAAUGACGUUCCCAAAAUAAAGAAAUAUUGGGAAUUUAAUAAAAAAAUCAAAUAAGAUUUUAUUUUGGAGUUUUAUCGCUAUUUUAUUUGAAUUAGGAAAAAUGCGUGUUUUUCAAAAUUUCAUUUAGGCCCCAAAUAAAUGUUCAUCUUGUCCGGCUUAUUUUUAGAUGACGGGGAAAAUUUAUUUUAGGAUUUUUGGAGUCCGUUUAGUAUUUCUUUUAUUUCUUUUUCUGCGCGUCUAAAUUAUUUAAAAAAACAACGAACCGACUCGGGCCACCGUGGGCGAACCGGACACGUCCACCGCCUGCCUUUAUAAGCCACUCACCCACCCCGCCGGCCCACCCAGCCCGACCGCACUCGAACCCUAACCCUAGCCGCCACCACCGCCGCCCGCGCCGCCUCCGCCGCCGGAGCCGUCGCCGCUGUCCGCCUCGCUGCCGACCUCGCCGGAGCCCGCCGCCACCUCGGUUUUCGCGAGAAAACCGAUCAUUUUUUUGAACCGUAGAUUCGUUUUUAGAUUCGGUUCAGUUUAAUUUUUUUCUGGUUUAGUUUAGUUUGCGAACGCUCAUUCGUACGUUCGUUUUAACGAACAAUUUUCGUCAUUUAGCCACAGAUAGCGAACGCUCGUUCGUUAGCCUGUUCGUCUGUUUUUCUUUUUCUCGGAUUUUCCGCGAUUAUUUUCGAUCGUGAUCUCUAAUCCGAUUUUUGUUCUAGUAUAACUUUCCGCUCAUUUAUCGGAAUUAGGUGAUUCAAGCGCCUGGAGUUUCGUCUCGAAACCCUCUUUCUGUUUAGUCAACUCAAACAAGUUUUUGCUACUGUAAAAAUUGACUUAGGUCCAGAUUAGUAACCGAAUAUUGUUUCUUUCGUCGUUUGAUUUUUGUUGGUUCGUUUGAUUUGAUUCUUUUUGGAAACCGGAGUUCUUAAGUAGAACUUUCUGGUUAGAUCUCUUAUUUGAGUUUUACCUGUGCAUUAGAUGAGUGCUUAUUGUAUGCUUGUUUGUUUGCGAUAGAGUACCCGGAGUGCGCCGCUUGCUACUACGAGUCUCUAGGUUUCACGGAUCAUCGGCAAGGCAAGUAGCACUUUGAUCAUACCUUUUUACUACCCAAUCUUAUUGCAUUAGAUCAAUCUUUAAACAAUUGCAUGAUUAGGAUCUGUUUAAUAUGUGGGUUUUGGGAAGUAGAUGAGGUAGUACCUAUUACCUGUUUUAUUUAUCAAACCUUUGGGAGUUACUUCUACGUUUGCUUAUAUUGCUAUGCUAUGCUAGUAGACGUGGAUUGGGUGAGUGUAUCCAUGAUAGAUGUGAGAUUGUUAAUUAAUGGUUUACUUAAGGUGGCAACUUUAAUACACAUCUGGGUGGACUAAGGCACCUGGGGAACCCAGUGUUGCCUGUAUUUUUGGAAAUCCCGGGGUACCGUGUGAUUCUCCUAUGGACCGCCACCCAGGCUCAAAGGGAUCAUAAGAUUAUUUCAUGCUAGAAACUUCCGUGUGCAGCCGCAAGCUACUAUGGCUCUAGCAUAGUUGAGUAUGUUGUGUGACCUCUUUCAGUGGUAGACUAGCAGAUGUAGGGGAUGUAGGUUGGUACUGUCUACCCAGAGUAAAGAGUUAAUGCUUCUGAAAUACUGUGUCUCGGUCAUCCGUUUCUCAAACACCAUGUAGUGCGAGAAAUCCAACAUAGGAGAUCGAGUCUUGCGGGGAAAAGUGCGCAAACCUUUGCAGAUUGUACAAACUAAUCAUGGUUAGCCGUGCUCCCGGUUAUGGACGUUUUGAGUAUCUAGUACUUGGAUUAUCAUGUUGAUCUCAUCAUGUUACUUAAUUUAAUUUGUUGGGUUUAAUGAUGAUGCUUGAUUGGGAUUGAGUUGGAGGAACCUUCUCAAUGUUUAACAACCACCAUGAUAGUUAAAUAAAAUUUAUUCCUUUGUUGUAGGGAAAAAUUGGCUUUAUGCAAAACUGUAACCAUAGAGCUUUCCACCAGCCAUAUAUGCAUGUAGUGAUAGCAUUAUUCUGUUCAUUACUCUAGAUGUGUUACAUUGCCAGCAUAUUCCAUGUGCUGACCCGUUUUCGGGCUGCAAUGUUCAUGUUGCAGACUUUUCAAACGACGAGUAAGGUGCUUAGGUCGCGAUCUUAUACUCAGUGAUGCCGUUGGAGUUGAUGGACUCGCCUAUCUUCCAAGCCUUCCGCUGUUAUCAUUAUUAGAUGGCCUUAAGCCAUAUUUAUUGUAAUAAGUUCUCUUUUGAGACAUUCAAUGUAAUAAGUGUGUGAUUGCUACUCUGUUAUAAAUCCUUCAAGUACUGUGUGUGUCAGCAUUACCGAUCUAGGGAUGACACUGAUGCACAGAGAUCAGACUGUUUGAGGUCUGGUCCCUACAAGAAUCUCUUGGUCCUUAAGGACCGGAUCGC